This 116350-nucleotide long non-coding RNA is filed under the name Prunus persica (peach). RNAcentral describes it as "long non-coding RNA (PPER_LNC004347)". The record is from RNAcentral. Lineage: Eukaryota; Viridiplantae; Streptophyta; Magnoliopsida; Rosales; Rosaceae.
AAGCUCAUCCACCACCUAACAAUAGAACUGUGAAGGGGAAAUCGAGCUUACUGCUAGCAAUAUCUACAUUUGGAUAUCAGAUACUGCCAUUAGUGUGAUUGUGGAAUUUUCUUUUUUUCAUUUAAUUUAAUUUUUCUUUUCAUGGGUUGUUAUCUAACAACGAUUGCUCCCAUUUCAGUUUAGAGUUGGAUGCCCCAAUGAAAAUGGCAAAUGCUAAUUAAGCUAACCGAUGUGAGACCUCUAGAUGAUCACCAUGCGAACGAUCAAGUUCAAAAUGAGGAACCCAAGCCAAAUGGUACUAGCAAAUGCUCCGAUGGGCUUGAAGUGCCAGAAAUUGGCCCUCAAGGUUUGAUAAUGAAAAAGUUUGUAGUGUUGUUGACUUAAAUGAAGAAGAGAUGGUGAUUUCGGUCAUCCUAAUUCUGUACGUGGACUUGAAAUUUCUGAUUUGUCUGGGCAGAAAAGCGUCUUAAUGAACUCUACUCCUGAUAAAUCUCUUCUUGAUUCAGAUGAAAUUUUGAAUGACCAGAAUGUGACAAGCCGAUGUCCAAAAAAAAAAAUAUAUAUACGUGACAAGCCCUAAACCACAUGAGCCAGAAAAUGACAAAAACCAUGUAGUUGUCAACGGAGAUGCUGGAUACUUGAAACAUUCAAAUGUAUUUGAAUGCACUGAAUCUGUUGUCAUUUAGGAGGAUGGUUGAACUUGUGAUGAAUUUGGUGUAAACUACAUUAAUGACUGCACAUGAUAGAACACACAUCGAGAAUAUGCAAGAGCACAUCUCCUCAAUCCGAUCUCUUCAUACACUCAUUCUAGAUGGGGUGAAUUUUUUGUGUGGGUUGGCUUGAUCAGUUGAGCAGGGGCACUUGUAUUUAUAUGCAUCUUCCUAAGAGUCUUGUCCAUCAAGAAACUCUUAAGAAGUCCUUAUUGCAUUAGGUUUAUAACUUCUAAUCCACAAUUAAAAUAGGAAUCCUUCUAGCUCUUAUAUUAGCCUUAAAACACUAACUUUAAUAGAGCUGCAGGUUUAGUUGUUUUGAACUCCUAAUUGAUAUCAAGUCUUAGAAUCCUUUGAUGAUUAUAAGACCACACUUUAAUGGGUUAGACAUCUACACGUCUAACAUUCUCCCACUUGGUCUAAUGAUCAUCAAGAACUCAAUAUCAAUUACUGUAAGGCAUAUGGAACUCAAUUAAACUAUAAUUCCUAAUCAAGUCACUGUCAAUCAAAAGAAUAAGCAUGGAACUAUCAAGACUUAUUGAACAUUUCAAUAUUUCAACGUCUUUAUAAUUACGCAUACAAGCUCUCAAGAUCACAUGGGACUUCUGUCAAGAUUAGAAUGCAGAAUGAUCAUGACCAAACUUAAUUUGUGUUUACAAAGGUCACUUUCAUUCAUAUGCCCUCCCUUAAGAGAUUAUCAAGAUCUCUCCUUAAUGACUCUGGUAUGAAUUCAUGUCUUAUGCAGUGACUGUAGCUAGCUAUACUGCAUGAUGACAUGUAACUGGAUUCAUUUGUCAAGAAUAAUAAACAUAAAAUUGAAGUCACAUAAUUUAUUAAAAGAACUGAACCAAACAGUAGCAAACAAAAUAAUUGAACUGUCUCCAUGAAAAUAAUGAAAUUAAGUGGAAUAAAACUUGACUCCCACUGAUUUUGCAUAUCAAAAUUAAUGGCAUAACCAAAAUCGUAUCAAAUUUCCCAUUAAUACUUUUGGAAUAACCUCAUAGUAAAUCAAUGAAUCAAUGCAAUUGACAGGACCCGCCCCGGAAUUUCCUCGGAGACCAGAGCAGACCCCGUCUUUGUUCUGACAUCACCCCGAUUCCUGGCCCACUUACUACAAAUCGAGACUCUCUACUAAAAUUUUGGCAGAGUCCCCCCUGUGAAUUGAACAAACCCAACAAAAUUCAACCUGCAUAAUAAUACAAAAUAAUCCCAACCAGCAGUAUGCUUUAAAGUGAAUAAACAAUUUACAACAAAAUGGCCUACGGCCUCACAAAUCAAACCCUAACAGGGGCGAUAAUAGAGCAUGUCUAAGAACUUCAAUUUCAACAAAACAGAGUUCAAAGGGAAUAACAUGAAGAAAGAGUCCUACGAAGGCUCAAGGCUCGGAAGCGCACAAUCCGGCUCUGCUGCGGAGCUCAGUCAACUACUGGCUGGGGGGGCAAAACAGAAAAUUGUGAGUGGACAAAAAUAAAUUUAGUUCAGUGUAAACCAACAUAAUAUAACCCCACCGUUUAGAAAACCAUGCAAGAAAUCCCAGGCAUCUCAAAACCGUCAUACUCAAGUAUAUAUAUAUAUAUAAUAUAUAUCAAAACAAAUCGAUACCAGAUGCCAAGUCCGAAAUCCAUAAAGAAUACUUUACAAAACCACCAUACAAAACUUAUAAAUCCCACAACUAAACUCUCGAAAGCGUACCCAUUGGCACGACCGGCAAGGAAGUAUCCACACCGAGAAACAAGAAUGAAGGAAUAUAUAUAAAUAUAUAAUAUAAGAGAUAUAUAUAUAUAUAUAAUAUAAAUAUGACCAUCACCUAGUUGUACCGGGGAAACAAUCCAACCGGGGGAUUGUUUGACUAGUCACCCUGGCAAAGUCCUUAUGAAGAGUCCUCAAUCCACCAUGUGAAGAGUCCUCAAUCCACACCGAGAAACAAGAAUGAAGGAAUAGAUAUAAAUAUAUAAUAUUAGAGAUAUAUAUAUAUAUAUAUAAUAUAAAUAUGACCAUCACCUAGUUGUACCGGGGAAACAAUCCAACUGGGGGAUUGUUUGACUAGUCACCCUGGCAAAGUCCUUAUGAAGAGUCCUCAAUCCACCAUGUGACUAGGGAACAAGUCGUCCAACUGAGGGAACAAUUCUCAGCCAGCAUGUACCUCGAUAACCUCAAAAUCCGUACGUCUGUGAUCAGUCCUACGCACGUAGACUGCCCAAUCAAGGGUCUACAGCAACAUCCCGUCAAGGAUGCCCCGGGUUCCGACAAUUUCAAGUAUCUCAAGUCUCCGUAUCCAAGUUCCAAAUCAGGGGAGGUACAUAGGGUGGUGCUUAUAGCACACCAAACUGACAUUCUAUACCCACCACUUUCCACAAUCUCAUCUCAACAACCCAAGUACCUCACACAUAGCCAAACAUAUAUAGAAAAUUUCAAAAUCCAUAUAUUCAUACUCAAGAUACUCAAAUAUGUCAAAACCCAAAAUAUAUUUUCAAUGCCUCAUAAAAAUAUCACUUUCAACAAUUUCAUAAAUAAUAUAUCCAAAAUACCAUUUCAAACAUCAUGCAUAAUAUUUCCCAAAAUGCAUAUAAAAUAUACUUCCAAUACCCAACUAUGCCAAAGCGCUAUACAAACACCAAGUUCAACUCAUGAAUAUAAUAUAUUCAAUAAAUCAUUAAAACAUUAUGCAUAAAUCUUUCAUCAAUAAAACCAUGCAUAAGAUUUGAAAACAAAGUCCACUCACAAGUAGUCCCACGCUGCUUGACCUUGAGAGGGUCCCGCCUGCUGCGUAUGCAUGGUCGGAGUACCUAAUUCAGAAUACGUACACAAGAUUAAUACGAAGCGUUUCGAACGAGUACUUUGAAUUAAAUAUCCUAAUUUCCCAGGUUUCUAGUAAGUGUACUAGGAAUAAGACAUUCUAAGGUCCAACUACUCAAUUUGGACGAUGGAACAACUUCGGGUGACACUCGGUCAACCGGUGGUCAAACUUCCCAAUUCGGGUCAACCGGGUCCACGGGACCCACGACCUCCGUUUUACAAUCCGUAAGUUCCUAAAGGUUCCACAAGGUCUAAGAUACCCGUCUCGCAAGUUUGGUCCGAAACGGACGGUUAGAUCACUUACGAUCGCACGAUCAGACGGUUAAUAUAAAACGCAAACUUUAAGUUAUUGAAUUGGAACAUCCAAGGCUCCGAUUCAUGAUCUGCGAAGUCCUACACGAUCCUAGGAAUACCUAGAACAACAUAAUUUAAUUGGGAAACGAUCCAACGGUCAGAACCUAUCGAACCCGGAUAACGCACACUAUGCGAAAAUCCGUUCGAUAGUCAAACGACAUCCGAAUUGAGAUCCGCGAAUUCCUACGUACUCGUGACAACCAGGAGAUCGCAUUGGGAUAAUAAUGCCCCUCUGCUACAGUGCCCAUGCGCCGCCACACGCUCGGGCAGCUCGUGGGUGUCCAAAGCGAUAAAGCUUCUCCCGAAAAUCUCCAAAUUACAAGCCACCCCGGCUACAGGUUCUACUCGACGAGUGGAACAUUUUAUUCUACACCCAAGUCCAAUUCGGACUGCAAGUGGUCGGAAUCGGCGUCGAAAACUCACGGUUUAACCCAAAACUUCACGGCUUCGAUUCGGCAACCACCGUCGCCAUGGUCGUCGCACAACCUAGGAAAUAGAUAGAAGGGGAGGAGAGCUACCUGUUCCAAGCGACGGUGCAGCUCACGAUGGCCGGAAACAUCGCCGGUGACGUCGGCAGUUUUGGCUAGUUUUUCACUUCAUUUCCACCGCCGUUCGCUGGGUUUUCGAUCGGAGAAAGGGGUGGGCUGGGUAAAGGAGGAAGAGAGGAAGCUUUUGCAAGAAACGGCACCUGAAAUGGAGCUCGGACGGCGAAGUUCUUGCCGUCUGAAAUUUCGGCGAAAAAAACUGUCGGGGGAGGGGGUUCAGUUGCGAGAGAGAGAGAGAGAGAGGGGAGAGAGAGAGAGAGAGAGAGAGAGAGAGAGAGAGAGAGAGAGAUCAGAUAUUUUAAACCUAAAUUUUGAAAUAUUUAUGAUUUUGCCAUUGUCGAUGUUUUGAUCGUAACUUCCUCGUUACAACUCCGAAUUAAGCCUACCACGUGUCUACGAAUUCGUCUCAGUACAACCUACCCAAAAAUAUCAGUCACUGCCCCAAACACUUUCUGGGCAAGAAAAUGACCAAUUUACCCCUACCCUAAGGGUAAAUUCGUAAAUUCACUUAAAUAAUUUAAAAUAGGAAUUAAAUUUGGAGUCGGGGUGUUACAGCAAUUUCCUUUCAUUUACCUUCUACCUUACAAACUUGAAACAAAAACGUUAAUGCUUAUUAGUAAUCAUAAAUUCAAUGAAAGGUAAAAGUCAUUGAUUAACCACUGUUAAUUGAAAAUAUGAAUUAACAAGAACAAUUAACACAUAAACAAUCUUUGUUUGUACUAGCCUUAAAACCCUUAAUGAAGAACUGGAACAUUAAGUGAUUAACCAAAAACAGUCAAAACUAAAUGUUUGCAACAAGGAAGAUCAUUGAAUGCUCCCACUCAUCGAACACAUGUUUUGCAACCAGCACAUGUAUCAAGAAAUGCGCAUAGAACUGUAAGAUCCCACAUCAACCAACGGAGAAGGGGUGAUGUGCCUUAUAUGUGCACACCCGCAUCCAUCUAGCACGAGGUCUUUUGGGAGCUCACUGGCUUCGGAGUCGUAGGAACUCCGAAGUUAAGCGAGUUGGGGGCUAGAGCAAUCCCAGGAUGGGUAACCCACUGGGAAGUUGCUCGUGAGUUCCCAGAAACAAAACCGUGAGGGCCAGAGAGGAGGGGCCCAAAGCGGACAAUAUCGUGCUACGGCGGAGCCGAUCCCGGGAUGUGACAAGAACAAAUCGUAUUAUUUUCACUGAAAUCGUUUCCUCAGGAUUCAACUUUAAUUCCUUCAAUUUAUUUCUCAAAAUAGCACUUUACUAACACAUAUCUUGAAAAACAUAUAACAUGUCAUGCAGAUUGGUCUUUAGUUGAGAAAUAACAAAACCAUAAUGAAUGCAUUAAAAUUUAUUCAUUUUGUACUUUAAAUAUCAAUUAAAUUUUCUUUAACCAAUACAAACUAAAAACUGUAAACAUUGUAAGAACUUUAGUAGCCAAAAUAAACAGCCAGUCACCCAAACAUUAGUCAUAAACAUAUAGAUGCAUAAAACCAACACUUGAGAUGUAAAACUUCAAUGUGUCAACAACCAGAAAACAGUUCCAAGUAUGCUCCAAAAACUUUAUGAGCAUUAUCAAAAUACAAGAUAAUAAGGUAUUGAGUGUGAAGCCCAAAACUUUACAUCACUUCUCCCACUUGGGCAAACACUCGCUUCUUUGCUAGUGCACCAAUAACCUUAUGAUUAGAAACACUGUGAAAAAAUGGUGUAAAAGAACUUUCAAGGUCUGCUCCUAAUGUACUUUCACAGUAUAAGCCUAAAUGAACAAAACUGUCAAGAAAUUUCCAGCAAUGAUAUGUGAUUACUUGAGAAUUUACCAUAAUUAAUUUAUAAGUCGGAUUAGCUUCAAAUUUCAUGGAAACAAACUAGAGUCAUUAAGCUUUAUACAUAAAAAAAAUAUAUAGAGUCGUUUAUAGCUAAUUAAAAGGUCUAAAAUUGAUUUGUAACUCAGAAAAUCUGUCAGCACAUACUCUUCCUGAACACAGAUCACAAAUAAAAUUCUCACAAAUAAACUAUACAUCCAAUAAUCACGAAAUUUGCAGAAUUCACGAAGACACGUAUAUGCUUAACAUAUCAAACAUUCAGGUCAUUUGAAGAUCUUUAGUUGAGUCAUUCAACAAUCUAUAUACAUAAGGCAGAAACUGUUAGGAAAAUUUCUGUGCAUCUGUUUCAACUUUAUAAAUUCACCAAAAAUUCAAUUCUCAACAUAUUUUCAUGAAAUCACCGCCUACAGAAACCUUAGAAAAUCAUCCUUCUCGCCUAAUUUUUUUUCAUUAGUUAAUUCGAAUUAUAACUUCACCCUAACAGACGAAAUGUUAGCAUAGUUCAAAACUGGAAAAAUAGUCAACUAUAAAUUUAUGAAUGCACCUCAAAAUUUAGUUAUCCUUAUGCAUUCUAAACAUUCAACAUUAAUUUCCAUGUAGGUACAAAACAAUUAAUACCAUAUCACAAAGGCAAAAUAUAAAAUAUCACUUUAUCAAGUUUAAACACUUUUAGCAAUCAAAAGAUCGUUUGCAUCUUGAGUAUCUUAUAUAUUGCAAUGUGCCACUUUUGAUUCAAAACAAAAUUAGUGAGCCUUGAUUAGAAGUGCAAUUUGAUCCAUGCAACUCAUUCAAUUAAGAAAUAACAGUAAUACAAUAUCCUUAAACAUGAUCUACGCUUCAAAUUGCAUGGCCUUACAAAACAGCCAAUUUAUUUUAUGAUGAACAUAACCUUAUGGAUUAAUCCAACUUUACAUGAUUCCAUCAAAUACGAAUUAAUACUUUUAACACAUGUGGAUUAGUCCAACUAUUACGGAUCAAUCCUUUUACAUGUGAAGUUGCAUUGAUGCUACAAAAACAUUCACUUAAAUGCAUACAAAAGGCAACCAAGUCUCAAACAUGUCCAUACAUAAUAAACAAACAAUAUAGCCAAGCAAGAAAGUUCCAAAGUAGCUCAUGUUUCCCUUUAUGUGAUCAACUGAAUUUAUCUUUCCUUGAGUCAUGAAAACAACUUUUAUGACUAUUUAAGACUACUAUUAAUAAAUUAUUAUCAGCAACUCAAGCACGUGAGAUUUAUCAAAACCGAUAAAUAGGACGUGUAUCAUGUUACAAUCCAUAUAACAAAACAAAACCGUAUAUGCGCCUAAUGGAGUUAAGGUUCAUUGUGACAUUCUGAAAAGUUUUUAAAACACAAACAUAUCUGGAUAAGUUGUCCCAUAGUGCUUAAAAAUAUCUGUACAUUAUUGAUUCACACCUGUGGGUUGAGAAUCAAACAUGUUUUUAGUGAUCACCAAAAGAGUCGAUAUAUGAAUUUCUUUCAUAGGUUAAAUUCUCACAUCUGUGGAUAGAGAGAAAUUCCUAUAUUAAUUCGCAUACAUUAUCUUUUGGGUCACUCCACCAUUAAUAUACGUGGAUAAAAUUUCCCCAGGAAGCCUUACUUAAACAUUAUUAACUUACACCUGUGGGUCAUAAGUUAAACAUGUUCCAAAACACUAGACGAAUAUUAGGUCUGAAUAAACUUCUUGUACAGGAAAAUUUCUCAUCUGUGGAUCAAGAAAUUUCCUGUUAGUUUACACAAACCCUUUCUCCAUGUUGUUCCAUCACAUCUGUCAUCAAUUUGUAUUCUUUUCAUCUGUGGAUGAAAAUAGCACAAAAGGCUGCUAGUUGUGAUGCAAUUAUUGAUCAAUUUUUAGAUUGGAAACUAAAUAUGCUAUAGUUAAGCUGCUGUGGCUCGCUUAACUAAUGCAAUAUUCGAGAUCUCCAGUCUUUGACUAAUAGCCUUUCAAGCAUGAAUGAUAAAGACUUUAUAUCGAAAACAUGCUUAACAGAAUGCGUUAGUGAAACAAAAGAUUAGAAAACAAUACAUGCUGAUGUAGCUUUCAGUUUUAGGUUUUAGCUUUCUAGUUCAGUACUUUAAACCUUUAUGCAUAUAUGUACUGUCAUGCUUACUUGAAAACCUAGAAAUCAGCUUGAUUAAAACUACCCAAAAUAAGCAGCGUUUAUGAGACUAAAGGCCUUUGUAAAAUAUGCAAUCAUUCUAUCUCCAUAUUGCAAGCCAAGCACAAGUACCCUUGAUUAUGAUUCCAUGUUUUUCGACAUCAGCCUUAGUGAAAACAUGUCAACUUGAUGAGAUAAAAAACAUUUAGCUUAGUGCUGGAAUAAAAUUAGGUAAAUGCUUAUGUAGCUUUCAGUUUGAGGUUUUAUCUUUUGGUUUGGUACUUUAUAACCUCUCGCAUAUAUACAUCUGCUAUGCUAAUAUAAAAAACCUGAAACUCAGCUUGGUUAUAUAGAAUGAAAUCAUGUGCAAAACAGAAUUCUUGAUCGUGUGAUGCUUUAGUUUAGUAUUGCCUUAAACUCUGAUUAUACAAACAUAUAUUCUUUAUACCGCAAAUCAGAUAUUAAGCAUGCCUGAGAUCAAAACUUGAGGCUAAAAUUUAAUACGCCAUAGAACAUGAUGAUAUUAAAAUUAACACUAGAAAUCUAGAUCAUAGCGCAAAAUGAUUGAUGAGAGAAUCGCUAAAAUGGAUUUCUCCAAAUAAGUCAUGGUAAAACAAUUCAUGACAGGUGCGAUAUCUAAAAAUAAAAAACCUUAUAUGCUUUAGCCAACGCAAGUAUUAGUAAUUAGUAACUGUAGCUUGCGGCAUUUUCAAUUAUAUGUUUGCUUGGUAGAGACAAAAGUAUUACCCUGGCUACAAAAAAAUUUUCAUGCAUAUAUAAUGGUUCAAAGUAUAAUUUGCAAUGUCCAAAUAGGUGAGCAAGUUCCUUCCGUUUUUAAAAUCUCACAACAAUUACAUUUAGAAAAGAUGAGCCAAUUCUAUAGUGCAACUCCUAUGUAUCAAAUUAGAGGCAAUUUUAGCCUUUUGCAUGCACGUCUAUUGAUGGGAAACAGAUAUAGAAUAGGUCAUUCAUACAUACCUCGUAAGCUUAUAUUUCCAUAUUGGAGACCCUUUGAUAUGUCUUCUAGAAUCUUUGAAUUUGAGUCAGGUACAUCAGAAGUCGACACAUUAAAAUCAGGAAGGCCUCCGUGCAUCCAAGAUUUUCCCCACAACGCAAUUGAAUUUCGAAAAGAUGCCUCAAAACCAAAAUUGAAGGCCCUGUCAACAGGCAGCAAAAGAGGAACAACUUUUUGCCUUUGGCAAAAUGCCGCCCAAUUGCAGUGGCUGAAGGGAUGGGUGAUUUCUUUUGGUUCCAAAACAUGCAGCCUAGGCUCUGAUACCACAUGUAAACUAUAUUAAUGACUGCACAUGAUAGAACACACAUCGAGAAUAUACAAGAGCACAUCUCCUCAAUCCGAUCCCUUCAUACACUCAUUCUAGAUGGGGUGAAUUCUUUUGUGUGGGUUGGCUUGACCGGUUGAGCAGGGGCACUUGUAUUUAUAUGCAUCUUCCUAAUAUAAGAAACAGAGUUCAGGGGGGAGAAAGGAGAUGAGAGAUAGAGGAGGAGAGUAAUUGAAUGAACCAGUGUGUUUGGUCUCUGUAUUGCAGCCGUAUAUAAUGUACAGAGAGUAGACUUUCUCAAGUCUAUUUACAGAAAGAAGCAAUACAUGGUAAGUACAAUAAUCUCAUAUAUGUUAUGAAUCAAUUCUAGCUAAUAUGUCGUUGAUCUUGGGAGGAAGAAUCUGUCAAGUCUGAUUUGGGGAAAUCAACUGAUUUCCUGGGAGGAACCGGAGUGAUAUUCUCUUUACCCUCCCUCAAGCGUAGCGGAGCAACGCAGAGAUUAAGCUUGGAUUUUAGAAGUGAAAACCGAUCACGACCGAGACCUUUAGUAAAUAUGUCAGCAAGCUGAUCAGAGGAAGGAACAUAGGAGGUACGAAGAGCCUUUCGAGCAACUAAUUCACGAACAAAGUGGUAGUCGAUCUCGAUAUGCCGGGUGCGAGCAUGAAAAAUAGGGUUGGCAGCCAUAUAGAGAGAAGAGAGAUUGUCAACAUAGAUGCAGGGGGCAGAGCGAAGGGGAAUGCCCAGUUCACGAAACAAGUAACAAAACCAGCGAAGUUCGGCUGCAGUAUGUGCAAGAGCUCUAUAUUCAGCUUCAGUACUAGAGCGAGAAACAGUAGACUGUUUCUUGGCAGUCCAUGUGAGAAGAUUGGGGCCAAGGAAAACACAAGCACCAGUAGUAGACCGGCGAUCAUCAACAGAACCAGCCCAAUCAGCGUCAGAGAAACUCCGUAAGGAAAAAUCAGUGGACUUAUGGAAGAUAAGACCUUGCUCAAGUGUGCCUUUAAUGUACCGAAAAAUGCGCUUGACAACCUGAAGAUGAGAGGUUCGAGGGUUGUGCAUAAACUGGCACACCUGGUUGACAGCGAAGGAAAUAUCAGGUCUGGACAAGGUAAGAUACUGGAGGCCACCCACCAUACUCCGAUAGGUGGAUGGAUCAGGCAAGGGAUCACCAUCCAGACAAGAGAGCCGAGUGUCAGAGGGCAAAGGGGUAGGAGAUGGUUUGCAUUCAGUCAAAUGAAACCGGGUCAAUAAAUCCACUGCAUAGCGAGUCUGAGAGAGAAAUAAAUGGUCAGAAAACCAAUUAAUUUCCAUGCCAAGGAAGAAGUUUAGCUCACCCAUACGGCGGCUGUCAAAAGUUGAACAUAUAGUUGAUCAAUGAAGUGGUUUACACUUGGUGAGGGAGAGCCAGUAACAAUGAUGUCAUCCACAUACACUAGAACAUACACUGUGCAGGAAGAGGAGCGACGAAUAAAGAGCGAUGCAUCAGAGUGACUGUGAACAAAGUGCUGGGCAAGGAGAAAGGCACUAAGACGUUGGAACCAAGCUCGAGGUGCCUGCUUAAGGCCGUACAGAGCCUUGUGGAGCCGACAAACAUACUGAGGGUGAGAGGGAUCAUGAAAACCAGGGGGUUGUUUCAUGUAGACCUUCUCUUGCAAGUACCCAUUCAAGAAGGCAUUACGAACAUCCAAUUGCUGAAGAGGCCAAUGGUAGGAAAGUGCCAGAGACAAUAUAGUGCGAAUGGUAGCCAGUUUGACCACCGGGCUAAAAGUUUCCGCAUAAUCAAAGCCUUCCUUCUGAUUGAAUCCCUUGGCAACAAGACGAGCCUUGUAUCUGUCAAUUGAGCCAUCUGCCCUCCGUUUAAUUUUGAAGACCCACUUGCACCCCACAAUAUUCAUGCGGGAGGUGGCAGGAACUAAGGACCAGGUCUGGUUCUUCAUGAGUGCAGCAUAUUCAUCGUGCAUAGCAUCGAGCCAGUGGCUGUGUUUGGAAGCAUGGGUAAAGCUGGUAGGUUCAAGGGAUAGGGGAUCAGAAGCUUCAGCAGAAAGGGCAAGGGGUAAGGGAUGGGGGCUGGUUUGAGAGUAGAGGGGUUUGGGUUCUGGACCAAAUGGGACAAUGGUUUGGAGACUCUUGAAUUUUUGUGGAGGAUUGGGUGUAUCUGGAGAGUUAGGGAAAAUCGAUGGAUCAAGAGGUGAAGAAGGGGGAGGUGGGGUAAGGGGUGGGGUUGUUCCGUCAAAGUCGAAGGAUAGGUCUGGGGAAAUUGAGGGCGAUGGGUCUGUGGAAAGGGGCGGCGAGGUUUCAGUGGAAAGAGGCGGCGAAUGGGGGAUGUUGGAUACCAGAGAAGGAUCGGCUGGGUUCGUGGUCAGUGUUGUUGGGGAUACAGAGGAGGACAGAGGGGAGAACAAGGGGGUGUCGAAGGAAUGGGGGGAGCUAAUAGGGUCAGAAGAAAUAGGGGGAAGUGAUGGGCCUGUGGGAUUAAGAGAUGAGGGAUAUGAGGGAGAAGGGCUGACCAGAGGAUUAGAGGGCCCAAGAGAUAUGGGCUGGUCGGCAAGAGAGAGAGGUUGAAUCCCAUUUGAGUGCAAAGGAGAUGGAAGCUGGGGCUGCUUGUAAGGGAAGGUUGUUUCAUCAAAGGUCACAUUCCGAGACGUAUAGAUGCGACCUGAAAAAGGAUCAAGACAGCGAUAACCCUUAUAGUGAUCAUCAUAACCAAGAAAUACACAUGGAAGAGAUUUAAAAGAUAACUUAUGCUUGUUGUAUGGCACCAGGUGGGGAAAGCAUGCACAUCCAAAGCUUUUGAGAAAUUUGUAGUCUGGUGAACGGUGAAGGAGCUUCUCAUAGGGAGACAGAUUAUCAAGCUGCGGUGUUGGUAAGCGAUUGAUUAGAAAAACUGCAGUGGAGAAGGCUUCAACCCAAAAACUAAGAGGCAAUCGCGAUUGGGCUAGCAGACAAAGACCCAUUGCAACAAUAUGGCGAUGUUUCCUUUCCACCACUCCAUUUUGUUGGGGAGUGUAGGGAUAAGAAAUUUGAUGCGAUAUGCCAUGAUCACGUAAAAAUGCGAGGAAUAAUUUGUUGAUAAAUUCACCCCCACCAUCAACCUGCAACUGCUUGAUUUGAGAACUAAACCGAUUUUCCACCAUCUUUUUGAAGGUAAUAAAUGUAGGAAAGACAUUGGACUUCUUAGCCAAAGGAUAUAACCAAGUGAACCGAGUGUGGUCAUCAACAAUGGACAAAUAAUAAUGGUAUCCAAAAUUUGAGGGGACUGGCGCGGGCCCCCAUACAUCAAGAUGUAAAAGUGCUAAUGAGGAUUGAGCAUGAAGCUGUCUGUAUUCAAAAGGCAGUCUACAAGAUUUUCCCAAUGGGCAAAUAUGACAAGUUUCAUUGGAGAUAAUGGUACCAUUAACAGGUAAAUGGUACUUAUUCAACAAGGUUGUAAAAACUGAAUGAGAUGGAUGUCCAAGGCGUGCAUGCCACACUUCCUGUGUCGUGCGCUCUCCAUAGAAUGCAAGUUGACGAGCAAGAUGUGGGGUUGCCUGAAUGUGAUAAAGCCCAUCAGAACUACUGCCAGUAAGAAGUACCGUCCCCGCCUUGAUGUCCUUGACAUGAAAACCAUUAGCAUCCAACUCAAAGAAACAAUCAUUAUCACGACAAAGGCGACGAAUAGAUAUCAAAUUCUUUCGUAUUGCAGGUACGCAUAGCACUUCAUUAAGGUUUAAGGACUUAUGUAACCCGGUCACUUUAGUAUUGCCAAUAUGUGUUAUUGCUAACUGGUUCCCAUUGCCAACAACAAUUGUAUCAGUACCUGUGUAAGGCUGGGCAUGCGGUAGAGAAGCGGUGUGGGCGGUCAUGUGAUGGGUAGCACCUGAGUCAAGACACCAAUUGAGGUUUGCUAUAUCAUCAGUAGAAGGAGACGGGUUGACAGCAUUUUCAGCCACGUAGGCAUGAGGCUUACGAUCUGGACAGAAGCGGGCUAUGUGACUAGGCCUAUCACACCGAUAACAAAUGGCUUCUGAGCGCUGGGUAUUUGGAGAAUUUCCAGGUGGUGUUGGAAGGAGUGGUGGGCGGCCAUCUGUAAGAGUUGCGUGAGAAGGGGCAGAUGGUGCAAUCUGUUGGUCGCGAGGCUAAGUGUUGUGUCCUUGUGGCCAAUUUCCUUGGGUUGAUUUCCACGGAUCUGUUUGCCCAUUGUGCCCUUGAAUCCAAUUUCUGCCACGUCCACGUCCUCGUCCAGAUCCGUGAUAGGGGUUGUGAUGGCGACCAGCGGAGUUUGAAUGAGGUUUUCGCUCAUUGGGCAUUCGAUCAGCAGCCAUAGCAACACCUGAGGCCACGUUGAGCGACAUGCGUUUCUGUAAUUGUUCCUCUCUGAGAGCGAGAUCAUAAAACUGGUCAAAACCAAUAUCUGGGUGCAAGUGGAGUGUGGUGGCUAACUCCUUGUAUUCAAGCCCAAGUCCGUCUAGAACAUAGCUAACGAAUUCAUCAUCAUCCAUUGUUGCACCAGCUUGUAUGAGGGAAUCAAGAAGUGAUUUGGCAUGGUUGAGGUAGUCAGUCACAGUUGUGGUGUUGUCCUUCCUGAGGGUGCGAAUUUGGUCUCGAAGGAUUCGCAGAUGGGUACCUGCAAGGGGUGAGAGGCGCUUGCCCAGAAGAUUCCAAGCCUGAUAGGCGGUGGUACACGGGAUGAGUAGAAUCUUUAUGGAAGAGGAGGAAGUCGCCUUGAUCCAACUCAAGACCAGUUUGUCUCUGGCGAACUCAGGAUGCACAGAGCCAUCUUCUUGCACUUUGGGUGGGUCUGUGGUUUUCUUGAUGACCUCUGCAAGGCCAUGCAUCUCCAAUACGUCUUCAAAUUGUGAUUUCCAACUCAAAUAGUUGGUUCUGUCCAUGGGAAUUGGGAACAGAGAUGAGAUGUUGAAAGAGGUGGGCAAGGAUGGGAAUGAGAAUGAGGGUGAGGCAAGCUUUGACAUUUCAGAAAUCAGUUUUGUCAUAUCAAUAUGACUUGAUUCUCUAGACUUGGGUGUGUUUGCCAUUUGAUUGGGUAGGAUCGAAAAACGUGAGCUUUGGCUCCGAAGAGCUCUGAUACCAUAUAAGAAACAGAGUUCAGGGGGGAGAAAGGAGAUGAGAGAUAGAGGAGGAGAGUAAUUGAAUCAACCAGUGUGUUUGGUCUCUGUAUUGCAGCCGUAUAUAAUGUACAGAGAGUAGACUUUCUCAAGUCUAUUUACAGAAAUAAGCAAUACAUGGUAAGUACAAUAAUCUCAUAUAUGUUAUGAAUCAAUUCUAGCUAAUAUGUCGUUGAUCUUGGGAGGAAGAAUCUGUCAAGUCUGAUUUGGGGAAAUCAACUGAUUUCCUGGGAGGAACCGGAGUGAUAUUCUCUUUACCUAAGAGUCUUGCCCAUCAAGAAAAAGUCCUUAUUGCAUUAGGUUUAUAACUUCUAAUCCACAAUUAAGAUAGGAAUCCUUCUAGCUCUUAUAUUAGCCUUAAAACACUAACUUUAAUAGAGCUGCAGGUUUAGUUGUUUUGAACUCCUAAUUGAUAUCAAGUCUUAGAAUCCUUUGAUGAUUAUAAGACCACACUUUAAUGGGUUAGACAUAUACACGUCUAACAUUUGGCCUCAUUAAGCUCUCUAGCUCUAGUACCGUCUGCAAUGAGCUUAAUGGUUUGUCCUUGGUGGAUGCUGGUAUUGGACAGAAUGAUGGUAAGUGUGAUGCUGAUUAGCAUAUUAUGGAUGUCGAGUUCUCGGGCAAAACAAGUCUCACUAGUGAGUCUGGGGUUCUAUGCUUGUAUCGUUGUUGCCCUACAUGUCUAGAUAUCCUCUACAGUUUGACACCAAAAAUUCUUAUUCACAAAUGGGGAUCCAAUAGGAGCCUAUGGAUUGCAGAGGAUGCCCAUGAUGUUGUUGCAUCAGUGUCUGUGGAUGUUCUUGCAGCAGUUAGAAGAAUGAAUGUUUGUGGAGGUUUCAGCAACUCAUUGGAUGAUAAAUUGAGAGACGGAAAUAAUGAGACGUUUGAACGGUCGGAAACAAUUACAUGCCAUUGCAAAACUUCAGGAAAUAAAAGUCUUUUGCCAGUUGAAUGUAAAUGCCACACCAUCAGCGAUAGCACCAUAACAAAUAAGCAAAUGCUUUCCGAAUACUCAUCCCUGUUUGAGUGAAACUUUAUUUUCAGAGAUGGUGUACUGGUUCAUAUGGAUCCUGAAAGGGAUGUUUCUUUUCACUGCAAAUUAGAGACCCUGUGCCUCUGUUCACUUAUAGAAUUGAUAGUAAUGAGCAAGCUACCUUUUCAUUGAUUUGAUCAUUUCGCAGCCUGCAUUUGCUUACCCUGUGGCAAAGUUUUGUGCCGUAGCGGAAUUUAGAUGUGAAAAAUGAAAUUAAAAAUUAUUGGUUUGGUAGGUCUAAACUUUUCUGCAAGUUCCUUUUGGAGUUUUGACUCUCUUUGAGGAGCUAAUCUCCAUGUAAUUAAUACAUUUGGACACUAUUUGUUCAUUCAUUUUUUCGUACUUAGUAGUUUAUGGGUUGAAAAAUGAAAUUAAUAGUUAUUGGUUUGGUUGGUCUAAACUUUUCUGCAAGUUCCUUUUGGUGACUACCUGCUGCCAUUGCUCCUUCUCUCGGUCCCGUGACCGAGAGCGUCACCUUGAUGUGCACCGCCACGCUGCAGCCGCAAGGCGCCACAGUAGGCACCUGAUGGGUAUAUUUUAUAUUAUAUAUUUAACCCCAUUCUUAGUAUAUUUUGGUUAAUAUUUUGGAAAAAUUUUGAUACUUUGAAUUAUAAUUCCAGUAUAGGACUUUCGACUUCCUUUGGAGCAAAACAUAAUCAAAUGGACGAAUUUUAGAGUAAUUCCAGUUGAAAGACGUACGUGAGUCACUUAGCUUGAUCGUAUCAAAAUUUCAGAUUUUUCUACCAAGCAAUUAUUUUCUGGCAAUAAAAUAAAGCAGCAGUGCGCGAUGUUGGAAUAGUGACAUUUUGGGCUUUUAUUGCAUUUUGGAGCCCAAGAUGACCUCGGAUAGGUUCGUGGCCUUCUGGAGAAGUGUUCAGAAUAUUUUUAUCUUUAAAACAAGCUAUCUUGGGCAGGAUUUGGAGGAGAUUUGAGGUCAAAACGUGACUGGGCAGAUUGUGGGCAAAUUCUCCUAAUCCAAUUUGGAUUUUAUAUCCUAGUAUUAUUUUAUUUUAACUUAGUUUCCUGGUGGAGAUUGGGUAGCUAGGUUUUAGGAGGUAUUUAAGUUCUUUCUCGCAGCAAUUUUGUGGACUUUUUCUUUUAUGCAAUUCUGGGGAAGACAGAGACUUUGGCUAGGGUUUUGAAGAGCUUCUACUUCAAGGUGUUUUUAUUCCUAUUCAUUCGAAUGAUAUUUUCUUUGAUUUUAAUUAUGAGUAUGCGUAACUAAUUCCUUUUGCUAGGGCGAGGCCAUAAGCCUUAGCAUGAAUAUGUAAUUUUAUUAAUUUGCUUAUGAAUGGAUGCAUGUUUGCUUUGAAUUAUUAAUCACUGCGUUUAAAACUAUCUAUCUAUUUUAAUGACUGAUCACCAUUAUGAGAUGUAGACAAGUAAUUUGAUGCAAUUUCUGUUGGAACAUCACCCUGAAAUUGAGGAGGGCUUCUUGUGAUUAGUAAUUGUAAGUUCACUUAAGGCGAACAUCACGCUCUUAAGGGUUGCAUGAUUUUUCGAAGGGUUUUCACAAAGCUUAAUGAGUCUUGCAUGUUUAUAUUUGAUCUGAACGUCACAGACGGAUUGCAUGUUAGAUAUAUGUUUUCGCUUGAACAUCACAAGGAAAAUAUGCAUUAGGAAAACCUAACCUUCAAGGCAUAUAUGUGAAAAUUCAUAAGUAAUUGAUAGAAUUGCAUAGGAUUGUGACGGUGAUGACUAAGCCCUAGUUUUCUCUAAAUUGUUAGUCUUUAAAUAGAAAACAUUUUUCUUCUUUGCUGUUAUUAUUUCCCAACUUUCAGAUUUCUUUUACUGCUAAUUUAAUCUUUUCAAAUUCGUAAACUUCAAAUUGUUGAUAAAAUCUAUUUUAGUUAUUAAUUAAGAGUUAGUUUAAUUACAAAUUAGUCAAACAAUCUUUGGAGACAACGACCUUGCAUGAGCACUUAUACUACAAUUACCUUGUAUUCUUGCAAGUAUUUUCAGUAAUUUUUACCCUAUUGCGCAGGUUCUAAAAAUCCUACCAAGAAAUUGGCGUCGCUGUCAGGGAUUGUUUUAACUAAUUUGUUUUUAUCAUAUUCUUAGUUGAUUUUGUUUAAACUUUUUUUUUUUCCGUCAAAUUUUUUAUUUUUUUUUAAAAUUGAACAUUUUCUUUUCUGUUUCAUAUUCUGCCGACUGCAUGGUCCAGACCAGAUUAGGAAUUGCACAGAUUGCAUAGUUUGAUCCAGAACCAGAGCACAUCCUGCGCAGACAGCGGCGAGAAGUUAAUUGGGCCUGGGACUGUUCACUGUAGGGCACUUUUCUGCAGAAUUUGUUUGCAGACGAGGGAAACAUGGCGUUAGAAUUACCUGCAGUAGGCAAACCACUCUGGGAGUCGUUGGCAGCCCGUGCCACUGAUGCCCCAAUUGCAUUGUGUAUCCCGAACAAGAAGAGGGUGAUUCGUUUGAGAUCAAGCACCACAUGCUUGAGAUUUUACCAACAUUCUGUGGGCUGCCUAAUGAAGAUGCGAACAUACAUAUAGAAAAAUUUAUUAUGGGUUGCAAGAAUAUUUUGAUUUGGGGUUUUUCUGCUGAAGCUAUCAAGUUACGUCUUUUCCCUUUCACUUUGAAGGACAGGGCAGAAACUUGGUUAUUCACUCUACUAGCUAAUAGCAUUACUACUUGGCAGCAGUUACACACAAAAUUCCUGAACAAAUAUUAUCCAGCAUCCAAGACAUUGAAUUACAAGAGGGAGAUCAAUAGUAAUCAACAGUAAUCAGCCAUCACAUCCGCCACAUAUUAGAAAUCUACUACCUCAUUCUUUGGGGCAGAGUCAGUCAGAUCAACAGUAAUUAGACAAUGAAGAGAAAAUGCUCAACUCAAGGGCUGAAAAGAAGCAAGCAAUCACAGUUUCUUCCUAUGAAUCAAGUAGAUCUGAAGGGAGUAGAACAAGGUGAGGAGAAAGCAAAUCCCGUUCCAGACAGUCGAGCAGUCCAAAAAGGAAAAGGAACAACUACUGCCUAAUAGCAAUCAAAGAAUCAGGACCAAGUCAAGGGAAUCCAUCCAAAGGUCUCUCCUGAAGAAGGAUGGAAGCCCGAAAAGGACGUCGAGAUAGUACCCCUUAAUCUUGACAAGCCAGAGAGAAAAACGUGGAUCGGCUCGCGCCUAAGCCCAUAUGAAAAGGCAGAGCUUGUAGCCUUCCUCCAUAACAACAAAGACGUAUUUGCAUGGUCACCAUCCAACAUGCCAGGCAUCAAUCCCCAGAUCAUCUACCAUCGCAUUCACGUCAACCCAACCAUCAAACUAGUAGCACAAAAGAGAUGCAAUUUCACUCCCGAGCGAGUUGCCAUCAUUGAAGCUGAAAUCGACAAACUCCUAGCUGCCGGUUUUAUUGAAGAAGUCUCCUAUGUAGAAUGGCUGGCUAAUGUUGUUCUAAUAACAAAAAAAAGACAAGGGGCAUGUGGAGAAUUUGCUUUGAUUACACCGAUCUCAACAAGGCAUGCCCCAAAGACAACUUUCCACUAUCAAGAAUUGAUCAGUUCGUAGAUUCCACUUCCAGCAAUCAAUUGCUAAGCUUCAUGGACACUUAAUCCUACUAUAAUCAAUUCAUGAUGCACAAAGACGACAAAGCAAAAAAUUCCUUCAUCAUUGAAAAUGGUACAUAUUGCUACAAACUCAUGCCUUUUGGGCUGAAGAACGUCGGAACAACUUACCAAAGGCUAUCAAAGGCCAGUGAACAAAAUUUUCAAGGAUCAGAUUGACAAAACUAUGAAGGUCUACAUAGCGACAUGCUAGUCAAAGCGCCCCAGCGAGCAGACCACAUCAAGAAUCUUGCCGAAGCAUUCAGCCUGCUCCGAAGCAUCUAGCCGAUUUUGGGAUAGUCACCCAAAGAGGCAUCAGGGCAUAUCCGAAUCAAAUCAAGGAGAUACUCAACAUGAAGUCACCUGCAACGACAAAAAAGAUACAAAGUCUAAUGAGCAGAGAAGCAGCUCUCAAUUGAUUCCUCUCGAUAUCUACUAAUAAGUGUAGGCCAUUCUUAAAAGUCUUUAAGAAAUGACAAAAAGACAAAUGGGACGAAGAGUCAAAGUAGCCUUUCAAAGCUUGAAGACCUACCUCACUUCGCCUCCCCUGCUCUCAAAAUCGAUACCCGGUGAAGAUUUGUUCAUCUACCUGGCGGUGGCCAACUCAGCUGUGAACUCAGCUCUCAUAUGAGAAGAGCUGGGCGCACAACAUCUGGUAUUCUAUAUAUCAAAAGUUGUCCCCGACGCAUAGACUCGCUAUCCGAAAAUAGAGAAGGUCAUUUUAUCUCUUGUAGUUUCUACGAGAAAACUAAGACUACUAUCAAGCUCACUGGAUAAUUGUCAUGACAAAAUUUCCUUUAAGAUCUCUUAUUCACAGCCCCGACGUUUCUCAAAGACUCAUGAAACGGGCUGUCGAACUUAGUCAAUACGACCUCUUCUUUCGGCUGAAGACUGCUAUAAAAGUCGAGGCUUUAGUAAAUUUUGUUGUAGAGUUUACUCCGACAGUCGAAGAAGAGAAGUUGGUCAUAAAAAACAAGAAAAAAGUAAACGAUACCUCCCUUACCCAUCCAAGCUUGCCCAACGACAUGUAGCAGUUGCGUGUAAACGAAGUAUCAAAUCACAAGGGAGAUGGACAGACGUCGUCUUUGAUAGGACUUGACCCAAAUUCCACUUUGGAAUUCGAGCCGAACCCUGUGAGUGUCCGACACCUGGCUAAAGCCGGGCACAAAGACCAAACUACCCUUCUAACUAAAAAUCCACUUUUAAAAUAAGAUUAUCUUCUGCCGAAAAUUCGGCAGAGUUUCCCCUGUCAUUUACUCAUUUCCCAAAAUCUCCACCUGUCAUCAAACAUUUAUAUAACUCAAUCGUUUAGCAUGCAUUCAAUUAUAUCCAAACAAGUUAAGCAUCAUAAUAUACUGAUCUCAGAUAGCAAUAAAUCAAAUAAAUCAAUCUGCUAAUAAAAUUCUUCUCAACUUUCAGAACAACAAUACUGUUAUAAAACUAGAGGGAGAAAAUGUAGAGAGAAGUGAUAUGCUAAAUAUAAAGCUUCACUAUGUUUUUCCUCCCUUAAUCUUUGGUAGAACCACCUAUUUAUAGGCUUACAAGAUAGAAGAUUGAAUACCAUCAUUUACAAUAUACUUAUAGGUUACAAGUACUAAUUACAAAUACUUAAUGCAUAGGUUACAUAAAAUCCAACGGUGGAAUAUUAAGAGGUAUGGUGGUCAUCCACCAACUCAUGCAUUUACAACACUCCCCCUUGGAUGUCCACCAUACAAUGACAUUGUUUCCUCAUUAAAAACCUUGCUUGGAAAACCCAGUGGGACAAAACCAAAGCGAAGGGAAAAAGAGUGAAACUUUCUUCUGAAUCAUUGAUAUGGUGUUGGAUGAGCUUAUAUUGCCUCGUUAAAACCUUGCUAGGAAAAAACCCAGUGGGACAAAAACCUAGUCGAAGGGAAAAAGAGUACAACGCGCAUCUGCCUUGAAUGUAGUAGAAUUGGGAUGCUCCCCCUGAUUGAUAUCUCCCCCUGAUUAAUAUCUCUCCUUCUCUGAUUUGAGCAAUACAAGCAAUAUUGUCUUCAUACAUGAUCAUCUAUCACACUAUUCAACCUGCUUUUCACUUUUCAAAUGAUUGAAAUCUUUAGGAGUAUCAACAACUAAUUUAGUAGUCAGAAUAUGUUACAACAAUAUCAAAUUUGAAUUCAAAAUACUCAAACUCUUAGUGUUAACUCUUAAUUAAGAAUAUUGUGGUACUUUAUAUCCUUCAAGAGGUUGCUUCAUCCGAUAUAUCUCAAAUAUUUCAUGAGCUUUGAGGAUUUCCAUGUACCAUAUAGUCUUAAUAAAUAUGCAUUUAACACAUACUAUAAGUUUUGCGUUAAAGUAACAACUGCACUUAUAGAAAUGUGGAUGCAUUUACGAUGAGAUUGGAGACUAAAACCACAUGUCUCUCCCAGGAAACUUUAUGUCAUAUUAGUGAUCUUAUUUCACUUCACAAACACCAAUUCGUAACCUUCAUACUGAACAUUUGUAAUUUGGUGUUUGAGUUAUAGGUUCAAUAUCCAACUCUUCUUAUUUAGUGAUAAAUGGAAUUGCCUAUUUCCAUUUUUGGCCAAUCACUUAACUUGUCGACAUUCAUGAAACGUGAUUUAAUAUAAUCAUAGCCCUUGAUGAUUGUAGUAUCUACUAAUAAACCAAAUGUAUCAUCAAUUUGUGAUCCCACAAUUCUCAUGUGCAUGCGCAUGCAUAAUUUAUAAGCAUCUCAUUACUUUAGGGUACCAAUGCCUCUUCAGGGGCUUAUGUUGUCACUUAUGGGACAAACAUCUCUUUUAAAAUGAAUUAUUUAGAAUAUGUGGAUCAUAACCUCCUAUAGAGCGUUAUUUUUUAUAGGGCUUGAAUUUUUCAAAUAAUCUCCAUUUCUGAGGAGUUAAGUCUUUAGAACCUAUAUUUCUGACAUGCUUCAGGCAUGCAUUAAAUAUAUAGUCACCAUGUUAAUGGAUUGUGAUACGAGAAUAUCAAUCCAUGUUAGCAUAUGUACAAAUUAUAUAUGCAUUAUCUUGAUGAGACAAAAGCGGAUUGAUUCAACACUAUUUCACGACGUUCUUUAGGAAUUGUCAUUUCUCCCCCUAACGGCGGGAAAAUUGUCUCAAAAUGUAGGAAAAUAAACUCACAGUCGUUAUCAAAUAUGUGACCAUUUUAGUAGGCACAUUCAGUAAAACUGGUGAAGUGAUCCAUAAUUAGAUGUUGUAUAGGCUCACAAAUAUCCCCUUGAAUUAUUUCAGGAAAGAUGGCUCAAAGUCAAUUUUUGACUGAGAUGAUCUUAUGACAGCUUUUAUUUGUGAGCGUUCUUUGUAAUGAUAUUGUUGGACAAGACAAUAAUUUGAGUCUUUAAACGAUGUCCUUACAAAUUUAUAAAAAUCUUAUGCAUCAUUGUGGGACAUGGAUUGCCAAGAUAGUCAUGUCACAACAUAAAAGUUAUUCGGUCAAUGAACUUCUAGUUCAUGACAUCAUAAUCUUCAACUAUAAUAGUUGUGUAAUAUUGGGGCCUCAAGAACUUUUGGUUCAUAACAUCAUAAACUUCCUACCCACAAAAGAAAGUAGGAAGUUUCUCCAAUAGACGCCUCUGGCUAUCAAUAUUGGGGCGGUAAUACAAAACAUUACCAUUGUAAAACGAAAUUAAUUAAUAACCUAACAUAAAUAAAAUAAAAUAUAAUAAAAUAAGUAAAGUGGUAUAAACAAGGAAUAAAAUAAAUCAAUUAAAGAUUAUGAAAUUCCAAGAUAAUCCAAUAUUAAUGUGGAUUCAAUAUAUAGAUAAAACUACAAGUUUAAGAAUUGGAUUUCCAACCAAUUCAGGUUCAUAUAGGCACAAAUAAGUAAUGAACUUCAAGUUCAUAUAUAGUAUUAAGAUCCAUGAAAAACUAUGAACUUCAGGUUCAUAUCAAUAUAUAUUCGAAACUUCAGGUACGAAUACGUAGAUCUAAAUAAAUUGAAUUAAUAGUUGUGCUUUGAACUUCAUACUCAAAUCGAUGUAUAUGCACUCGAAACUUCUGGUUCAAGUUCUUGACAUAUGUAGGCCUCAUGGAAUUCUGAUUUUGAUUAAUACAAAAUCGAGGAGUUUUAUGUCCUUAUGUGCUCUUUAAAUUCGCGGAACUUCACGCCCUCAAUUAUUUGGAAUCAAAGAACUUCAGGUUCUGAUUCAAUCAAAAGGACUCUAUAUCCUAAUCUAGUUAUAUGAUGAGGAUCACGGAACUUCGGGCCCCUGAUCUUUUGUAUAAUUCAAACUCAUCAUAAUAAUUAAGAUCAUACUUAAAAUUAAAUAAACAAACAAAUAAAAAUAAAAACAUGGCAUUAUAUUCAUGUGUAAUAAGAAUAAGAAUUUUUUUUUUCUUAAACAAGCAUGAUGAAGUCUGAUGGUGAGUACAAAGAAACUCUAUACCAUGUGAUGACUCUAGCUCAUAUAAGAAGAAAGAAAAUUCAGAGAAAGAAAACAUACCAAGAGCAAUGUCGUGCUGAUAACGUGUUAUAAAACUAGAGGGAGAAAAUGUAGAGAGAAGUGAUAUGCUAAAUAUAAAGCUUCACCAUGUUUUUCCUCCCUUAAUCUUUGGUAGAACCACCUAUUUAUAGGCUUACAAGAUAGAAGAUUGAAUACCAUCAUUUACAAUAUACCUAUAGGUUACAAGUACAAAUUACAAAUACUUAAUGCAUAGGUUACAUAAAAUCCAACGGUGGAAUAUUAAGAGGUAUGGUGGUCAUCCACCAACUCAUGCAUUUACAACAGUGUUGGUAAUCUCAAACAUUCUAACUCGUGGCUGCACCUUGUAACUAUAGGCUGCCUACGUACCCUUACUGAGGGAUCAAGCAACACGUAGUUCUUUAAUUGCAAAACCACUCUAGUUCUCAUAUUUCAUCUCAGCUUUUUAUUUCAAACUUCCUGGCAUUAUUUCUCACAUAGUAAUAUAUAAUUAAAUGAAGAAAUAAAAGCAUUUAUAUCAAGUAAUCAUGCUUGGAAAGCCAUAACCAUCAAUUCCUCAUGACACCAAUGGUGACACGUCUUGACCUGUAAUCCUCGAUGGACUUAGGAGACAUCUGGUCAACCUGGUCCGCAAUCCUUGCUCCCGCGGUCCGUAUAACCCUAAGACUUGUAGGGCAAAAUAUACUAAAAAACUCAAGGUAUUUAAUACUAUAUAAAAUAAUGCAAGAUAAAGAUAAAUGAACAUAAUAAAAUAACAUAAGUUAAAGAUUAUAAGUUCCGAACACCCUUGUAUUGAACUCACGUAAAGUUCAUAAAUAAAUAAAUAAAAAUAUAUAUAUAUAUAUAUAUAUCAAUAACUUGAUUAGAAUCUAUAUAUAUUUCCAUCUAUCGCUUGUAAAACAAAUGUGACGCUUAAGAAAAUAAUGGUAAUUGUAUAAAAUCCUCAAUUUAGUUUAAACGCAUCUCAGAACUUAAAUUCUCUCCACCUAGGCAUACCCCCAUUUCUGAUCCGUCAAUUCCUUAAUACCGUCAAUUCCAAUAAUAAUCCGUCAAUUCCAAUGUUAGUUCGUCAAUUCCAUCCUCACAGGCCUCGGAAACACAAGGUUAACCGAGCCGCAUUCCUCGCAGGUCUCAGAGAUAACACUUCAAUCUGAGCCGCAAUCCUCACAGGUCUUGGAGAUACCACUUCAAUCCGAGUCACAUUCCUCGCACCACAUGGUUCAGGUGUCCCCGAAACUAGUGGGGCAUGUCAUAAAUGAUAAUCCGUUUUCAAAGACAACUAGGGAGUACCCUCAUGGUGGGUUUGAAAACUAUAACUCGUCAUUUAUAUAAACUUUCAAUAAAUUGGUUCUCAACUAAACUUAAAAUAUAUACAUAUAUAUAUAUGAGAUUCUUGUAGAAAUGUCACCUGAACUUAUACAUCAAUUUCAAUUUGUCACCUUAAAGAAAAAUUUAAGCAAAAUGUCACCUUAAGUUUUCAAAAUCCAUGAUUUGUCACCUGACUUUAACAUCAUCCAAUUUUUCAUCCAUUUUAAAGGGUGUUUUAGUCUUUCCAAUAUGUAAACCCUCUUUUUUAUAUAAUUUAAAUAUAAAGCUAUGUAAACCCUUUUUCUUGGAAAGACUAAAAUACCCUUCAAAAUGGAUGGAAAAUUGGAUGACGUUAAAGUCAGGUGACAAAUCAUAAAUUUUGAAAACUUAAGGUGACAUUUCACUUAAUUUUUUUUUAAGGUGACAAAUUGAAACUAAGGUAUAAGUUCAGGUGACAUUUCUACAAAUAUCCCUGUAUAUACCACAAUCUGAUAAAAGCCAAAAGCUAAGAUUCAUCCUUUUCAACUACUGAAUAUAUAUAUAUAUAUAUAUAUAUACCCCAAAUACUUGGCCAGUUUGUUAACUAUUUCGAUCUCUGCUUAGCAUACCAUUCUAAUAUUAUAUUUAUGCUCUUACCGCACAAUUAACCAUAUGAACAUAUAUAAACAUGUGAUAAAUAAACAGAUAAUUAAAUACUCAUUUCGAAAUCACAUAAAAUCAUGAAAUUAAAACCAUAACUAAACCAAAUGAACACUCGCACACACAUGAGCUUUCUAAAAGCUCAACCAUAUCCUAUGGAGCUCAUCCUCAUUAUUUAAUCCAAAGUCCUGGCCCUGGGCUCCUAGAAGUGCGUGCAUUGUAUUUGAAGUCAUUCUCAAGUCUAUGUAAGCAUUUCCAAUGAUUAGAACGGUCUAGAAGUGCCUCAGGACUCAAAAAGCGAUAAGUCCCAAAAAGUCAACCUAGGACCCUAUGGGGUCCACGACCUCAAGAUUCCAAUAUGAGAGUUCCUAGAGGUCUUAACAUGCCUAGGACACAUGUCUCGAGAGUUUGGUCUCGAUCGGACUGUCGGACUACUCACGAUCGCACGAUUGGAUGGUUAUUGUAAACCUAACCCUAAGGUUGGCCUUAUCGGAGUAUCUGGGACUUCGAUUCCCGAUCCGUUGAAUCCUGCACGAUUCAGAAAUUGUCUAGAUUGACAUAUACGAGAAUAACUAGAUCCAACAGUUCAAAUGUAUCAAACCCUGAAAUUGCACAAUAUGCGAGAUCCGAUCGGGGCUCAAACGUUGUCCAAAUUGAGAUUCGCAAAUUCCUACACUCUCUUGAUGACACGAGGAUCAUUCUAGGACUAAGAGUGGGUAGCUUGAUCAAUUUUCGGCAGCAGGAAAUACUCCAAACUGCCAGCCCAAACUCCUAUCUUGGGUAUAAAACCCUAUUUGGAACCACUUUUGAUCGAACCUACCUCGAAAAAUGACUGGAAGUAGCCGGAAUCUCAUCCCGAAAUCCGGCCAAAUUUUGGGUUACAAAUCGAGUUGCCUACACUAGAAAUUGAUCAAAUCCUACACAACCAUCAGCUAGCACAUAUUGAAAGGAUGGAAAAACAGACCAAAUUCGAAGAAAAUGGUGGCCGGAGGUGUCCGAACGAGCUCCACGAAAUUUUGUCAAAAACUGUCCAAACCGCCCUGCUUCGUGGCGGUUUCCAACGACCAUGACUGCGGAUCGAGGCUGAGAUGGACUGGGACUGGAAGAGGGAAGUAUGACGGUUCUAAUGGGGCCGGCCUUGCUUGAAUUGGUGACCGGAGUUGGGAAAAAUCACCCUUUGAAGUUGGCUCGUCAAAACUGCCCAGAGAGAAGAAAUCUGGGUUUUUAAAAAAACUAAACUUACCCGUAUGCCACUGAAUUUCUUUUGAUUGUCAUAUCUCCGUUACAACUCUGAUACAGGUCCACUACAUGUCUACGGGCUCAUUUUGACGUGCUCUACACAACAAUACAAUCAGAAUUUCCAAAUUCCUUUCCAAACUUAAAAUGGCCUUUUGCCCCUUAUAAUAUUAAAUAAUAUUUUAAUUUCUCAAAAACCUUACACUCCUACAUUUUACACUUUGCGCGACGAAGAGAAUUGCGUCGCGCAAAAUACAUUGUAGUCGCACAAAUUUCAGCGCGACAGAAACUUCGUCGGGCAGAAUCCAUCGUGCAAAAAUCGUGAAGAAAGACUUUGCGCGAUGAAAAAAUAUUGGUCGCGCAAAGUCUUAAAAAAAUUUAUAAAAAUUAAAAAAUUCCUACGUCCCAUUUUUGGUACUCGCCCAAAUUUUUAGAGUUUUGCGCGACGAAUACUAACGUCGUGCAAAUAUUUGCCUGACGAAAUAUUUUUUGUGUUUAAAAUGUUUUUAAUAAAGAUAAACUAAUUUUAAUAGUUUGCGCUACGAAAUAUUUUGUCGCGUAAGGUUUUUGACUUUUUGUUUUAUUAUUUCUUUAAUAUUAAUUUAUUUAUAUUAAUUUUUUAGAAUUUUUACUUUUUAAAUUUAAUUUAAUUGUAAGAUUUUUUUUAAUUACUUUAAUUUAAAUUGAUAUAUUCAAAAUAAAAUUACAUAUGAAAAAUAGUGAUUAAAUUAUCCAAUAAAUAUAUAUAAUAUUGUAAAUGUACACAUAAAUUAACAAAGUACAAUAAUAAAAUCCUAAUACAAGUGUAUUGUGGUGGUAGUGGCAGAUGAUAUGUUUUGAUAGCUUCCUAAUCCUCAACUUUAGCCAUCAAAGUCUCGAUGAUUACCUACCAAAAAAAAAUAUGGUCAAAUAACAAAAAAAAAAAAAAGAAGGCAUAAUCUACCAUAAAAUUGUUAUACCACAAAUCCAACCCAAACUCCAAUCUCUCCCCUUUACUCAACACCAAACCCCACACAAACUCAAAACUAACUCCAAAAACACAUAUUAAUGAAAAAAAAUUUAAAAUUUGGAGAGAAUAUACCUUUUGGCAAGAUUGAGAGUGAUUGAGAAUGAGAGGGAGAAGUGAGUGUGAUAGAAUUAGAUAAGAUAGUGACAGAGAGAUGAGAGAGUGAGAGAUAGUGAAAGAUAGAUGAGUGAGUGAGUGAGAGUGAGAGAUAGUGAGAGAAAGGGUGGGAUCUGGGGAGAGGGAAAGAGAGAGGAGAGGUAAGAGUAGAGAAAGACAUUGAGAAAAUAGUGGACGAGUUAUUUUGGUUUUAAAAAUCGUAUCACUUUGCGCGACGAAAAAUAUUGUUGGUCGCGCAAUGUUUUGCGCGACAAAAAAUAUUGGAAUAUUGGUCUCGCAAACUUUUGCGCGAUGAAACAUAUUGGUGGCGCAAUCGCGCAAAGUCUAAAAAAAUUAUUUAAAAAAAAAAUUCCCGCAUCCCAUUUUGGAACUCGCCCAAAUUUUUGCGUGACGAAAAUAUAUAUUGGUCGCGCAAAGUCUAAAGUUUUUUUUUUAAUUUAAAAAACCCGCGUCCCAUUUUUGGUACUCGCCCAAAUUUUUUGAGUUUUGCACAACGAACUGUUGGUCGUGCAAACUUUUGAGAGACGAAAAAUUGGUUCAUAGCACAAUAUUUAUAAAAAUAAUUGUUAUGAAUAAUAAAAAAUAAAAAAAUUAUUUUAUGAUUUAAAAUAUAAUUAAGGUGAAAGCUACUUAAUAAAUAUAUAUACUAUUCAAUUUCUUAAGUGUUAUACGUACAAAAUAAAAAAAUUUAAAGCUACUUAAUAAAUAUAGAUAUAUACACACACACACCAUUCAACAAUCCAACCGUAAGACUUGUUUGUAUAUACUUCAAGAUCGUAUGCCCCAAAAAUCACAAAAAACAAACAUUCAGAGAUCUAGUAAUGGGAUAAAACUUUUCGAUGGUUAUAAAUGAAAAAUCACGAUUUAACGGUUAUUUUAACUCCGAUUUUGAUGAUUUUGUUACAGCUACACUCCUUGACCCUAUAUGAAUACAAUGACUGAAUUUGAAAUUCAAUUUAAAAUAUUUACACUAGUGGAUACCACAAAAUCUUAUGUUAUAUUUAACGAAAGUAUAAAUAAACUCUUAAUCGUUAGUGAAUACAUUGUUUUGAUGGCAUACACAUUCUACGAAAACUAGUUUCAACGAUCCAACUGUCAAACUUGUUUUUUUAUACUUCGAGAUCAUAUACGCCAAAAAUUGAAAAAAAAAACAUUCAGAGAUCAAGUAACGGGACCAAACUUUUCGACAGCUAUAAAUGGAAAAUCAUGAUUUAAUGGUUAUUUUAACUCCGAUUUUGAUGAUUUUUUAUAGCUACACUCCUUGACCCUAUAUGAAUACAAUGACUGAAUUUGAUCUUCAAUUUAAUAUAUUUACACUAGUGGAUACCACAAAAUCAAUGUUAUAUUUAACGAAAGUAUAAAUAAACUCUUAAUUGUUAGUGAAUAUAUUGUUUUGAUGGCAUAUGCAUUCAACAAAACUAGUUUCAACGAUCCAACCAUCAAACUUGUUUGUUUAUACUUCGAGAUCAUAUACGCCAAAAAUCGGAAAAAAUAAACAUUCAGAGAUCAAGUAAUUGGACAAAACGUUCCGACGGUUAUAAUGAAAAAUCACGAUUUAACGGUUAUUUUAAAUUCGAUUUUGAUGAUUUUUUACAGCUACACUCCUUGACCCUAUAUGAAUACAAUGACCUAAUUCAAUCGUCAAUUUAAAAUACAUAUUUUCUAACAAAAACCCAAUCCGAACAACAAUAAUAUAUUUUUCUAAAACAAAAAUCUGAUCCGAUCUAAAAUAAUAAAUUUAAAGCUACUUAAUAAAUAUAUAUACCGUUUAAUUUCUUAAGUGUUCUGCAUACAAAAUAAAAAACAAAAAUAAAUUGGUUUAGGCGACGAAAUGUUUAGAUUACGUCAUGCAAAGAUUUGAAAAAAUAAAUUAUUUUAUUUUAUUUAUUUUUAUAAGGACUUUGUAAGACGAAGUUUACUGUUUCGUCGCGCAAAGUCACUUUGAGCGACGAAUUAUUUUUCGUUGCGCAAAAUUUGGUCGCGUAAGACUUUGAGCGACGAUGUAUUAUCGUCGCGCAAAAUUUUGUCGCGCAAAGUGACUUUGCGAGACGAAUUAUUUUUCGUCACGCAAAAUUUGGUCGCGCAAGACUUUGAGCGACGAAGUUUCGAGUUUCGUCGCGCAAAGUGACUUUGACCGACGAAUAGUUUUUCGUCACACAAAAUUUGGUCGCGCAGGGGUUUUUUUUUACUAGUGUUAAUUAAUUCAAAUCAUUUUAUUUUAAUGUUGAUUUCAAUUUAUUUCCUCUUUUAAAUUUAUUCUCUCUUACUUUGAAUAUUUUAACACUUUUUCGGGCCAGGAUGUAACAAUUUCACCAAUCUCCCCGGUCAACAAGUCAACAUGUAAACCUAUUAAAAUAUUCCGGGGUAACAUUGUCUUUUUCUUUAAUGAUUUAGUAUUUAAUUAUUAGUUUAGGACCGGGUCGUUACAGUCUUAGUCACCCCACACGGAAAUUUAUUGGAACAAGCUAUCACACUGGGCUUUCUAGCUUCAAACAACGAGGCAAAAUACUAGGCAUUGCUUGCCAAAUUGCGCCUAACAAAAGAGCUAUCAAUCAAAAGAUUAGCCAUAUACUCAUACUCCUAGUUGAUCACAAAUCAAGCUUCAGGCGAGUACAUGGCAAAACAUCCAACAAGUUCCCCAGGCAGAAAACACUCAUGCUGAUGCAUUGGCAAGCCUAGGAUCAACGCUGGAUACUGAGUUCAAACGUUCCAUCCGGUCGAACACCUUGACUGACCCAGCAAUUGAGCAGAUUGACUCAAUGCAGAUUAAUGAGGACCCUAGCUGGCAAGACCCCAUCAUCAACUAAUUGGCAAAUGGAAAUUUGCCAAAAGAGAAAUCUAAAGCUAGGAAGGUCCAGCAAAAGGCAGCAAGUAACAUGCAAGACAACAAGCUCAUUCGCAGAUAAUACUCCGGCCUUAAUCUCACAUGUAUAAAAUAUCCACAAACACUUAAGGUGCUCUGCAAGAUUUACGACUACGAGUGUGGUAACCACUCUGGGGGUAGGUCAUUUGCAUAGAAGGCUCUAAACAUAAGCUAUUUAUGGCCUACCCUAGGCCAUAACUCCACCGAAUAUGUCAAAAGAUAUGAUUGCUGCCAAUGGUACAAACCAGUUCUUAACCUGCCUGCCAAAGUUUACCAUCCGCUGAAUAGUCCAUGGCCUUUCAUGCAAUUGUUCAUCAACUUAGUGGGCCCCAUGCGAAUAACACUUGCCAAGAAAGACAUGAUGAUCAUCGCCAUUGACUAUUUUACUAAAUGGAUUGAGGCGAAAGCUCUAUCUUCUACUAAAGAAGCCGAUGUGGAACUAUUUGUCUAGAGAAAUGAUAAGCCUAUAUUUUAUAUAUAUUUUAUGCCUCUUCUACUUAUUUAUUUGUUAAUUUUCUUGGAUCAAAUUGGUUGUUUUAAUUGGUUUUGUGAGAUUUGUGGAGGAAUUGUGGAAAUAGGAGGAAGUGUGCUAAAAAGGGCAAGAAGAUGAAGAUUGAAGAUUAAUUAAGUCAAGAAGCCAAGUCAUUCCUUUUGUCGCAAGGAAUGUUGUCAAUUUUCCUAGUUGAAGAUGGUUCAAGUCUUAUCAAGUCAAACAAGGAGAAUUAAAGAAGACCCUAUUUUAGAAGGAAUCCUACUUUUAUAACAAUUGUAAUUAUACCUUAGAUAGGAUUUCUAGGAGUCUUAUAAAUAGGAAGUUUAGGUCAUUGUCAAAGGAACCCCAAUCAUCCAUCAUCCUACAUAUUCAUACUCAUAGCCGAAAUAUCCAGAGGAGAAUACGAAGAAAGCUUGCGCAACCUUGGCAUUCUACUUGGAGAAUUCAAUGUCUACCAUGUCUUCAUCAACCAUCAUGAUUCUCAAUAAGUCCUUCAUGAACUAAUUCCUUUUACUAGGGCUACGAUGUAGGCUAGCUAUGAAUACUCAAAUUCUUUGAUAUUGUUAAUUUUAUUUAUCUAUACAUGUUGUGCUAUGUGCUUCUUCAAGAAACACUCCCAAGUGCUUAAAUUUGUUAUGAAAAUUGAAGAUUUUUAUAAUAAAAAUGCUUUUGUUAGAAGCACUUAUAAGCAGAAGUACUUCCUAGAGAAGCAGUCCCAAACGAGCUAUAAUAUAUUACCACUUAUAUGUACAAUGAUUAUAUUAACUUUUAAAGGCCUAAUCAUUUUAUAGAUUAUAAGUGAAGCAUGCGUUUCGAGUAUAUAGCACCAUAUGUAAUUAAUUGUAGGACUUUUCACAUAUAAGCCCAUAAAUGGAAGUUCAAAUCUUCUGUUCCCAUUUUUUGUCCCCUCUUUGUCUCCCAUUUAGAAUUUUGACACCUAUUUAACACCACUUAACCCAGUCUUAACAGUGUGAACCUUCCCAACAAAAAAAAAGAAAAAAAAAAGACUACAAACUCUCCUCUGCCACACCCCUUCAACUUCACCAUUUUUGGUUUUCAUCUUCAUUGCUGAUGAUUAUUGACCUUCGACUGUUUCCACUCAGGGAUGGACCCAGUAUUUUAAAAUGGAGUGGGCUAAAUUUAGGUACUAAGCAGAUAGAAACCUCAACAAUACUAUGUGAUUUCAUUGAUAACCAAAAAAAAAAACGCAAGAACAAUAAAAUCAAUUGCAAAUCCUAUUUGAUAAUUCAUAACUCAUAAACUGAAACUGAUGCCCCAAUUGCAAAUCCUAAUUGAUAAUUCAUAAGUGUCAAUUGCAAAUCGUAAUUGAUACUUCAUAAACUCCAAAAAAAAUCCUCAAAUUAAAGCAUCAAGAAAUUGAGAGAAGCUUACAUAACGAAUAUAGAAACUUGGUUGACUUAAGUUUUGAAGGUGAGUGCAGUAGCAACAAGAGACUUUUUUUUUUUGGUUGAAUUUUAUUCUGAUUAAGGUUUCAAGCCUUCAAUCACUGGAGGAUUUUUUGGAGAAACUGGAAUAUGCCCCUUUGUUACUGCCCACCAUCUAUUCGAUUAUUUCCUCCAAAGAAGCUCCAGGUAGCAGCUCCUUUGCGUAGGCUGCAGUGCGCAGGGCUGCUUGGUUUCUUUUUUUUAAGUGAUAUGUUCAAAACGCAUAGUUUUGGUCCAAGUAAAACCAAAUAAUAAUAAUAAUAAUAAUAAAAUAAAAAGAAAGGGCCAAUAGCUAGCAAUGGUUGACAUCCCUUCCUCAAAUGAGUUUCAAUCGAAAUUGGAUACCCCAAAUAAACCCUAUCAUCCCCAACUCUUAACCCUACACUUCCACACCUGAACUACCACUACCCACACCGGCCAACUCCCCAACCACAUUCAUUUUUUCUCAAUCCUCCUUUGCCUCCAUCAUCCAUUAGCUUUCUCUUUGCGCUUUUUUCAUUAUCAUUGACUAUCUCUCUCUCUCUCUCAAAUUGGUACAAAUAAAUUUCAUUACAUUCAUUAAGCAACGAAACCCUGAAAGGAUCUCUCUCCCCCUCUGUAUUCUUUGAUUCAUUAGUAGAAACCCAUUUGUUUUUAGAGGCAAAAGAAGCAUUGUGAAGUGGGCAUAAGAUGGAUUUCUCUUUAUGCUUUAAUUAAUUAAGAUGGAUUUUGGGUUUUGGUUAAUUGAUUGAGUUUUGGUUAUGGUUAUUUUGUAUAGAUUUUUUCAAUUUAUUUAUUUGUAUAUAUUUUUAGUUUUUAAUUAAUUAAUAAAGAUUGUUGUGGUGUGAUUAAAGCUUGUUAGUUUGUAUAUAAUUAACACGGUGAAUUUGUUAAUAUGAUUAAUAUGGUGUUUUAGCCUUUUAAAUAUAGUUUAAAUCAUCAUGGUAUUUGGUUAAAUUUUUGUUUUUAAAAGCUUUUAACCUUUGAAAUAUUAAUAAUAUAUUAAAUCAAUAGAUUAAAAUAUAAUGCAACAACCCGAUCCUAAAUUAAUUUUUAGUUAUUAAUUUAUUAUGAGAAAAGAUAAUUUUGCCCCUAUAAUAAAUUAUGAGAGAAAAUGGUGACUUGUUGACCAGGGAGACUUUGGUAAAAUUGUUACAUCUCGGUCAGAAAAAAUGUUAAAAUAAUUAAAGUAAGAAUAAAUUUAAAUGAGGAAUAAAUUGAAAUAAACAUUAAAAUAAAAGGAUUUGAAUUAAUUAAGGUUUUUGAGAAAUUAAAAUAUUAUUUAAUAUUAAGAAGGGGCAAAAAGGUCAUUUUAAGUUUGGGAAGGAAAUUAGAAAUUUUGAUUGGACCAUUGCUUAGAGCACGUCAAAACGGGUCCGUAGACACGUAGUGGACUCGAAUCGGGAUUGUAAUGAAGAAAUGAUGAUUAAAAGAAGUUCAAUGGCAUAACCGUAAAUAAUUCGAAGUUCAGUUUUUUAAAAACCCAGAUUUUCUGCAGUUUGGUAGCUCGACCAGCUGACUUCCAAAGGUGAUAUCUCUCAACUCCGGCCACCAAUUGAAGGAAGAUCAGUCCCGUUAGAACCAACAUACUUCCCUCUUCCAGUCCCAGCUCAUCUAAGCCUCUAUCCACCGUCGUGGUCACCGGAAACCGCCAUGAAAUAGGGCGGUUUGGACAGUUUUUGGCGGAAUUUCGUGGAGCUCGUUCGGCCACCUCCGGCCACCAUUUUCUUCGAAUUUGGUAUGUUUUUCCAUCCUUUCAAUGUUUUCUAGCUGAUGGUUGGGUAUGGAUUGAUCAAUUUCUAGUGUAGGCAACUCGAUUUGUAACCCAAAAUGUGGCCGGAUUUCGGGAUGAGAUUCCGGCCACUUCCGGUCAUUUUUUGAGGUAGGUCCAAGAAUAAAAGUGGUUUCAAAUAGGGUGUUAUACCUAGGAUAGGAGUUUGGGCCGGAGGUUUGGAGUAUUUCUGGCUGCCGAAAAUUGAUCAAGCUACCCACGCGCUGCCAGCUUGUGUGCGGCGCGUGGGCUGCAUAGUGAGGUCACUCUUAGUCCUAGAAUGAUCCUCAUGUCUUCACGAGCACAUAGGAAUUCGCGGAUCUCAAUUUGGACAACGUUUGUGCCCCAAUCGGAUCUCUCAUAUUGUGUGAUUUCCGGGUUUGAUACAUUUGAACUGUUGGAUCGUAGUUAUUCUCGUAUAUGUCAAGCUAGACAAUUCCCGAAUUGUGUAGGAUUCAACGGAUCGGGAAUCGGAGUCCCGGAUACUCCGAAAAGGCCAACCCUAGAGCUAUGUUUACAAUAAUCGUUUGAUCGUACGAUCGUUAGUAGUCCGACAGUCCGAUCGAGACCAAACUCUCGGGACAUGUGUCCUAGGCAUGUUAAGACCUCUAGGAACUCUCGGAUCGGAAUCUUGAGGUCGUGGACCCGACGGGUUCCCGGGUUGACUUUUUGGGGACUUAUCUCUUUUUGAGUCCCGAGACACUUCUAGACUGUUCUAAUCAUUGGAAAGGCUUACAUAGGCUUGAGAAUGACUUCAAAUACAAUGCACGCACUUCUAGGAGCCCAGGGCCAGGACUUUGGAUUAAAUAACGAGGAUGAGCUCCAUGCGAUAUGUUUGAGCCUUUAGAAAGCUCAUGCGCUUGCGAGUGUUCACUUGGUUUAGUUGUAGUUCUAAUUUCAUGAUUUUAUGUGAUUUCGAGAUGAGUAUUUAAUUAUCUGUUUAUUUAUCACCUGUUUAUAUAUGUUCAUAUGGUUAAUUGUGUUGUAGGAGUAUAAAUAUAAUAUUGGAAUGGUAUUCUAAGCAGAGAUCGAGAUAGUUAACAAACUAGCCAAGUAUUUAGUGUAUAUAUAUAUGUAUUUAGUUUAGUUGAGAACCAAUCUAUUUAAAGUUUAUAUAAAUGACGAGUUAUGGUUUUCAAACCCACCGCGAGGGUACCCCCCAGUUGCCUUGAGACAGUUUGUUGUUUUGAUGAUGCCCCACGAGUUUUGGGGACGCUUGAACCGUAUAGUGCGAGGAUUGUGGCUCAGAUUGAAGUGUUAUCUUUGAGACUUGCGAGGAUUGUGGCUCAGAUUGAAGUGUUACCUCUGAGACCUGCGAGGAAUGUGGCUCGGUUAACUUUAUGGUUCCGAGACCUGCGAGGAUGGAAUUGACAGACUAACAUUGGAAUUGAUUGAUUAUUAUUGGAAUUGACGGAUAUAUGGAAUUGAUGGCAUAUAUGGAAUUGACGUAAUUAAAGGAAUUGACGGAUCAGAAAUGGGGGUACACCUAGGUGGAGAGAAUUUAAGUUCUGAGAUGCUUUUAAACUAAAUUGAGGAUUUUAUACAGUUACCAUUAUUUUCUUAAGCGUCACAUUUGUUUUACAAGCGAUAGAUGGAAAUAUAUAUAGAUUCUAAUCAAGUUAUUGAUAUAUAUAUACAGUCCCGAUCUCUUGGACCACAGGAGUUCAAGAGAUUUGUGGUCACUCACCGUUGGAUGUAAAUUCAACGGUUCACUCAAUCUUGAACUUCUUUUAAGAAACUUUUUUGAACCAUUAGAUUAAUAUCCAACGGUGAGUGACCACAAUCUCUUGGACUCCUGUGGUCCAAGAGAUCAGGACUGUAUCUAUAUAUUUGUGAAAUUUAUGAAAUUUACGUGAGUUCAAUACAAGGGUGUUCGGAACUUAUAAUCUUUAACUUAUGUUAUUUUAUUUUAUUUUAUUAUAUUCAUUUAUCUUUAUCUUGCAUUAUUUUAUAUAGUAUUAAAUAUCUUGAGUUUUUUUAGCAUAUUUUGACCAGAUGUCUCCUAAGUCCAGCGAGAAUUACAGGUCAGGACGUGUCACCAUUGGUGUCACGAGGAAUUGAUGGUUAUGGCUUUCCAAGCAUGAUUACUUGAUAUAAAUGCUUUUAUUUCUUCUUUUGAUUAUAUAUUGCUAUGUGAGAAAUGCCAGGAAGUUUGAAAUAGAGAGCUAAGAUGAAAUAUGAGAACUAGAGUGGUUUUGCAAUUAAAGAACUACGUGUGGCUUGAUCCCUCAGUAAGGGUACGUAGGCAGCUUAUGGUUAUAAAGUGCAGCCACGAGUUAGAAUGCUUGAGAUUACCAAUGCAAUAGUGUUGUUUUGAAAGUUGAGAUGAAUUUUAUUAGCAGAUUGUUCAUUUGAUUUAUGGCAACCUGAGACCAGAAUAUUAUGAUGCUUAAUUUGUUUGGAUAUAAUUGAAUGCAUGCUGAACAAUUUAGUUAUAUAAAUGUUUGAUGACAGGUGAAAAUUUUGGGGAAUGAGUAAAUUAUAGGGGAAACUCUGCCGAAUUUUUCGGCAGAAGAUAAUAUUAUUUUAAAAGUGGAUUUUUAGUUAGAAGGGCAAUUUGGUCUUUGUGCCCGGUAUUAGCGAGGUGUUGGAUACUCAUAGGGUUCGGUUCGGAUUCCAAAGUGAAAUUUGGGUCGGGUCCUGUCAUAUAAAGUCUCAUCAUUCUUCAGGCAAUUGUGCACUAACUAACCAUGAUGCAUUAUAUUAAUAAUAUAUUAAAUCAAUAGAUUAAGUUAUAAAGUUAAACAUUUUUCAACAAAUUAUGGGGAAGAUUCUUGAAAACCUUGUAUAUGGUGUUGGACAUUUCUCAGUGUAAAUUAAAAGUAAACGAUUAUCAUUAUAGAAAUAAGCAUAUAAUUUCUUAUUACCACAUCCUACAAUUAAAAAACUGCUUCAGUUCGUGGGGUGUGUUCUCAAGGGAGCGCAGAUGGCCUGGAAAAAACGGUGGCAAUUUUGUGUGUGGAAAUUGAGUUUGAUUCUAAGUGUGCCAUCUGUUUAGCUUUCGAACAUGAUUCUAAAGGGAACCCAAUCUUUUUUAUAUAUAUUUUUAAUACAAGCGAUAGUCUAAACUACAAAAGAAGGGAGGGAGUUUCUCACACAUACACUAUCAAUGUGCCAUGGAAAUUCGAACUUGAGAUCAUUAGUCUGUUUGUUAAAACCAUUUUCCAAUGGGCUAGACCUCAUUGGCCACCCCAGUCUAUUCUUAAUUUGCUUGUUGAGGAUUGUGUUAGGUUUUGUAAUUAGGCCUAUAGUAGCAAUUAUGUGCUAUUUUCACAAGAUACGACACAUAGCAGAUUAUGGUUCACUAGUAUUCGAUGCGAAAACAUGGGCAGAUCUAUGUGCCACUCCAGCCCAGUGCUGAAUUUUGAGAAUAUAACUUAGGCUAAGUUGUCCAAGUCCAAACUAUGUAAAUCAAAUAUUAGCCCACCCGCUGUGUACAAAUAAGGCCACCUCUGCAGAAAUUCCAACCAUUGGAAUGACUGGAAUCCAUGUUAUGCAACUUUGGAGCCAUGUGAUGCAACUUUGAGCCCGUUUGAUCAUGUAUGUUUAUAAUAAAGAUAAAUAAUUUUUAUGUAAUAAAUGUUUGUUGAUAUGUGGUCAUGUUGGCCUAUAAAUAAUCUGGAUUUGAGCAAGUCAUGCAACACGCGCAUACAUUAUAUCACAAAACCAAAGAUUGCUUCCCCUGUAGUUUCCAAUAAGCCUCAUGCGGUUUGUCUUCCUUUGCCAGCUCAAAGCCAUAUAAAGGCAAUGCUCAAAUUAGCAAAACUCCUCCGCCAUAGAGGCUUUCACAUAACCUUUGUCAACACAGAGUUCAACCACAUGCGCUUUCUAAAAUCUCUUGGACCUUAUUUCCUUGAUGGCCUGCCUGAUUUUCGAUUUGAAACCAUUCCAGACGGCCUUCCAGAAUCAGAUGAAAAUGCCACCCAAGAGGUCACUUUGCUUUGUGAGUCGUUCAGAAGUUUCUUGCUCUUGGCUACGUUUCGUGAGCUCGUAAAACUCAAUGAAUGGGGCAGUGGCAUGGAGAUUCAUAACAAUGUCAAGAGAGAUGAAGUGGAGAUGCUUGUUAGAGAGUUGAUGGAGGGAGGGAAGGGUAAGAAAUUUAAAAAGAAGGCUAAGGAGCGGAAGAAACUAGCAGAAAAUGCAACUGAUCCACAUGGCUCCUCAUCCAUUAACUUAGAUAAUUUAGUCCAUCAAGUGCUGUUAAGAAAAAACUAAAUGUUAUCCAUCUCCAUAUAAAUAAAAAAAUCGCCACAUUAUUGUUGGUAUCUCUAUUAUUACUCUAUAUAGCACCCUUAUUCAUGUAUGAUGUCAAUCGGAGCCUAAUAACUGAAGGAAGUUGAGGUUCUAUCCCAAAAUCAAUUGGCAAUAGGAGUAGCCCAACUCCUUAUAAACCCAGGCUAGGUCCCUUAACAUUUCAACUUGGAGAAAUGCUUUGGAAUCGAGGUGGGGGUUUCUUGGUGACCUUUUACGAAGAUUGAUCUAAUUAAAUUUCGUGAGCACUAUAUUAUGCAUGAUAUUAUUAUUUGAUUAUUAUUGUUAUUGGGUGUUUAAGUGUUGUUAAUUAUCAUCAUGUUAUUUUAUUAAUAUUGACAUGAACAUAUGUUAUUGGUGAUGGCUGGAAUUCUUGGGUUGAUAAAGAAAGUAAGAAAAAGGGGGUAAUGGGAAGGAUCUUUUAUGUAGUUGAGUCUAACUCUUGGCAGGUACCAGGUCUCAAGGAUCCCACAGUGCACAUGGUUUUCAUUUGGUGAUUCGGGACUGGCGACAAGAAGUUAGACAAGAUGAUUAACGAAAAGGGCAUUAUGAGAUGAUUGAAAUGGGUGGUAGUUCAUAUAAAAGGGGAAUUAUGAGAUUAUUAAUAAUGUGAUAUUUAGCUGUGUGAUUACAUGUCACUUAAUUUAGUUAUAUCAAUCUACUGUGGUGAGGUCUCAUGUCCCUACUGAGCGGUGGUUUCUCAUCCCUCACCCUGUUUAAUUUUUCAGAUGAAUUAGUGGGCAUGACAAGGACUAAAUCAGUUGAGGCUGAACUAGAUAAGAGUGAUAGAGCUUUAUUUUUUUUAAUUGUAAAGUUUUAAGAUUUUGGAAGCUAUUUUUAUAAGAAAAGUUUAUUUUAUGUUUCGGCUUCUUUUUAUUCUAUUUUACCUUUUAUUUUCUCAUACACUGGGCACGGGGUUUCCACUGACCCCCGGGUCCGGGGCGUGACAAGGGUUAAUCGUUUUAUUCGUUCUUGAACUUAGACCCAAUUUGCAUUUGAGUACCUCAAUUUCCAAAAUCGUUCCCAUAUUCCUUUAACUUCACUUUUGUUAGGACAAAUGGUCCUGCCAUUAAUUUUGUUAACUUUUUCUGUUAAAUGCAGGGGCAAAAUGAUAUUUUUAUAUUAAAACCCAAAAAAUAAAUAAAUAAUCACAUCUUUAAAAUAACAAUAAAAUCAAAUCAAAUAAAAAACCAACCAAAAAAAAAUCGAGUUUGGGGAGAGUAGAAAUCGGGAUAGAGGGGGAGAGAGAGAGUUUAAUUUUAAUUUUUUAUUCAUAUUUUAAUCAAUUUAAUACAAAAUGAGGAGAACUACCCCCCCUCUUCUUCUCUUUUUAUUCACUACAUGCCGUGCAAAGAGAAGAACUAAAUGAGGUUAGGUUAUUAAAAUUGAGUGAGCUAGGAUUUUAUUUUUUUUGGCUGGAAAAAAGAAGCCACCUGGGUUGCCAAACUAAAGGUACAUCCGUGGGUGAGCUAGGAUUUUAUUUUUUUGGCUGGAAAAAAGAAGCCACUUGGGCUAUAGCCCAGGUUUGCCAAACUAAAGGAAAGUCUGUGGGUGGGCUAGGAUUUUAUUUUUUUGGCUGGAAAAAAGAAGUAGGUUUGCCAAACUAAAGAUCCGUCCCUGUUUCCACUUCAACCCAUUUACAAUCAAACUAUUUUAUGACUAAAACACUUCACAUUAAUGAUAAUUUUAUUAAACUAAAACACAGUUUUAUGAGUCUACUUAUGGAGAAAAACUUAGUUGCAAUGAGAUAACACUAUUUUGCUAUCCCUAUUUCAUAAAAGUCUUUCUCAUACUUAUGACUAUGGUUGCAGCCUGCAAUAUUCUUAAAAUAAAAAAAUAAAAAAAGUAGCUAUUCUGAAGGACAUUACCUCACUUUUGCUGUAUAAAUAAUCUGCAUUUGCAAGCACUGCAAUGCACACACAAAAGCUAAAUGGAUUCCAGAGAAGUAGCAACUAAGCCACAUGCUGUUUGCAUUCCAUUCCCUUAUCAAAGCCAUAUAAAGGCAAUGCUUAAAUUUGCAAAGCUCCUCAACCACCGAGGUUUUCAUAUAACCUUUGUUAACACAGAGUUCAAUCACAAGCGCUUUCUUAAAUCUCAAGGACCCAAUUCCCUUGUUGGCUUGCCUGAUUUUCAAUUCGAAGCCUUCCCGGAUAGCCUUCCGGAUUCAGAUGAAGAUGCCACACCAGAUGCCACCUUGCUUUGUGAAUCCAUCAGGAAAAAAAAAUUCUUGGCUCCCUUUCAUGCCCUCCUUGCAAAACUCAACAAUGAUGCCAUAUCAACAUCCCACAAUCCUCCUGUGACUUGCAUAGUUUCAGAUGGUUUCAUGUCCGCGUUCACAAUCACAGCUGCUGAAGAAAUCGGAGUCCCUAUAGCGCUGUUCUACACUAUAGCUGCCUGCAGCUUCAUGGGAUUUAAACAACUUCGCGCUGUGGUCGAAAAAGGACUUUUUCCACUCAAAGGUGAAUAACUACGAAUUAAAAGCAAUUGUUGUUUCUAAACAUGCAAAUGAAAUGUUUCUUCAAUUGAAUUUCAUUUGUCUAUUGCAGAUGAGAGCUGUUUCAAAAAUGGCUAUCUGGACACCGUAAUAGAUUGGAUCCCAGGAAUGAGAGAUAUCCGUUUAAGGGAUCUCCCGACCUUCGCGCGAAACACAAAUCUGGAUGACACCGGAUUUAACUUCAUCAUGGAAGAAACCGAAAGAGCUCAUGAAGCUUCAGCAGUUGUUCUUCAUACUUUUCAUGCCUUGGAGACAGAUGUUUUGGAAGCUCUCUCAUCUAUGCUUCCCCAUGUGUACACCGUUGGCCCUCUUCAAUUGCAUCUCAAUCAGAUACCAGAGCACCCUUUGAAAAUGGGAUACAGUCCAUGGAAAGAAGAAACUGAAUGCCUCGAGUGGCUAAACACCAAGGCACCAAACUCAGUUGUCUAUGUGAAUUUCGGCAGUGUAGCAGUCGUGACACCAGAACAGCUUGUGGAGUUUGGGUGGGGACUUGCAAAUAGCAAGCUUCCAUUCUUUUGGGUAAUUAGACCUGAUCUAGUUGUUGGAGAAUCAGCUAUUUUGCCGCCUGAGUUUGUGGCUGAAACUAAGGAAAGAAGUCUAAUAGCUGGGUGGUGCCCACAAGAGCAAGUCCUCAACCACCCCUCAGUUGGAGGAUUUUUAAUGCACAGCGGUUGGAAUUCAACAGUUGAGAGCCUUACUGCAGGAGUUCCUAUGCUCUGUUGGCCAUUCUUCGGGGACCAGCAAAUGGACUGUCGCUAUACUUGCAAUGAAUGGGGAAUUGGCAUGGAGAUUAGUGAUGAUGCGAAGAGGGAAGAGGUAGAGAAGCUUAUCAAAGAGUUAAUGGAGGGAGAGAAGGGUAAGAAGAUGAAAAAUAAGGUCAUGGAGUGGAAGAAACUUGCAGAAGAAGCUACUGGUCCACAUGGUUCUUCAUCCACAAACUUAGACAAUUUAGUGAAUCAACUGCUAUUGAGAAAAAGUUAAGAUGUUUCCAUAAGAAUAUUGAUGUUAUUAAUUAUCAUUUCCAUUGCCAUUGUCUCAAAUAAUCAACUAUCUGGCAAUAUAUAUGUACUACUGGUCUGUAACCAUGAUGCGUACUAUAUCUAGAAUUUUAUUCUAAUUAAGGUUUUACUACGCUUCAGGCCUUCAACUCUAAAGUCUUUAUCAUUUUUCAGGCAAUUGUGCACUAACCAUGAUGCAUUAUAUUAAUAAUAUUUUAAAUCAAUAGAUUAAAAAUAUAAAGCUAUACCUUUUUCCACAAAUACCCCCGAGCUUAACGGGUUAACGGGUAUUCGUGAAUUGACACGACACGACACGAUAGCUUAACGGGUGACUAACGGAUCAAUACGAUAUCAACAUGACACCAUAACCCAUGCCUGAAUACUGAAUUUUUCGUGCGAAUUCAUGUCGUAUUAAUGGAUCGUGCACAAUAUUGUCUCCUCUAAACUUAGAUACUUUAGUCGAUUUAAGAAAAAACUAGAUGUUAUCCAUAACCAUAUCUCUAUUAUCACUGUUGAUAUCUCUAUUAUUACUCCAUAUAGCGUCCUUAUUCGUGUAUGAUGUCAUACGGAGCCUAAUAACAUGUUUUCUUGUUUUGUUCUAAAAAAGUUUUUUGAAAGAAGUAGAGACCAGUAAAUGAAAUUAAAAAAAAUUAAACCUCCAAUAAAUAUGGCCAUGGAAACAUGGUCUAACGCUAAAUAUAAAAUAAAAUAAGGGCAACUAAACUUGCCAUGGCCACAGACAUAGUGGCUUAAUAGUAAGUAAAUAAAAUUAACUUUGGAUAAACUGUGGUGAGGGAGUUGGAAUAGUACACAUUGAAAAGUAUCUCAGUUUUGCUUUAUAAAUAAUCUGCAUUUGCAAGCACUGCAAUGCACACACAAAAUCUCAGAUGGAUUCCACAGAAGUAGCUACUAAGCCACAUGCUGUUUGCAUUCCAUUCCCUGCUCAAAGCCAUAUAAAGGCAAUGCUUAAAUUUGCAAAGCUCCUCCACCAUAGAGGUUUUCAUAUAACCUUUGUUAACACACAGUUCAAUCACAAGCGCUUUCUUAAAACUCUAGGAUCCAAUUCCCUCGAUGGCUUGCCUGAUUUUCAAUUUGAAGCCAUCCCGGAUAGCCUUCCAGAUUCAAAUGAAGACACCACACAAGAUGUCGUUAAAAAAAUAAAGUUAGACCAUUUUCAACAAAGAAAUUAUGUGGAAGUUUCUUUAAAACCUUGUAUAAUUAUGUUGGAGAUAUUGACCUGAUGAUAAAGCAUAAUCUCUCAUUAAUACUUGAAUGCUUAAUCUGAAAGAAAGAAAAGAAAAGAAACAAGAAAACACAGACAAGGUUAAAGAAAAGACAAAAUCCAAAAGCUUACUUUGUUUCCUCGUCUUUCCAAAUCCAAAUCCAAAUCCAAACGCCACUCAAAUCAGUUAGGAAGUUUCUGAUUGUUUAUUUCAUUUCAUACUAGAUACAAAGAUAACAACAGCUUGAGUAAAAAAGAACAAAAUUGAUAUUUUAAAUUAGAUGCUCCAUUUCAAACCAUAGACACUCCUCUAACGUGAGCUUGAUGAUUAGGGACAAAACCACAUGAAUGUUAUUUCACCAUAAUGUUCGUUUUAGUCAUUGUACACAACUCACAACACUUUCACACAAAAAAUUAUUAUUGUACCAACAUCACUUUUAAUAAAAAGUUGUCAAAAGACAAACUGCUUUCUUUCACAACUGAUUUCUCUCACAGCAAAUCUGACUGUAAUUAUUUUCACAUCACAACAAUGCCAAACUAGCUUCGUUUUAGAUCCUUAUUUCUAUUCCUACUUGGUUUAGGAUUCCUAUUUUAAUCUUAUUUCCUACCCACUAUAAAUAAGGCUUUUAGGAAGUCACAUUAUUAUUUGUGGCUAGAGAGUGUCUAUGAGUGUGGUUACGAACCAAAUUACAAGUGAGUGUGAGGAAUUGGUAACAAUUCACUAUAGAAAUACAAGAGAAAAAAUAAUUUCAAACACUCCGAAGUUUUCUUUCUACUAACUAGCCAGGUGAUGUUGAGGGAUUAAGCCUUCUUCAAUUAUACACCAAGCGAGAAGAACCAUUCACUACUACAAAAAAGCAAAAAGACGACGGUAAAUUACCGUCGUGUAUUCGGUUUUUCAAUGGUCGUGGAAUCCACCGUCAUCUUUUUCCUCAUAAACCACGACGCUAAAUCACCGUCGUUGUUAAAAUAUACAACGUCAUCAUCAAAUACAAAACGACGUCUUUGUACUGCAAAAAGAUCUAAAAAAGCAGUCGAGGAUGAGAAUAGACGACCAACUUUCUAAAAAAACCGUCGUUAAAAAGGAAAAAUAUGACACAUAUUAACAGAACAAGGCCGCAAGAUAGACAUACAACGACGAAAAUUAAAAUAAGACGCCGUUAAAUAUCAUUUUCACGACAAUAAAAAAUAUGACGUCUUUAAAUACAUUAGAAGACGACGUUAUUGAUACCUACUACGUCGCCUAUAUAAAAACAGCCGUCCUAAAAUAAAUUUUCCACUUCGAUUUUUCUAUAAAAGAUGACGUGGAAAUAUUUGUCAGUGUCAUUAUUUACGACGUAUGUAUUUAUAGAGUAGACGUUGAACAACGAAACAACGUCGGUUACAAAUAUAUGAGAGUCGUAUUACAAAAUUUAUACGUCCUAUUUUCAGAAACAAACAACGACGAUAAAUAUUAGACGUUGUUAAAUAAAACAACGUAGAAAACAAAUAAAAACAGACGUGUUUAGUCUGCUAAAGUUCUAAAAAAUAGUCGAGGAUGAGAAUAGACGACCAACUCAAACAAAUCACCGUCGUUAAAAAGGAAAAAUAUGACACAUAUUAAAAGAACAAGGCCGCAAGAUAGACAUACAACGACGACAACUAAAACACUACGCCGUUAAAUAUAAUUUUCACGACAAGAAAAAAUAUGACGUCUUUAAAUACAUGAGAAGACGACGUUAUUGAUAUCUACUACGUCUCUUAUUUACAAACAACCGUCGUGAAAUAAAUUUUCCACUUCGAUUUUUCUAAAAAAGAUGACGUGGAAAUAGUUGUCAGUGUCAUUAUUUACGACGUAUGUAUUUAUAUAGUUGACGUUGAAAUGCGAAACAACGUCGGUGGCAUUUAUUUACGACGUAUGUAUUUAUAUAGUUGACGUUGAAAUGCGAAACAACGUCAACUAUAUAGUCGACGUUGUAUUUAUAUGUAUUCAUUACUCACAACGCACUUAUUAAUAUAGACGACGUUGAACUUCUAAACAACGUCGGUUCUAAAUAAAUGAGAGCCGUAUUACAGAACAUAUAGACGGCGUUGAUUAUGAUGAGAGCCGUAUUACAAAUAACGUCGUUUAAUUGAUAUUAGACGGCGGUUAUAAUGAAUUACCGUCGGAAUUCAUUUCGUUCCUCUUCGUUUAUAAAAGAACUUGCGACGUGGAAAAUGUAUGAUGACGUCGUAUUUUUUAACGUUCAGAUUAUAUAUCUCGUUUUUUAGACGUCGGUAUUAUGGGAUUGGAGUCGUGUUAUUUUGAAUUACAUGGCGGUUCUUAAUCCUUCCCCGACGUGAUAUCCUGAAUAAUUGCUUCACAAUAGCGUCGUGGUUCUUCAUUGUUACGUUGCUUUAAGACGUCGGUAAAUAUGCUGAAUAACUGGUUCACAAUAACGUCGUGUUUUAUUUGAACAGACGUCGUUUUUUAUGCAGAAUAUAAUGAUGUAAUCUGGAACCAGUAUUUUUUGCACUGAUUGUUUUGUGGCCAAAACCUGUAUAAUGAAAGUGAAGAAAUCACAUUACAAUAUAUUACAAAAUUAAUGUCAUACACUGCCAAUUACAUAAGCAUCAUUCAAUCCAUAUAUCUUCACACCCAUCUCGAAUAUUUUGACCACCUAACUCACCCACCAGUUCAUCAAAUGUGUCAACAUUUGGCAUCCCUCUAGUAAAUGGCUCACACUCAAUUAUGACAUCACCUAAGACUUCAACACCAAUAACAUCAUUAUAUUCUCUAUUAGGCAUUGAUAACACUACCGACCAACCACGAUGCAUCGGGUCGUCAACAAAAAAUAUUUGUUUGACUUGAGAAGCCAAAACAAAUUGGUCAUUCCUAUGUCCAAUUUUACUCAAAUCUACAAGGGUAAAUCCAAGUUCGUCGACUACAAGACCAGAACUAUCUAUCCAAUCACACCUAAAGACUGGGAUUGUAAACUUUUGGUAGUCAAGGUCCCAAAUUUCUUGAAUGACACCAUAGAAACCCAUAUUUGAGAGAAUUGGGUUUUUAUCCUUGACACUAGCAACUUGCAUGGUAUGUGCAAGUAAAUAAACUCCACUAUUUUGAGUUGUCCGCACAUCAUCUUGUGCCUUGAUAUUGAAUUUAAUACCUUUAAUAAGAUAGCUCCUAUAUAAUGGCACUGCCAUGUUUGGACUAGCUGCUAGCCACCUUAAAUUUUCUGAUACGCCAUGAUUGUCUUCCUCAAGUUCACUUUGAACCUGCAAAUUAAUCAUAUCUUAAUUCAAUCUAACAUAGAAAUAAGAAGAAAAUUAAAAGAGAAAUAUGUUAUUCAACAACAUAUACCUUGAAGCGUAGCCAUUGAAUGAAAGUGCUAUUGUGCUUAUCCUGCAGCCACUUUGUUCUCUUUCUAAAUUUUGGAUAAGCAGUUUUGAUGUGGAUCAUAUGUUGCCUACAUGACACGAAAAAUUCAAGCAUUACGGUCCCAAAUAUAUAAGAUAAACAUAAGAAAUAAUUUAAAAUGGAAACUUAAAGAAUAAAACUCAUACGUACUCGAUAUAAGGUAGGACUUCCUCUGUAUUCUCCAAGACAUAUAGAUGUGCUUGAUUCAACAGGUCCUGAUCAACUACGCUCAUUGUGCAACCUGAUAAUGGCUUUGAAACUCCCAUCUUUUGGCUUGAAAGCAUUCCAACUGUACUAACAUCAGAUAAAUGCUGAGUACAAAACUCUACCGCUUCUUCAGCUAUAUACCGCUCAGCAAUGCAACCUUCGGGACGAGUACGAUUCUGAACAUAUCCCUUCAGCACUUUCAUAUAUCUUUCAAACGGAUACAUCCACCUAAAAUAUACUGGCCCACAUAGACGAACUUCUCUGACAAGAUGUACUACUAGAUGAACCAUGAUAUCAAAGAAUGAAGGGGGAAAGUACUUCUCAAGCAAACACAGAGUAACUACUACAUCUUCUUCCAACUUAUCUAGCUUGGAAACAUCAACAGUCUUUGCACAUAUAGCAUUGAAGAAGAAGCACAAACGAGUUAUUGCAUACCUUGCAGGCUUCUCCAAAACAGAAUGAAUUGCCACAGGGAGCAAUUGUUGCAUUAAGGUAUGACAAUCAUGUGAUUUAAGGCCAAGAAGUCUUGAAUCUUGUAAAGAUACAAGAUUUUUAAUAUUUGAAGAAUAACCUUCAGGGACCUUCAUACCAUAGAAAGAAUUGCAAACCUCUCUCUUCUCUGCUCUUGACAAAUUCCAAGGCCCAGGAGGCAAACGAGUACGUCUUUCUCCAUACUCGGGUUGCAAAUCAGUUUUGACCCCCAUGUUCAAUAAAUCUAAUCGAGCAGCAAUCCCAUCUUUAUUUUUUCCAGGGAUCUCCAGCAAUGUACCAAUGAUACUAUCGCAAACAUUCUUCUCAAUGUGCAUAACAUCUAGGGCAUGCCUCACAGGAAGGUAUUUCCAAUACUCGAGAUCAAAGAAUAUUGAUUUCUUCUUCCAACAAACUCUGUCACCAUUUUCAACCAUAUGCAGCACUUCUUCUCCGGUUAAUGGCUCGGGAGGUAUGCCAUAUUCAGGUUUCCCAUUAAAAGCUGCACGUUGCCUCCUAUAUGGAUGAUUGAUUGGUAACCAUUUUCUAUGCCCAAUGUAACAAAUUUUGUGGCCAUUUUUCAACCUGUGACUAGGUGUAUCAUCGCUGCAUAUUGGACAAGCUUUAUAUCCUUUAACAACACAACCAGAUAAGUUUUCAUAUGCGGGGAAAUCAUUAAUUGUCCACAUUAAUGCAGCUCUGAGUGUAAAGUAUUCUCCAUUAUGUGCAUCAUACACUCCUCUAAUCCCAUCCCACAAAGAUUUUAAAUCAUCAAUCAAAGGCUCCAAGUAGACGUCUAUAUCAUUUCCGGGUUGUUUAGGACCGGAAAUCAAUAAGGUUAACAUCAUGAACUUUCGUUUCAUGCACAGCCAUGGAGGGAGAUUAUAUGUAACUAAGAUAACCGGCCAACAACUAUAUCUGCUACUUAGAGAACUGUGUGGAUUGAAUCCAUCAGAUGAAAGAGCCAAUCUCAAGUUUCUCGGCUCAUUACCAAACUCAGGCCAUUUAUCAUCAAGAAGUUUCCAAGACGGGGAAUCCGCCGGAUGAGACAUCUGACCGUCAAUUGAUUUUCUAGCAGCAUGCCAAGUCAAACUCUUAGCUGUCUCAUGUGAUUGAAACAUCCUUUUAAACCUUGGAAUUGGAGGAAAAUACCACACCACCUUCGCUGGCACACCCUCUUUCAAGAUUGAAUCUUUGCCUUCCUUCCACCUUGAGAUACCACAAGUAGGACAAUUAGUUGAAUCCUCAUACUCCUUCCUAUACAAGAUGCAAUCAUUGGGGCAUGCGUGCAUUUUCUCAUAACUCAGCCCCAAUGCACACAAAGUCUUUUUAGCCUCAUACAUAGAGGUUGGUAUUGUAUUUCCUUCUGGAAGCAAAUCGCCUUGAAGUAUCAAUAAUUUUGUAAAACAGACAUCACUCAUCCCAUGUUUUUCCUUCAAAUUAUACAACUUCACUAAUGCCGAUAACUUCGUGUACUUUCUACAACCAGGGUACACUGGUUGAUCUCCAUCCCCAAUCACAUUGGCAAACUCAUACGGAUCGGAACCAAAAUCACCAAAAUCAUUGUCAUCCAUAUCAAUUUCUUCAGACACAAAACUGUACCUACUAUGGCCAUCAUCUUCUUCAACAUUUCUACUAGCAUUAGUAGUUGCUUCCCAAGGUUCUCCGUGAAAUGUCCAAUUCUUAUAGCUUUGGUCAAUUCCAUUAAAGUAUACGUGAUCCCUUAUAAUUCCAACCCCAAACAACUUCAAAUUAACACAUUUAACACAUGGACAACGGAUAUGUGUUGUAGUUAGAAGAUUUUCUACAGCAAAGUUCAAAAAUGCUUCCACCCCCAAACUCAUAUGCCUUCGAUCUUCUAUCCGAGUGCAUCCAUGACUUAUCUAUCUCCGACACUAUAACCUAUUAUCUAUAAUAAAGUGAAAAUACAGGCAAUGACCAUCACUAUAGCAGAUUAUACAAAGAUCUAAUAGCAAGUAAUACACAAAAGAGACGACGGGUUUUAAACAAAAACAGACGUAUUUGGCAUAUAUAGACGACGGAUUUUCAACAGACGUCGUCUAAUAUAAGUAAUACAAACGACGGUUUAUGAAAAAACCGUCGUGUAUAAGUAAUACAACGACGGUUUUUUCAUAAACCGUCGUGUAAUGAUCGUCGUAUGCCUAAAAAGGCGUCGUGUCUCAGUUUAUUUUCAAGAACCCAAAACCCAUUAAGAACACAACAUAUAUAUGAAACCAAGCAAGAAACCAACAUAUACAUGAAACCAAGCAUGAAAACAAUAAAUCCAUUCCCAAUUCAACAUAACAUAGGGUGAUUAAAAGAUCCGACAAAAUUAAAUCCAUUCCCAAUUCAACAUAACAGAUAAUGUAAUCCAUGAACCCAUUAAAGAGAAAAUCCAUGAACCCAUACCUAUAAGCACAUUAUUAACAGAUCACAAAGCAUAUACCUAAAACCCUUUAACAAAACAACCUAAUAUCAUUCAAUGAAUUUACAAGGGGAAGAUAGGGUUUGUACUUACAGGUUGGACGAGCUCACAGAUUCGACGGAGCCUGGAGAGUGCAACUUUUAAUUAGAGCAGAAGUGAGAGAGCGAAAUGUUAUGUUGCGCGAAAUCUGAAAAUUUUAGGGUUCAGGGUUAGAAGUAUAAGAAUAAGAGCCAAAUCUAAAAAAUUUAGGUGGCGCGAAAUUUUUUAGAGAGCGCGCUCUUUAAAACGUCGAAAGAAAAACCAUGGCGAAAGUUCUACAAGAACCGACGUAAAUGUAAUAUUCCACGACGGAAACACUGAACGUAACGCCAUUUAUUUUGACGCUUCAUUUUUCGGAUUAAUUUUAAAUUUAUUUUGAAUAUUUUGAUAUAAAGACAACUGAAAAACCACGUCGGGGUUAAGAAAUUUAAGACGUUGUAAAUUAUAAUAGACGACUUACAUAUUAAAAUGACGUCGUUUAAAGUAUAAACCAUGUCGGAUAUUUUACUGCACGACGUAACAUAUGUAUUCCACGACUCAACUACCGUCGUUAAAAAUUAAUACCCUAAACCCUUAAAACUAAAUUACAUAAUUUAAAAAUUUAAGUUUAUAAAAGGGUUUAUGGUUUUACAGCCUAAUAUAUACCCUAUACUACCCAAAAAUUAUACUUUAAAAAUAAACCCCAAUAAAUAACAACCCUAAUCUCUAAACCCUAGACUCUAAACCCUAAACCAUAAAACUAGAAGUGAUUUUAUGACUCAUCAAAACAAUUUUGUUUUGGAUGGUCAUUUUAAAUUUUUGUUAUUCAAAAUGAAUUUUUUCAAGGUUUAGGGGGAAGAAAAUAUAUCAAAGACUUCAUAGGAGUUGACUUUGCAUUUUUCUGAUUUAUUUUAAAUUUAUUUUGAAUAUUUUGAUAUAAAAAUAAUAAAAUAUUCUUAUCACAACAACAAACCACGUCGGUGUUAAUAAAUUGUAGACGUUGUAAAUUGUAAUAGACGACUAAGUUGUUAAAAUGACGUCGUUUAAAUGAGAAACCAUGGCGGAUAUUUAACUAUCCGACGUAAAAUAUAUAUUCCACGACUUAACCGCUGUCGUUGCAAAGUACUACCCUGAACCCUUAAGAAAUUGAAGACGUUGUAAACCAUAAACGACUCAAUUGUUCAAAGAACGUCGUCUAAAUAUCCUUUUACGUCGGAUUUGUUUAAAACGAAACAACAAAAAACGACGGUUUUUGACUUUAUUAGGUCGUUGGAAAAGUAUUACACGUCGGUUACGCAAUUUGUAUGUUUGUUUUUUUUUUUAAUUUAAGAAAACCUCAACAAAUUUUUACAUUAUAUAUUAUAGACAAAAUUUGUACAUUAUACAUAAAUAUCAAGUGUUCAAUAAUUCCCCUAUUCCAGGUGAAGGCAAACAAACUCUGCCCAUUCAUUCCGGACUUCAUCAAUUGCUUCUUGGGGGUAUGGCGCUUCCUGUUUUCCCUUGGCAUACUGCAUAAACAAUGACUAUUAGGGUUUAUAAAUAAAAAGAAAUUCAAUCACAGACGACGAUAUUUUUCAUAACCGACGUAGUAUAUCUAUUCAACGACGGUAAUUUUACAUGACCGUCGUUGAUAAUACAAAAAAUGACGUAAAAUGUAUGAAGGUAAUUUCUUCUUACCUUCUUCUCAAACACCAAGGAAGGAUCCAUGAUGAUGUCCCUCAUGAAGCGCAUCACAUAAUACCCGCAUUCGACACUGCUGGGUUGCUUUGGUGUGCCUGACAGAGUUUUUCAAAUUACUGCUUUACGGCCUGAUCUGGCUAUGUGAGAAUUAUAUAUUUUUAUAGCACUGUUCACGAUGUUUUUGGCCUCUUCAUCGACCACACGAUUUCCGGGCAGAGGAUCCAGAAAAUAGACGAUUUCCCUCUUUGCUCUCACAAUCAGCAAGAUCCAAUGACGGCUGCACAAAAUUAAUAUAAAAACGACGGUUAUUUACAAAAACGACGUAUUAUAAUAUUUCACACGACGAAAUAAAGUAGCAAUCGACGGCAUUAUAUAUUUAUCAUGACGAUAAAUAACUACCGACGUGGUUAGUAGUUUCAAACGACUCAAUAAAAUAAAACACCGACGUGGUUAGUUUAUACGCUGUCAUUUAUUGAAAAUCAUAAAAACAAAAUCCUGUUAAGGAGACUAACCCUGGAUUGUAAGGCAUCAUGAAAAUCUGUUCACCAUCAGUCCUCUGAAGUCGAGCUGCUACCGGUCGUGAUCUGUCAGCUAUUGUCCCAGAGUUGGCACUAACUGUAGCAGGGUUGAUAAAGCCAACCAUGCUGCACAUAUUUGCUUGUUUCAAAAGAUCGUGUAAGUACCUAAAUAUAUAAAAUAAUAUAAACAAGUCAGCACAAAAAAAACACACGACGGUUAUGUAUAACAAAACGACGUAUUAUAAAAUUUCACACGACGUACUGAAAUAGACAACAACGUUAUAAUAUAUUUAUCACGACGGUACAUACUAACGACGUGGUUAGUUAGUUAAGACGACGCAAUAAAUAAACCAACGACGUAUUAUUUUAGAAUGACAAACCUCAUAUAUACAGCAAUGACAGUGGCUCCUAUUUCUUCCAUGCCUGCAAAUUGUGUAAUAUCUUCAGGCAGGAGGAAGGUAUCGCGUUCUAGACCAAACACCUUCUUAUCAAUUGUAAAGUUCAGGGUCUUAUCCUGAGGCACGAGUGUCGUUUUCACAUAACGACAAAGGGAUUUGAAAGAAGAUGGCGCCUCCAUAUUUGAAUAAUCAACAACUUUAAUAACCUGUUCAAAGAAAUAAAAAAAAUGACGUGGUAAUUCAAUAAAAACGACGGUUUAAGGAAUAAAACGUCGUCUGAAAAGAAUUUAAACGACGGUGAAAAAACCGUCGUGGUGAAUAAUUUAUUACGUCUUAGAAAAAAAUUCGCCGUCUAAGUUGUAAACAAACGACGGUUUAAAGAAAAAUAUCGAUGUCUGAAAUUUUGAAAAACAAAUAAAAAAGGCAAAGUUAUGUGAACAUACCUGGUCGUCAUGCUUUUCUUCAUCUUCUUUCUCCUUUUCAUCUUGUUUUUCUUCUUUCUUCUCUUCAUCUUUUUUUUCUUCUUCCUUCUCUUCAUCUUUUUUUUCUUCAUUCUUCUCUUCAUCUUGAUUUCCUUCAUUUUUCGGUUUUUAGUAAUAAAGAAUGUAGAGAAAUUAAAAAAAUUAAAUUCAAACGUCGUGGUAAGACAAAACACAAGAUAGUAUGGACGUCUUAAAUUAUUAAACGAUGGUAAAUAGUAAACGUCGUGGGAUUUAUAUAUUACGUCGGGAAUGACUAACACCGUCGUCUAAAAACCACAAAGUUUUAAAAAUAACGACGUUUAAUGGCGUGUAAAACAAGUAAACUAAAUACGACGUGGUAUUGAAAUACAAACGACGGUUUAUUUUUAAAAUCGUCGUGGUAUGUAUUUCAAACGACGGUUUUAUUAAUAAUAACGACGUCUAAUAGUUUUUUAAAAAACAGAGAAUUCAAAGUUCAAAUAUGUUACCUUUUCUUCCUGAUGUUUCCCAUUUUUGGCAGUAUCAUCCUCAAAAUGUAGGGAUCUCACAUCACCUCCAGAGCAGCUUGCUUUGUCAGACAUUGGAUUUCUGAGACUUUGGCUAAUUCUUGGUUUAAGCAUGCUUGGAUCAAAAUUGGGAAUUAAUUGGGAAAGCUGACUCAGGAAAUGCUCCCUCUCAGCCUCUACCAAUUGUUUGGUUCUAGCCUCCAUCCUUAAAGCCUCUUCCCUUGCCUUAGCUUCCAUCUUUUUAUUCUCUUCUUGAAGGAGAACUCUUAAACUGUCCUUUAAACGGUCGUCAAAGCUCAUCCUCUGUGGUUUGGGUAAAUUGAAAUAUUGCCUUGGGGAAAUCCCAGCACCUACACCUCUCACUCUGCCUGGAUGCUCGGGGUCCAAAGCCAUGGUCAGCACAUCAUUGCUGCCAGAUACACUGACUUUGCCUUCCGAGACUUGUUUUUGCAAUUCAUCCUAAAACAAAGAUAUAUAAAAAAGUAAGAACAAAAAACACACGACGGUUAUUUAUAUACAAACGACGUAUUAUAUAAUUUCACACGACGCAAUAACAUAUAAAUCGACGUUAUUAUAAUUUAUCACAACGGUAGUUAUACCGACGUGGUUAGUUUUUUAAAACGACGAAAUGAAUAAACCACCGACGUCUUAUGCUUUAUUUACAGAUAACAGAGGGAUGAUUCAAUAUUCACACCUUUAACGACCUUGUUUAACACAUUUCGACGUAGUAAUUUAAUACAAACGACGCGAAAAUGAACCACCGACAUCUUAUGCUAUAAUUACAGAAAACAGAGUAGUGAUUCCUGAUUUAGACCUUUAACGACGUUUUUAAAAAAAUGUCGACGUGGUAAUAUCAUUCACACGACGCAAAAUAUAACAUAAGACGUGAUAAGAAUUAUUCACAGUUUAAUAAAAAUUUAAAACAGAGUGAGUAGGCUUACAAUUAAUUUUGCUUUCUCUGCCACCUUUGGAUCUGGGAUGUUACCAUGUUUGUCCUGUCUAGCUCUUUUCCAUAAGGUAGAUCGAUCAAUUUCUACCCCAGGCAUGGUUUCCUCCAAUUGAUCCUCCAAACCAGCAUAUCCUUUUCGAGACAAUCGAUGAUUGUACUCAAGUUUCUCCCUAAUCUGUGCAUGUUGAGAAUGCACAGACUCAAAAUCUUUGGAUAACUUUGAAGCUACAAAGGCAUCCCAUUGUGCUUUCUCUAUGAAUUUAUAUGUCUCAGGGGGUUGGCUUAAUCUCUCCCUGUCAUUGAUGUAUGGAAGGAUAUAAUGCCUCGUUAGUGUAGACUUGAAAUCCUUCCAUUUCUUGGCAGCAGAAGCUAACACAGAGUUCUUGCCCCCUUGACCUACCACAAAAGCAAUGUCAACUGCUUCCCAAAUCUGCUCCUUUAUAUCCUUGGGAAUUUGAGCCCAUUUCAUGUCCACAAGUGGAACUCUGGAGCGUGCCAACACACCAAUGUAGGACUGCAUCUCACUAUGUGCUUGGCCAAUUCCUUUCCCCCUUUUAUUGUACUCAACAAUUGGCCUGAGUUUAUGAAGUUUUCUCUUCACAACACGAGGCAUUGUGUUCAUACCUCGACCAGACUUUGAAUCAUCAGAGAUUGUUGUCGUGCUGGUUGGUUCUGUCUCAGCAGAUGAUGAAGAAAACUUCAUCUUCUUCAAAGACUUCUCUUCAGAAGUUACCAUUCCAAGCUCCUUACCUCCAUUUUUCUUGGAGCCAGAGUCCUUACUUUGGUCUUGAGAAACCAUUUUUACAGACAAAACUGCAAGUGAAAAUAUUUCAGGAAAAGAUUAAGAACACAAACGACGGUUAUUAAUAAAAUAUGACGUAUGAUAUGAUUUUAAACGACGCAAUGAAAUAAUCUCAGACGUAAUAAAUGUUUAAAACCAAGGUAAUUAAACAACGACGAAAUAAUAUAAAAUAAGACGUAAUAAUAACUUAUUACGUCGAUAUUUACCGGACGACGUGAUAAUUAACUAUAAACGACGAAAUAUUUAUAUAACGUCGUGGUAUUGAUGUUCACACGACGUCAAUAGUAAUAUACCGUCGUCUAUAUAAGGAUCCAAAAUCCUUCUUUCUUUCUCUGUGAAUGUUUGAUUGUAGAUUUGAUUUUUCUGAACCAUGGUUUUUGUUUUCUAAUUUGAUAAAAUACAAGGCCAAGAAAGAAAGUUUUGGAAUCUUAUAUAGACGACGGUAUUUUAAUAUGACGUCGUUAUAUUAACAUUCACACGACGUAAAAUAAUAAGAUACUGUCGUCUAUAUUAGAUACCAACCCUACUUUCUUUUUCUUUAUAUUUUAUCAAAUUAGGGAAAAACAAAAACCAUUGUUCAGAGAAAUCAAACCUGCAAUUAAACAAGCAAAUAAAAAAAAGACUAUAAUUUUAAAAACAACUUUGUCAAUUUUCAGACGACGCUAGAACGACUGACGAACCGUCGUGGUCUACAUAUUUAACCACGUAAAUAAGAAGCUACCGUCGUCUUAUUUAGUUGAGGUAGUUGUCUUCAAAGUUGGAAACUUUCCCUCUUUGUCUGUAUAUUUUAUCAAACUUGGAAAGAAGUAAAAUGAUUUUGGCCAGAAAAAAGGUAAAAAGAUUUUUCAAACAAAAAACGUAUGAGCAUGCAAAAUAGCAACCAAAAUAGUGAAAAUGAAAUCUUACCUUUUGCGUGCAAUGAAAGCAAGAGGAAGACGAUGUUUAAGUUCAGAGACGACGAAGAAGACGAGAGGAAGACGAUAAGAUACUCUGACAGUGCUCUGACAAGGAAAAAAGUCAAAAAGUUUUCUCUGGGAGAUUGAAAUUUUUAAUCGGGUUUGGAAACAGUGCAUGUGUAAGUCAGGUAGACGAAAAGUUGCUUACAUAUAAAACCAUUUCAAAAAAAUAAUACGGCGGUUACAUAUAACUACGACGUAUAAAUUACAAAAUACGACGGUACAUUUAACUUCGGACGUGGUAAAUAAAUACGACAGUAGUGUUGUAGGUACCGUCGUAAUAAACUCAAAAAUUAAAGUACAUAAGUAAUAACUCGCGUCAUGGUAGAUUAUUUAACACGUCGUUUUUAUUAAUUUACCGACGUUGAUUUUACAAUUUAAACGGCGGUUUUUUUGUAAGGACCGCCGUUGGUUUUAAAAAUUUAUUCUAUAAAUUUGUCGCUUUCAUUCAUUUUCGGUUUACAUUUAGGGUUCCAAGUUCUUCCUCUCUCAGAGACACUGUCUCUCACAUCUCAAAGACAAUAAUUUGGAUGUCUUUCUCAAAGAGAAAUUGAGCUUACUCGCAUCAAAUCUAUGUCCACAAGAAGAAGCUUGUCAACUAGCCUUCUCACUUCCUUGAUCAAGCCUGAUAGGACACUUAGUGCUUCUGAAUACUCCUUGCUUUCCAUCAAAAGAGAUGCAAGCCUGGGCUCCACUCGCUGUCGAAGGAAAGUUCGCUUCUCAGGGAAAUCUGAAGAUCAGAUGUGCCUGAUCCUCUGCUUGAUUUUCUUGGCUAAGAAGAUCCGUCAUAUUUGUGAUAGCCUCUUCCUUUAUCCGUAGAGCUUCAGACGAAGAAGAUGGGUUUCAAGAAUGCGAUAAAGAAUAGAAAUGGCUUCAGAUGGCCUCUAAAGACAUUGUCAAUGCUUUGAACUAUACAAGUCCUGUAGAAAGAUAAAGGACCAAACUGUUAAAGAAACUGAAACAACGGCGGUUUUCUGUUCUACCGUCGUCUUUUUUCGUCGUCUAUAUUAAGGUAAGAUGGCGGUAGAUUUAUAAUUACCGACGUAGAUUAUUUUGUUAAACGUCGUUAAGUGUAAUACAACCGACGUGGAUUUUAUUUUUAAAUUAUAAAUAGAGUUUUUUUUCCCGAAUUCUUUCAGUUUUAGUUUUCAAUUACAAAGCGUGAUAAAUAGAUUUUUCUUUCCCGAGGAAAUUUAAAAUGAGGGAAAUUAAUGUUCUAGAAUUUGUAAACUAACACGACGCAAUAUUACUAACCAGAGGAAAUUAUAAACAGAUUUUGCUUUCCCGAAGAAAUUUUAAAUUAAUUCAGUUUGAAACAAGGACGGUUUUUUGUUAUGCCGUCGUUUUUAACUAACACGACGCAAUAUUUGUUUUGCGACAUGGAAUCUUUUCAUUUAACGUCGUUAGGUUUAAUAUAAUCGACGUGGAUUUGAAUUUUUAAAUUAUGAAUAGAAUUUUUUUUCCCGUGACCUUUCAGUUUAUUUUUCAAUUACAGUGCGUUAUAAAUAGAGUUUUUUUUCCGGAGGAAAUUUAAAAUGAAGGAAAUUAAUGUUCUAGAAUAUGUAAAGUUUCUUUUUUGGAUGACAGAUUUAAAUAAAAUAAGAAUAUAAAAACAACGACUGUUUUUGUAUUACUGUCGUCGUUUUUCGUCGUCUUAAGUAAGACUAAGACGACGUAAUAUAUUUGUUGAGCGACGUUGAUUUGUUUUUUAAACGUCGUUAGGUAUAAUAUAACCGUCGUUGAAAAUUGUCUCUCUGAUUGCAAAUUUGCAACGACGUUAGGUAUAAUAUUUGUAGAUACACAAACGCACACACAUCAUCAACUUCCAAAAAAUUGUCUCUCUGAUUGCAAAUCUGUGUUAUCUGUUAAGAUUAUGAUGUGGAACAGAGUUCCAUCUGGUAAGAUUUCUUAACCCUUGGGAUCUUAGAAAAAUCUGAUUAUGUCGGCGGUUUUCUAUAUAAACCGUCGUGGUUAUUUCAAUUCUUGUCAUUAAGUAGAUCUACCGACGUAGGAUAAGAAAAUCAAAGAAAAAAAUUGUUAACAAAAAUUCUUAUUAAGACGACGGUUUAAAUUAAAGGUACGACGUAUAAAAUGAAUAAAUACGACGUUAAAUUUUAUAGUACGAUUUAAAGAUAACGUCGUAGAACUAUACGAGAAUGACGUCGAUAUAUUUAUAUUUUCCGUCGUUGUACAUUAAUUUAAUACGGCGAUAUUUUGUAUUUUAAAGCCGUGGAUUUGUUUGUAAUUAUACGGCGUCUUAUACGAAAACCUCGUCGUGUUAUUUUAUGAGUAAAAACGGCGGCUUUUAUUGAAAUCGUCGUCUUUACUUUCUACGUCGGUCGAUUCAUAACUUCUGCCGUUCUUUGUUGGCUUUGAUUUUACACUGCGGAAAUCUGUUUCAAAUAGACGUCGGUUGUUUAAUUCGGUACAUCGUUGUUUUUGAACAGCCAUUUGAAUCUCCAUUUUUUAGUUGUCUAAGGUGGUAUUACACGACGGUGUUUUUAGAACCGUCGUCUUUUUAAAAACCACGACGGUUUUCACUUAGACCGUCGUUGUUUUCUGGUCGUCUUUUUCACUUUUUGUAGUAGUGAUUGCUAAAUGGAACAAGGAAAUUACAUAAUAUUACAAAUGAAACUAAGCUCUAGUGAUCUCCAUGUGCCCAAAAAUCAAACCCGAUCCAAUGCAUCUUCGUGGUUUAAUGAAUAUGGCACUUUGCUUGAAAAAGGACUUGCACACUCAAAUAUCUUUUAUAUGCAAAGAGCUUCCAUUGAGGAAUUACUUAAAUAAGUUAUUUGGAGGACACCCUUGUAGGGCCCACUUCACAUUAUAUUUCACUAAUGAAUAAUAAGGCCAUGGAGUGGAAAACAAUUUGAAUCUUUAUUCUGAUUGCUUGAUAUAACGUUUAAUUGGGUUUAAUUGUGAAAAAUACUGUAUACCCACUAAAAUAUCAUUUACCUGUUUGUUUGUUCUGGGCAUUAAAUUCUGUUGGGUAUCUUUGUUUUUAACGUAGACUUUCCCUUCAAUUUAUUUGAUUCCUACAAGGAAAACUUUUGCAGAAGAAGCUACUGGUCCACAUGGUUCUUCAUCCACAAACUUAGACAAUUUAGUGAAGCAAGUGCUAUUGAGAAAAAGUGAAGAUGUUUCCAUAAGAAUAUUGAUGUUAUUAAUUAUCAUUUCCAUUGCCAUUGUCUCAAAUAAUCAACUAUCUGGCAAUAUAUAUGUACUACUGGUCUGUAACCAUGAUGCAUACUAUAUCUAGAAUUUUUUUCUGAUUAAGGUUUCACUACGCUUCAGGCCUUUAACUCUAAAAUCUUAUUGGAGAAUCGGCUAAUAUUUAAUUAUUUUUUUAUACGUAUUUCCUUUUUAUUAUGUUCUAUACAUAUUUAAUUGGAUUACUACUCUCAAGGAAGAUUAUCCUUAAGUAUUAUAUUCAACAAAUUACUAUUCAUGUGUCAGUUGGUUUACAUUUAUUGUAUUAAAUCAAUACUCACCAAUUCUUUAAAGUGUGAGAUAAUUAGUCACAAAUAAUGGUGACUAGUAACCAAAGUCAUUGACCACCCAUUCAAAUGUCACCAAAACUAUUUUGUUGCUAUACAAAUAUGACUAAUGCUUUCUAUUUUGUCGCCGGAUCAAGGCCGUGAAGUUCCGGGUUAAACCGUGAGUUUCCGACGCCGAUUCCAACCACUUGCCGUCCGAAUUGGACUUGGGUGUAGUUGAAUAAAAUGUUCCACUCGUCGAGUAGAACCUGUAGCCGGGAGGGUGGCUUGUAGUUUGGAGAUUUUCCGGUGAAGCUUUAUCGCUUUGGACACCUGCGCUUGUGGCGGCACGUGGGCACUGUAGCAGAGGGGAAUUAUUGUCCCAAUGCAAUCUCCUGGUUGUCACGAGUACGUAGGAAUUCGCGGAUCUCAAUUCGGAUGUCGUUUGACUAUCGAACGGAUUUUCGCAUAGUGUGCGUUAUCCGGGUUCGAUAGGUUAUGACCGUUGGAUCAUUUCCCAAUUAAAUUAUGUUGUUCUAGGUAUUCCUAGGAUCGUGUAGGACUUCGCAGAUCGUGAAUCGGAGCCCGGAUGUUCCAAUUCAAUAACUUAAAGUUUGAGUUUUAUAUUAACCGUCCGAUCGUGCGAUCGUAAGCGAUCUAACCGUCUGUUUUGGACCAAACUUGCGACACGGGUAUCUUAGACCUUGUGGAACCUUUAGGAACUUACGGAUUGUAAAACGGAGGUCGUGGGUCCCGUGGACCCGGUUGACCUGAAUUGGGAAGUUUGACCGCCGGUUGACCGAGUGUCUCCCGAAGUUGUUCUAUCGUCCAAAUUGAGUAGUUGGACCUUAGAAUGUCUCAUUCCUAGUACACUUACUAGAAACUUGGGAAAUUAGGAUAUUUAAUUCAAAGUACUCGUUCGAAACGCUUCGUAUUAAUCUUGUGUACGUAUUCUGAAUUAGGUACUUCGAUCACGCAUACGCAGCAGGCGGGACCCUCUCAGGGUCAAGCAGCGUGGGACUACUUGUGAGUGAACUUUGUUUUCAAAUCUUAUACAUGUUUUUAUUGAUGAAAGAUUUAUGCAUAAUGUUUUUAAUGAUUUAUUGAAUAUAUUAUAUUCAUGGGUUGAAUUUGAUGUUUGUAUAGCGCUUUGUCAAUAUAUUGUGGGUUUGGCAUUGUUGGGUAUUGAAAGCAUAUUUUAUAUGGAUUUUGGGAAAUAUUAUGCAUGAUGUUUUAAACGGUAUUUUGGAUAUAUUAUUUAUGAAAUUGUUGAAAGUGAUAUUUUUAUGAGGCAUUGAAAAUAUAUUUUGGGUUUUGACAUAUUUGAGUAUCUUGAGUAUGAAUAUAUGGAUUUUGAGGAUUUCUAUAUAUAUUUGGCUAUGUGUGAGGUACUUGGGUUGUUGAGAUGAGAUUGUGGAAAGUGGUGAGUAUAGAAUGUCAGUUUGGUGUGAAGCACUACCCUAUGUACCUCCCCUGAUUUGGAACUUGGAUAUAGAGACUUGAGAUACUUGGAAUUGUCGGAACCCGGGGCAUCCUUGACGGGAUGUUGCUGUACACCCUUAAUUGGGUAGUCUGCGCGUGUAGGACUGAUCACAGACGUAUGAGUUUUGAGGUUAUCGACGGUACGUGCUGGCUGAGAGUUGGUCCCCCAGUUGGACGGCUCGUUCCCUAGUCACAUAGUGGAUUGAGGACUUUUCAUGAGGACUCUGCCAAGGUGACUAGUCAAAAAAUCCCCCGGUUCGAUUGUUUCCCCGGUACAACUAGGUGAUGGUCAUAUUUAUAAUAUAUAUAUCUCUUAUAUGAUAUAUUUAUAUAUAUAUAUAUAUAUCUAUUGAUUCAUUCUUGUUUAUCGGUGUGGAUACUUCCUUGCCGGUCUUACCAAUGGGUACGCUUUCGAGAGUUUAGUUGUGAGAUUUAUAAGUUUUGGAUGGUGGGUUUUGUAAAGCGUUCUUUAUGGAUUUUGAACUUCGUAUCUGGUAUUGAUUUGUUUUGAUAUAUAUAUAUUAUAUAUAUAUAUACUUGAGUAUGAUGGUUUUGAGAUGCAUGGGAUUUCUUGCAUGGUUUUCUAAACGGUGGGGUUAUAUUACGUUGGUUUACAUUGAACUGAAGUUAUUUUUGUCCACUCACAAUUUUCUGUUUUGCGCCCCCCAGCCAGUAGUUGACUGAGCUCCGCAGCAGAGCCGGAUCAUGAGCUUCCGAACCUUGAGUCUUCGUAGGACUCUUUCUUCAUGUUUUUCCCUUUGAACUCUGUUUUGUUGAAAUUGAAGUUCUUAGCCAUGCUCUGUUAUCGCCCCUGUUAGGGUUUGAUUUGUGAGGCCGGAGGCCAUUUUGUUGUAAACUGUUUAUUCGCUUUAAAGCAUGCUGCUGGUUGGGAUUAUUCUAUGUUUAUGCAGGUUGAAUUUUUGUUGGGUUUGUUCAAUUCACAGGGGAGACUUUGCCAAAAUUUUGGUAGAGAGUAUGGGUUUUUAGUAAGUGGGCCCGGCAUCGGGAUGAUGUCGGAACAAAGACGGGAUUCGCCCUGGUUUCCGGGAAUUACGUAUAUAAUACAACUUCAAUAUUUAUAUGUAUAUUAUUUCAUUAAAUAUUUAUAUAUACAUAUAUAUGUUCUUUUGAAUAAAAGGGGUUAAAUUAUAUAUUUGUUCAUUAUUUCUUGAGAUGCCAUUAGAUGGUUAUUGGAUGCUUUCUAUACAUAUAUAUUAAUAACAUGGAUUAAGAGUUUAGACGUGGCAUCCUUACAUUGUUUUCUUGGAGAGAAAGACUAUUUCUCUCUUAUCUUAAUUAGGAUGCCGGAUGUGGCUUUUUCCAUUAAAUUAGUUGAUGCAUUACCAUGCAUUUGCACAGCUCAUGCUUACAAUUUGGUGAGUAAGCUUUAUCUUAGCUUCAAUAGGUGUCACAGCCUUUGGAAAUAAAUCUCCUAGCGUUGACACAUAGCAACUUAUAAAAUAGAGUGGCAACCAAGUUAUCUUUUCGUAUAAAUAAGAUAAUGUCCUUUGUUAUUAUCCUCUCCAUUGUUACGCCAUCUCACCACCAAUAAAUAGAAGUUUUAAUGGAAGGAAGAGAUAUCAGGCAAAGGGUAAAGAGAGAGGGAGAGAGAGAUGAUGAUGAUGAAAUUCUUAGAAGAGAUAUAGGAUUUAGCUUGUAUUUUCUUAACUUGGAGAGAGAGAGAUGAUGAUGAAAUUCUUAGAAGAGAUAUAGGACUUAGCUUGUAUUUUCUUAACUUGGAGAAAUGCUUUAGAAUCGAGGUAGGAGUUUCUUGGUGACCUUUUAUAAAGAUUGAUCAAAUUAAAUUUCGUGAGCAUUAUAUCAUGCAUGAUAUUAUUAUUCGAUUAUUAUUGAUAUUGGGUGUUUAAGUGUUGUUAAUUAUCAUAUUAUUUUAUUAAUAUUGACAUGAUCAUAUGUUAUCGGUGAUGGCUGGAAUUCUUGGGUUGAUAAAGAAAGUAUGGAAAAGGGGAUAAUGGGAAGGAUCUUUUGUGUAGUUGAGUCUAACUCUUGGUAAGUACCAGGUCUCAGGGAUCCCGCAGCGCACAUGGUUUUUAUUGGGCGAUUCAGGACUGGCGACAGGGAGUUAGACAAGAUGACUAACGAAAGGGAAAUUAUGGGAUGAUUGAAAUGGGUGUUAGUUCAUACAAAUGGGCAUUCGGGACCAAGUGGUAUAAGCAUGGUAUGGGACGUGCAAAUCUGCUUGUCCAGUUAUAUGAAUUAACAGGAGUAGAUGAAGAGCAUUCAUUCAUGCAUUAUUAUUAAUAAUGUGAUAUUUGGCUGUGUGAUUGCAUGUCACUUAAUUUAGAUAUAUCAAUCUACUGCGGUAAGGUCUCAUGUCCCUACUGAGCGGUGAUUGUUCAUUCCUCACCCUGUUUAAUUUUUCAGAUGAAUUAGUAGGCAAGACAAAGACUAAACCAAUUGAGGCUAAAUUAGAUGAGAGUGAUAGAGCUUUAUUUUUUUAAUUUUAAAGUUGUAAGAUUUUGGGAGCUAUUUUUAUAAGAAAAGUUUAUUUUAUGUUUCAACUUCCUGUUAUUCUAUUUUACUUUUUAUUUUCUCAUGCACUAGGCACGAGGUUUCCACUAACCCCCAGGUCCGAGGCGUGACAGAAUGGUAUAAGAGCUUUAGGGAUUAAAUACCCUUGGGAACUGUGGUAUAGUAUUACCACAAAGUAAAUUUGAAUUGGUGAAGUAAGUUAGUGACCUAACUUUUCAGGAGCAUAUUUCUUUUUAUGAUUAAGUGUAGUUUACGUAAUAAUUGUUUAGUAUUGUUUUAUAUAUGUUGGUUUAAUUUGGUAGAAAUAUUUGGUAAAGGUUCAAUUGUUAAGAUAGCUAGAGUAGAUGGGAAACGUGACAAUGAUAAGAAUGGUAGCAUGAGGGUAAUACUAACCAUUCAGGAUAUGGCCUUUGCAAUACGUGAAACGAAUCAACAAAACCAAGAACCCCAUCAAGAGAUUCAAGGUGGUCAAACAAUGAGUGUUAAAGGAGAAAGAUAAAUGAACAAAGAGUUCUAGGAAAUCUGAAAGUGGCUAUUGCUUCUACCUAUUUGGGAGGAGCAAGGAGACCAGAAUAACUCACUCAAGGACAUGUGUAUGCUAUUGGACAAGUGACAAAGCAAAAUGAACCUACUAUGGUAGAAGGUACAUUUCUAGUUUACAACUCAUGGGCUAAGAUAUUGUUUGACCGGUGCUACAAAUUCAUUCAUCUCUAUUUCGUUUGCGUUUAUUCUUGGAUUAGAAUAUGAAUUUAUGAAAUCUUCAUUAAUGGUUGGAUCUCCAUUGGGUAAAUGUGUCGAAGUUAAUAAGGUGUGUAGAUCUUACAUAAUAGAGAUAUCAUAUCAUAAAAUUGUUGUUGACCUUAUGAUAUUGGAAUUAAUGGAGUAUGAUGUAAUAUUAGGGAUGGACUUGACCCAAUUUAAAGCUAUUUUUGAUUGUGGUAGAAAGAUGGUGACUAUGACUCUUAGCGAGGGAAAACAUGUAGUUUCUAUGGAAGUAGGAAUACUCACAUCAAUCUUGGAUAAUGGAAAUUGUAAUUAUUUGAGAUUGAUUGCUCACAUGGUCACUGAGGAUCUAAGUAAUACCAAGCUUGAGCUUAUCCCAAUAGUGAAAGAUUUCGGUGAUGUUUUCCCAGAAGAAUUAUAUGGAAUCCCCCUAGAAAUGGAGUUUUUCUAUAGAUAUUUAUCCUGGCAUGUCACCUAUAUCUAUACCUCCACAUUGAAUGGCACCAAUAGAGUUGAAGGAACUCAAAACACAACUUCAAGAACUUGAAAGUAAAGGUUUUAUUCGUCCUAGUACCUUACCAUGGGGGUUUUUUCUCCAUUCUUUGUGAAGAAAAGUGAUGGAAGUUGUAACACCCCGACCUCAAAUUUAACCUUUAUUUAAUUAUUUAAUUAUUUAAGGGCAUUUUGGUCAUAUUUUUAACCGGAGAGAGUUUGGGGCAGUGACUAUGUCACAUCCCGGGAUCAACUCCGUCGUAGCACGAUAUUGUCUGCUUUGGGCCCCCCCUCUCUGGCCCUCACGGUUUUGUUUCUGGGAGCUCACGAGCAACUUCCCAGUGGGUCACCCAUCCUGGGAUUGCUCUGGCCCCCAACUCGCUUAACUUCGAAGUUCCUACGACUUCGAAGCCAGUGAGCUCCCAAAAGGCCUCGUGAUAGAUGGAUGCGGGUGUGCACAUAUAAGGCACAUCGCCCCCUCUCCGUUGGUUGAUGUGGGAUCUUACAAUCCACCCCCCUCAAGGGCCCGACGUCCUCGUCGGCACACUCACACCACACGGCAGAGUGGCUCUGAUACCAAAUUGUCACAUCCCGGGAUCAACUCCGUCGUAGCACGAUAUUGUCCGCUUUGGGCCCCCCCUCUCUGGCCCUCACGGUUUUGUUUCUAGGAGCUCACGAGCAACUUCCCAUUGGAUCACCCAUCCUGGGAUUGCUCUGGCCCCCAACUUGCUUAACUUCGAAGUUCCUACGACUCCGAAGCCAGUGAGCUCCCAAAAGCCCUCGUGCUAGAUGGAUGCGGGUGUGCACAUAUAAGGCACAUCGCCCCCUCUCCGUUGGUUGAUGUGGGAUCUUACAGACUAGUAUUUUUAGAUAGGUCGUACUGAGACGAGUUCAUAGACAUGUAGUGGGCUCGAAUCGGAGUUCUAACGAGAGAGAUAUGGUCAAAAGAAGCCCAGUGGCACAAUCGUAAAUAUUUCAAAAUGGGAUUUUUUUUAUAAAAACUCAGAUUUUUUUUUCUCUCUCUCUCUCUCUCUCUCUCUCUCUCCCGCGGGUGUCUCUCUCCUCUCUCUCGCGCGCGACGGCAGCUGGCCACGUUUUGGCCGGCCGUGCUCUCCUCCGGCCACCAAUGACGACGGGACCGGUACCAAAAUGACCGGGCCGUCGUCCUCUCGAGCUGCUCUAGCUGAUGGUUGGGUAGGAUUAGAUCGAUUCUUAGCGUAGACAAUUCGAUUUUCGAAUUGAAAUUCGGCCGGUUUUGGGAUCGCGAUUCCGGCCACUUCCGGUCAGUUUUUGGGGUAGGUCCAAGAACAAAAGUGGCUCCAAAUAGGGUGUUAUACCUAGGGUAGGAGUUUUGAGCUGUGGUUUUGAGAUUUUCCGGCGAAGCCGUUAUCGCUUUGGGCACCCACGCGCUGCCGGCGCGUGCGGCGGCGUGUGGGCACUGUAGAAAAAGUAGCAAUGUGUUCCGAUGAGAUCCUUAGGUUGUCACGAGUGCGUAGGAUUUCACGGAUCUCAAUUCGGACGUCGUUUGACUAUCGAACGGAUAUUCGCAUAUUGCGCGUUAUCCAGGUGCGAUAGGUUGGGGCCGUUGGAUGGACCCAAAUUUAAUAUAUGUUGAUCUAGGUAUUUCUAGGAUCGUGUAGGAAUUCACGGAUUGUGAAUCGGAGCCCCGGAUGUUCCGAAAAAUAAUUUUAAAGUUUAUAUUUUAUAUUAACCGUCAGAUCGUGCGAUCGUGAGCGAUCCGACCGUCCGAUCUGAACCAAACUUGCAGGACAAGAUUCCUAUACCUGGUAGAACCCAUAGGGACUCUCGGAUCGAAAAUUGGAGGUCGUGGGUUCCGCAGGUCCUUUUGACCAGGGUUAGAGUAGUUUGACCCUUGGUUGACCGUGAGUCUCCCGGAGUAAUCUCACCUUUCUAGGGGAGAUUAUCGGGUACUAGAUUAUUGUGGAGGGUUACACAAUAUUAGAAUUAAUUUAUAUAUUUAUAAUUAUAAUAUGUUUGUACAAGAGUACAAAAGAGUCUAGACUGUCAGUUUGGAGUGCUAUACCCACUACUUUAGGUACCUUCCCAAAUUUUGGAUUCACUACAAGCACCACCAAGUGAAAGUUAGGUCUCACAUGGCGUAGGUUAUCCGGCGUUAAGACAGGCCCCAUACGUGGCGUUGGUUGUACCGGCGUAUGGGGAGAUAUUGUGAUAUUGUGUUGAGAUCGCACGUGGCGUAGGUUAUCCGGCGUGUCGACAGACCCCAUACGUGGCGUUGGUUGUACCGGCGUAUGGGGAGAUUUUUGAUAUGAUAUUGAGGUCCCGCGUGGCGUAGGUUAACCGGCGUUGGGACAUGCCCCAUACGUGGCGUUGGUUGUACCGGCGUAUGGGGAGAGAUGUGAUAUGAUGUGCAGGUUUCGCGUGGCGUAGGUUAUCCGGCGUUGUGACAGAUCCCAUACGUGGCGUUGGUUGUACCGGCGUAUGGGGAGAUAUUAUGAUAGUAUGGCAUGGUCGCACGUGGCGUAGGUUAUCCGGCGUGUUGACAGGCCCCAUACGUGGCGUUGGUUGUACCGGCGUAUGGGGAGAUAUUAUAUGAAAUACAAAGAAAUGAAAUAAGGUAUCGCCCAAGUGUGGAAUUAGGUUUUAUGGAAGAACUACGUGUGGCUUGAUCCCUCAAGGAGGGUACGUAGGCAGCCUAAGGUUAUUAGCUGCAGCCGCAGACUAAAUAUUAGUCAUAAUUGGUAUUUGAAUUGUUUGGUAGUUGGUUAAGAAUUAUUGGAAGGCCGAAGGCCAUUUGUGCGAAUUGCAUGAAAUUAUAUUGUGCAUGCUGCCAGUUGGGAAUAUUAAAUGUGUUUUCAUGCAGGUAUAAAUUUUGGGAAAUGUCCAAUUUAUAGGGGAGACUCUGCCGAAUUUUCGGCAGGAAGUCUCGGUUUUGAGUAUUUGGGCCUGAUAUCGGGAGGAUGUCGGGAAUUUCAAAGGGUUCGCCUCGAGUUCUGAAAAAUUCGGAGCGGGUCCUUUCAGAAGUCUUAGGAUGUGUUUUGUUGCAAGCUAACAAAGUAGUUGCAUACGACUUUUGUCAAUUGAAAUGACAUGAAAAGAAUUAUCUAACACAUGAUCUAGAAUUGGCAACCAUUGUUCACACACUGAAGAUAUGGAGAUAUUAUUUGUAUGGGGAACGUUUUGAACUCUUUUUGGAUCAUAAGAGUUUGAAGUAUUUAUUGACUUAGAAGGAGUUGAAUUUAAGACAAAAGCGAUGGAUGGAAUACCUGGAAGAUUAUGAUUUUGACUUACAUUAUCUUCCAGGAAAGGCUAAUGUGGUAACAGAUGCUUUAAGUCAAAAUCCUCAAGGAAUUGUAGCAAGUUUGUAUGAUCAAAGGUGGAAGAUGGUGGAGUCUCUUUACGAUUUUGACCUAUAUAUAGGUGCGCAUGAGGAUUGUGCAUAUCUAUGUAAUUUGGUAACUCACCCCACUUUGAUUGGAAGAAUAAUUGAGGCACGGGAUUUGGAUUCUAUGUCUGAAGACAUUCGAACUAAGAUUACAACUAGAAAGACACAGGAAGGAUGGAGUAUCCUCACAAGCAGUGGAUUAAGAUAUUUGAAUAAGUUUUAUGUACCAAAUAUUUCUGAUAUAAGAAAUGAAGUUCUCAGAGAAAGUCAUCAUUCACCUAUACAAUUCAUUCUAGAGGGACAAAGAUGUAUCGUGAUUUUAGACGUAAUUUUUGGUGGAGUAGUAUGAAGGGAGGUGUAGAAAUAUUUGCAGCAAAAUGUCUAACAUGUUAGCUGGUGAAAACUGAAUAUCAGAAACCGUCAAGUCCAUUACAGCCAUUACCAGUAGUAGAAUGGAAAUGAGAUCAUAUAACAAUGAAUUUUGUUACAGGUUUACCUAAAUAUCCAAAAGGACGUGAUGCAAUAUGGAUUAUGGUGGAUCGUUUGACCAAAUCUGCACAUUUCAUACCAGUCAAAUCAAUGGAUUCCACUAAAAAUCUUGGAAAGCUUUACGUUAGAGAUAUAGUAAGAUUACAUGGAAUUCCUAUUUUGAUUGUAUCGGAUAGAGAUUCCAAGUUUACUUCUAAAAUUUGGGGAAGCUUACAGAAAGUGUUAGGUACGCAACUAAAUUUGGUACCGCCUUUUAUCCCCAAACUUAUGGACAAUUGGAGAGAACUAUUCAAAUUUUAGAGGACUUGUUGAGAGCAUGUAUUCUAGAUUUGGAGGGAAGUAGUUGGGAAGAUCAUUUAGUGGUAGUAGAGUUUGCCUACAACAACUAUCAGUCUAGCAUUCAGAUACCACCUUAUGAAGCUUUAUAUUGAAGACCUUGUCAAUCACCUGUGUGUUGGACUGAAGUAGGAGAAACUGUAUUGCUAGGACCUGGUUUGGUACAAGAGACAACUGAAGGGAUUAAAGUUAUCAAGCAACGUCUUUUAACUACUCAAAGUUGACAAAAGAACUAUGUAGACCGAAGAAGGAAAACAUUAAGUAUUGACGUGGGUGAUUAUGUAUUUCUUAAACUCUCACUACUAAGUGGAGUAAAAAAAGGUUUGGGAAGACUGGAAAAUUAUCACCAAAGUUUGUUGGACCAUUUGAAAUCUUAGAAAGGAUGGGUGAAGUAGCUUAUAAGUCAGCAUUACCACCUCAACUGUUGAAUGUACCUGAUGUUUUCCUUGUUUCUAUGCUUCGAAAGUAUGAGCCUGAUCCAACCCAUUUUCUAGAUUGAGGAGAGCUCAAUUUAGAUGAGGAACUGUCAUUUGAAGAAAGACCGACUCAGAUUUUGGAUUCUAAGGAACAAGUGUGACGUACGAAAAUAAUACCAUUGGUCAAAAUUCUUUGGGUACAUGGGAAUACAUUGGAAGCUACAUGGGAAUUAGAAACUAAAAUGUGUAAGAAGUACCCAUAAAUUUUUCCCUUAUUCCAGUUUUUCUUUUUAACUCGAAAUUUCUUUAAGGAGAGUAGAUUGUGAGAGUCUGUUUCUUAAAUGUUCAUUAAAGAAAAAUAAAUGUUAUUAUAUAUUCUUAAGUAAUUAUCUUGCUAAGAAGGAAAUGUAUAUUUAUAAUUGUUUUACGUUUAUAAUACCAUUUCAAUAGUUAUGUGUAUAUUAUUUCAUUAAAUAUUUAUAUAUACAUAUGUUCUUUUGAAUAAAAAGGGUUAAAUUAUAUAUUUGUUCAUUAUUUCUUGGGAUGCCAUUAGAUGGUUAUUGGGUGCUUUAUAUACAUAUAUAUUAAUAACAUGGAUUAACAGUUUAGACCUGGCAUCCUUACAUUGUUUUCUUGGAGAGAAUGACUGUUUCUCUCUUAUCUUAAUUUGGAUGCUGGAUGUGGUUUUUUCCAUUAAAUUAGUUGAUGCAUUACCAUGCAUUUGGACAGCUCAUGCUUACAAUUUGGUGAAUAAGUCUAUCUUAGCUUGAGGUGGAGUUUAUAAUUUCAAUAGGUGUCACAGCCUUUGGAAAUAAAUCUCCUGGCGUUGACACAUAUAUAGCAACUUAUAAAAAAGAGUGGCGACCAAGUUAUCUUUUUGUAUAGAUAAGAUAAUGGGCUUUGUUAUUAUCCUCUCCACUGUUACCGCCAUCUCACCACCUAUAAAUAGGAGUGUUAAUGAAAGGAACAUAUAUCAUGCAACAUGAGAGAGAGAGAGAGAUAUGAUGAUGAUGAUGAAAUCCUUGGAAGAGAUUAGGACUUAACUUGUAUUUUCUUAACUUAGAGAUAUGUUUUGGAAUCGAGAUAGGAGUUUUUUGGUGACCUUUUACAAAGAUUGAUCUAAUUAAAUUUUGUGAGCACUAUUGUUCACCCGUGUUCGUGUUUAACUCCUGAUGUGGAAGGGCGAAGUUCCCCACUGGCUUGAAGACCACUUGCUGGUCGACAAGUCAGCUUUCUUUGGUGUGUGAGCGUGCCACUGCUAGCAAUGUAGAUUCUAGCAGACUUAUUUUGAAAGUGGAUAACUUGCGCCUCAAGUUACUGGCUUCUAAAACAAAACGAUUGUGAAUUUGGGUGAGGAAUAUCUCCCAAGUAAGUUCUUUUCUUGCCUCAGACUGGUGAGGACUUUCAUAAUUUAUCUCAGUAUCAAAUGGUUGUUCUGGCCAGAAUGGAUAAUAAUAAAGUACUAUUUUCAGGCAGAACUCCCUUUUACAAAAUUAAGCAGGGAGAAACCGACUCUAGAAAGGCAAAAAGAUGGCUGAAACUCCAUUUCUGCCUGGGUGGAAACUUCUAAUCCGGGCUGGACUGGGCAUGUCUACGCUGGACUGUACUGUCGACAACUUUAGCUUCUUGGCUUCAGCUGUAAAUCGAUACCAAAGUUCAAUUUUGGCAGAGCUUCAAUCUACUUCAAGCCUUGGGAGACUUUUGAGCGGGCAGAACUGCGACUUCUUCAGUUUGAAGGGACAGAAGUGGCUAUUCGUAUUCAGCAAGCUGGAACUAUGCUAUAAAAUUUGUUGAGGUUUUCAUAUUUGUGAAAACUCAAACUGUGUUUGUCUUGGCUGUUGCUAAACCAAACUUGUAACGAGAGGGAUCUCGCUUUCAGAGGACUUAUUUUCUAAGUCUGAACUUCGGAAUUCUGAUCUAAAGCUGGUUUUCUUUGGAUCCAAGUGAGCUUUUUCUUGUUUGUUUUUUGUGAUUGAUUGAUGCAUUGAGUGUCCUUUGUUCCUUUGCCUACUUUCGUUUUUAUAAGAGACCCUCCUGGGGAGGUGAUUUUUAAUCCUAAAUAAUGGGCGGCAAAAAGAUCUCUUAUAAUAUAAAGUAAGAAGGAUUUCUUAUCAAUCAAGACAGAUAGGUUCUGAGCAGUCACCUCCUAAAGCAGUCUCUUGCCUGGUUUCCUGGGUGGCAGUUUCUAAUUCAAACCACCGCCACCAUCUGUGUAGGCUUUUUAUGGCGGUUUGGCUUUUUCUUUUAUAUUUUCUGAAUGGUUCCCUAUUUCCCGUUCUAAUUUAGAAAGCGUGAUCCGUGAAUCCCUGGGGGGGUGGUGCAUCGAUUUGGAGCAAAAUCUUGAACAUAGAUGGGUUUUUUGAUCUUCAAUUGGCAGUGUUUCAGAGACGUCCCUUUCAUAUUUUUAAAUUUCAGUCGGUAUUGCUGACUUUUCUAAAGCUGAGGCAAUCACGUGGGUGUGUUUUUGAUCCCUUGGGUCUGAACCUAAUCAAUAAUUCAUGGGCUGAUCUUUUGAAGCCCAUCUUGUCAGUUUCCUCUUUGGGCCUUUCUUUGGGCUGAAGCUUUGUUUUCAACAUUCUUGGUGUGAAGCCCAAUCUGUCUGGAUCCUAUUUUGUUUUUCUCAAGUUUUCGGGCUGGGCAGGCAAUUUCAUCAUGGGCUUGUCUCUUGGUUUUUGGUGUGCCGAAUUUUGGGCCCAAACAAUGCCCCCAUUAAGUCUGAAUCGUUUUUUGGACGGUUUUAGACUUAAUGUUUUGCCAUUUAAUUCGCGCACCAGUUUCUUCCGUCUUUUCGCCCACGUCUGCCAUGUUUGCUUGCUACGAACUAGAGUUCGUGGGAAAACGGCUAGUUAUUAGCUAGUUACUAGCUAAUAAUCAUCAGGUGCCGUCCCAUCUUCUUCUUCCCACGUUUUCGAGCCCCUCUUUAAAAGAAAUUCAAAUUCAUAGCCUCUGAAAACCCUAAACCUUCCAACUCUUAUUCCUGCGAGCUUCUUUCGAGAUCUCCAUAUCUUUCUUCAAACCUCUCCUUCUUCUGUUUCUGCCUUUGAAUCAGAAAUGUCUUCCCCAAGGUCCCGUGCUCAAUCCUCUUCCGCUCCAAUUCCUCCCGAUUAUAUCACUGGGAGCGGGAUUAAUGCUCACGCGAUAGAAAUCAGGAGCAAGCUUCAUCCCUUUGCCCAGAAGAAUCUGGACGAGAAUGUCCUCCAUUUGUUCGAGAAUACCCUGGUGUUAGGGCCUCACUGGUUUGGUCCUGUUCCAGCUGAGAUGGCAGAACUGCUAAAAAAGGAUGCCGAGGCUCCUUUGUGUUUUGAGAGCUCUUCUGCCCUGGCCUAUCAUUCUUGGGUUAGCAAGAAUUUGAGUCGAUCUUUCCCGUCCAGCGAGGUGAGGAACAGUUCCGUCAAAUGGGCAGACUGGAUUGACAGACUUCUCCCGAGAUAUGGGGGUCACUGGAGGAGAGCUGGGAUUUAUGACGCCAUUCUUCUGUCCAAACAGUCGAUUAACAGAGAUGAGAACCUGCUUGCUGCUGCCCUGUGUUUUUGGAAUUCUGCCAGCAACACAUUUGAUUUCCGUGUGGGUCCCAUGGCUCCAACUCUGCUGGAUAUGGCUCAGAUUUUUGGGUUUAGGCCCCAUGGCAGACCUGUUGAUGCUGUUGGGGACUAUCACAGGCGAAAGAACCAAGAGAAAGUGGCUACCCCCUUCACUGUCUCCCCAGCCACGAUCAACCAGAACUGUUCUUUCUCCAAUUAUCUGAAGAGAUUCAGUGCUGAGAAGGACAAAGAUCAGCAACAUAUGUUGUUCCUUCUAUAUUGGCUGAACCGAUUUGUCUUCCCCAAUCGGUCUUCGGCAGUUCUGCUUGAGUAUAGACAUCUGGCAAAAGCUCUUCACAAUCACACUGAUGUGGGGCUUGGACCAACAGUUCUGGCCCACCUUUUCAAGAAUCUGCAUACUGCCACUCUGGAAAAUCCGCUGAACCUGUCUGCCCCUGGCGCAUUCUGGAUGAUCCAGAUCUGGCUGCAGGUAUAUUUCCCUGAGUUAAGGUUCCCAGACAUAGUUCUGCCUGAAAACCAAGUUCUGGCUCUUCCCCUGAUGUCUGCAGAAGUGCCUAAGCGCUCUCUUGAGGAGUAUUUGAUGUUCUUCAGGCAUUGUACCAAGAGGUCGGCUGCUCAGUGGCAAGUGGUGAUCAGAAGGACCUAUCCCUGGUUCCAGACUGUAUUUUGGCUUUUUGAGAAGGAGCCAGAAGAUGAGGCUGCCAGAACAGACUUUAGGAAGAAGUUCUUGAGCAUUACUCUGCCUAGAGAUCUGCCUCAUGGUGGGGGCAAACCUCCAAACUAUCAUCUGGGGGCAGAAGUCUAUCAUCCUAACUUCUGUGCAAGGCAGCUUGGCUGUCCUCAGCUUAUUCCGCUGAAAUCAUAUCGUAGUUGCAAUCGGGCCUCUUCUUGGAGGGAUGCAGAUGAUCUGGAGGUGCACAAGGAUGCCCGGUGUGCAGUGAAUAAGAUCAACAAUAGCACGGAUGCCCUCUAUCCCUCGUGGGAACCAAAUUCCUGCAGUUCCGCCGAUUUUGAUGCCUGGUGGCACGCCAGAUUCCAGAGUCUGCCGGCUUCUGUCACUGCUCUCAAAGUGCUUUUUGAUGGUUGGGAGAAUUGGCACACUUUUGCGGAUGGGGAUGCUAGAGCGCACCUGAUCCAGACCAUCAAAGAUAUCAAUGCGCAGAUCAUAGAAGGUAGACAUCUAAUUCUGUCUGUGAUUUUGUUCUGUCUUGGUUGUCGAUCUCUAACAUAUGUUCUGCCUGUUUUAGAUCCUUCUUUGACCAGCGUAGGUGGGCAAUCUGUUCAUGCUGGAGAAGUGAUUGGUAAGUCUUUUUCUUUUAGUUCUAUUCUAUCCCUUCCAGCUGGAUUGGUUUCUAAUGUCUAAUGCCUUGGUGCAGUCUCUUCUGUUAUUGCUGCCGGGGACUUGGAGCUCCCCUCUGCAGAUGAAGGAGAUGAGGUCCAGACAGAACAAACACCUGCCGAGGCCGCUCUUUCUGCCAGAAGAAAAAGGAAAGGGCCUGCCCUUCCUUCGGACAAUAUCAUUCGGCCUGGUAUUUCAGGUAAGCUCAUGAUGUUCCAACCAUUUUUUUAUUCUGUCUUGCCUUCUUUUCCCUAAUACUGCUUUUCUGUGCAGCUGGAAGUCCUUCCCCUCCUCCUACCAAGUUGAAAAAACUUAGAAAGAAGAGUGAGGAGGAGUAUGUCGCUGCAGAAGAAACGGCAGCAGUCCCCACCACUACCUCUAGGACGGAUGAAGAGCUGCGAGAGGCUUUUGAGGAGGUGGAGCAAGAAAAAGAAUUGGAAGAGCUGGAAGAAACGCCUCAGAACAAAACGGCAGUGGUGGAAGAAGAGGUAAGUUUUAUUUCGAUGAUUCGCAUCAGUUCCCUUCUUGCCCUGUUUCUUUCGUUCUGACCCCCAUUUUGUAGGAGGAGAUUCUUGCUGAGGUGAUUGCAGAGAGCAUUGCCUUGGCGCAGAAGCAACAAGGGGGUCCAAGGGCUGAGCUGACUAGCUCAGAACUAGCCCUAUUUGAGGAUGCCGAUGAGGAUGCCGAGGCAGAGCAUUCUACUGCCGUUCCAGCGGCUGAGGAUCAGGCGGAACGGUCUGCAUCAGACCCUGUGGACCAGGCAGAAUUAACUGUUGUGGUUCCGGAGGCUGAGGUGGGAACGACUGCAGCUGCUCCUGUGGUUGUGGUAAUUUUCCUCCUUGAUUGUUCAUGUUUUUCUGCUGUUCUGUCUGUUCUAACAGUUGUAGUCUUUCUAGGUGGAAGUGCCUAAGGCUACUGGUGCUCUGGCUGCGGUAUCCAGCCCCCUGAAACCUCCCAUUGUCGCUGUAAGUUUUCAUAACUUUUGAGCCUCCUUUAUCUUCCACUUUCUGCCUGGUCUUAACUUAUGUUCUCUUCUGCAGAUGCCUAUUCAUUCCUUUCCAGGAUCAUCUGCCACGGCUUCUUUUGCUGAUCCAGAGCUGGAAGAGUUUGAAGCCAUGGAUCUGGAUGCUCAACUGGAGAGGCUGGAGAAACUCAGCUCUCCUCCGAGCAAGGCAAAAUCUAGAGCAGUGCAAGAGGCCAUGGAGAGGUUAAGAAUCUGGCAGUCGACUGAGCUGGAAUUUGAUGAAGAUACAGGGGCUCUAGAUCAGCUGAUGAAGGACCUGGACCUGCUGCAUAGACAGAACAUGGCUCCGAGGCCUAUUCUUGAGAUGGGCCUAAGCCUGGCCAGAGAUGUGCUUAAUCUGCAUGAUCGCUAUGAAGAUCUUAGGCCUACGUUCAAAACUUCUGAGUUCUGUAAGGCCACACAUGAAGCCAAUCUGGCUGACUUUGCUAGGCAGAAAACAGAACUGGAUCAGAUGGUGGCCGGAUAUAAGGAGGCCAAGGCUACCGCGGAUAAGUUGGAGAAGCAGAUUGAAGAACUUCAAAAACAACUGGCAGAGUGUAGGGAGGUGCAGAACAAACUUGGGGCUGGACUGAGUUCGAAAACCAAAGCCACCUUCCUUGUGCAGAGAAUGGUUGCAGCUUCCAGGCCAGCUUUGGAAAUCGCAGAAGCCUCGAUUCAUCAAGGAGUGCUGCUCCAGAAAGAACUCUCUGUCAAGAAGGCGAAUCUGCAGGAAACCCUUAGAAAAUUAGGGUUUUAGUUUUUCAUUUCUGUUUAUUUAUUUUUUUGGACAAAUUUGCCGCUAUGGUGGCUAUUUUUAAAUAAAGUUUGUUCUGCUUUCCUUUUAAAUAGCAUUUUACUAUUUUCAUUUACCCUUGACGUAAUAAACAAAACAAUACUGUGAAAGUAGAAACGAAACAAUCUUUAAAGCAAAAAUGGAUUCAAAAAAAAAAAAAAGAAAAGUCAGCCUUGUUCUUUUUCUAUCCCGGGGUCUGUCUGUACAGCUUGUGAAUCCCACAUGGUUGGGUAGAAUUUUUUUAACCAUUUGCCAUUGAUUGGGACGUUGUGAAUAACUCCAUCUCUGUCCUGCAACCUGUUCACCCGUUUUCGUGUUUAACUCCUGAUGUGGAAGGGCGAAGUUCCCCACUGGCUUGGAGACCACUUGUUGGUCGACAAGUCAGCUUUCUUUGGUGUGCGAGCGUGCCACUGCUAGCAAUGUAAAUUCUAGCAGACUUAUUUUUAGAGUGGAUAACUUGCGCCUCAAGUUACUGACUUCUAAAACAAACGAUUGUGAAUUUGGGUAAGGAAUAUCUCCCAAGUAAGUUCUUUUCUUGCCUCAGACUGGUGAGGACUUUCACAAUUUAUCUCAGUACCAAAAAAUGGUUGUUCUGCCCAGAAUAGAUAAUAAUAAAGUACUGUUUCAGGCAGAACUGCCUUUUACAAAAUUAAGAAGGGAGAAAUCAACUCUAGGAAGGCAAAAGGAUGGCUGGAAUCCCAUUUCUGCCUGGGUAGAAACUUCUGAUCCGGGCUGGACUGGGUAUGUCUAUGCUGGACUGUACUGUCAACAACUUUAGCUGCUUGGCUUCAGCUGUAAAUCGAUACCAAAGUUCGAUUUUGGCAGAGCUUCAAUCUACUUCAAGCCUUGGGAGGCUCUUGAGCGGGCAGAACUGUGACUUCUUCAGUCUGAAGGGACAAAAGUGGCUAUUCUCGAGGAUUUAGCAAGCUGGAACCAUGCUGUAAAAUUUGUUGAGGUUUUCAUAGUUGUGAAAACUCAAACUAUGUUUGUCUUGGCUUUUGCUGAACCAAAUUUGUAACGAGGGAUCUCGUUCUAGGAAAUUUGUUUUCUAAGUCUGAACCUUGGAAUUCUGAUUUAAGGUUGGUUUCUCUUGGAAUUUAAGUGAGCUCUUGGCUGUUUUUCUUGCUGUUGUUUUUUUGGUUGAUGAGUUGAGUGUCCUUUCUUUCUUGCCUGCUUCUGUUUUUAUAAGAGACCCUCCUUUUGAAGGUGGUUUUAAAUUUUAAUAAUGGGCGGCAAAAGAUUUCUCAAAACGUAAAGUAGGAAAGAUUUUUAUCAAUUAUGGCAGAUAGACUCCCAGUGGUCACUUCCUAUAGCGAUCCCUUCCCUGGUUUCCUGGCUGACGGUUUUUCUAUUUUAAUGCCACCGUCUGUGUGAGCUGAUCCUAUGGCGGUUUUGAUUUUUCUUUUGUAUUUUCUGAACAACUCCCUGUUUCUUGCUCUUGAAAACGUGAUUUGCGAAAUCUUUUUAGAAGAUGGUGUGUUGCUUUGGAGCAAAAAGUCUCUGAUCAUAGACGCCCCUUUGAUUUUUCUUUCUCGGCUGUUUUCAGAAACGUCCCUUCUCACAUAAAAACUCUAGUUGGAAUUGCUGACUUUCCAGAGAGGUGAGGUAGCCACGUGAAUGUGUCUUUAGUCUCUUGGGCUUGAGUUUAAACAAUAUUUUGUGGGCUGAUCUUCAAAGGCCCAAUAUGACAGCUUUCUACGUUUUGGGUUUUUUGGGACUGGAUAAGUAUUUCACCACGGGCCUGUUUCUGGAUCUCUUUGGUGUGUCAAAUUUAGGCCCAAACAAUGCCCCCAUUAAGUCUGAACUUGUUUUUGGAACGGUUUUUCAGACUUAAUGGGUUUUGCCAUGAAUUUGCGCGCCAGUCCUUUCCGCUUCGUGCGUCUGUCACGUCCGCCCAUAAUGAUCUAGAGUUCGUGGGAGAAGAAAAACGGCUAUUUAUUUGGCUAGUUACUAGCCAAUAAUCACCAGCUGCCGUAUCUUCUUCUUCCUCUCACGUUUCGAGCCUUCCCUUUUAAAAAGAAAUUUCAGACCCACUGCCUCUUAGCCUUUCAAACUUGGAACUUCUCUUCGGGUUUUCAUCGUUUCCUUCGAACUUCCCCCUUUUCUCUCUGCUUCCUUCCUUGAAUCCGAAAUGUCUUCCCUAAGGUCCCAUGCUCAGUCUUCUUCAGCUUCAAUCCCUCCUGAUUACAUCACUGGGAGCGGGAUUGAUGCCCACGCAAUAGAGGUUAGGAGCAAGCUCCAUCCUUUUGCUCAGAAGAAUCUGGAUGAAAAUGUUCUUCAUUUGUUCUAGAAUACCCUGGUGCUGGGGUCUCACUGGUUUGGCCCUGUUCCGGCUGAGGCGGCAGAACUGCUGAAAAAGGACGCCGAGGCUCCUUUGUGCUUCGAGAGUACUUCCGCCCUGGCUUCUCAUUCUUGGGUUAGCAAGAAUUUGAGUCGAUCUUUCCCGUCCAGCGAGGUGAGGAACAGUCCAGUCAAAUGGGCAGACUGGAUUGACAGACUUCUCCCGAGAUAUGGGGGUCACUGGAGGAGAGCUGGGCUCUAUGACGCCAUUCUUCUGUCCAAGCAGUCGAUUAACAGAGAUGAGAACCUGCUUGCUGCUGCCUUGUGUUUUUGGAAUUCUGCCAGCAACACAUUUGAUUUCCGUGUGGGUCCCAUGGCUCCAACUCUGCUGGACAUGGCUCAGAUUUUUGGGUUUAGGCCCCAUGGCAGACCUGUUGAUGCUGUUGGGGAUUAUCACAGGCGAAAGAACCAAGAGAAAGUGGCCACUCCCUUCACUAUCCCUCCAGCCACGAUCAACCAGAACUGCUCCUUCUCCAACUAUCUGAAGAGAUUCAGCGCUGAGAAGGACAAGGAUCAGCAACAUAUGUUGUUCCUUCUGUAUUGGCUGAACCGAUUUGUCUUCCCCAAUCGGUCUUCGGCAGUUCUGCUUGAAUACAGACAUCUGGCAGAAGCACUUCACAAUCACACUGAUGUGGGGCUUGGACCAACAGUUCUGGCCCACCUUUUCAAGAAUCUGUAUACUGCCACUCUUGAGAAUCCAUUGAACCUGUCUGCUCCUGGCGCAUUCUGGAUGAUCCAGAUCUGGCUGCAGGUAUAUUUCCCCGAGUUAAGGUUUCCAGACAUAGUUCUGCCUGAAGACCAAGUUCUGGCCCUUCCCCUGAUAUCGGCAGAAGUGCCCAAGCGCUCUCUUGAGGAGUAUUUGAUGCUCUUCAGGCAUUGUACCAAGAGGUCGGCUGCUCAGUGGCAAGUGGUGAUCAGAAGGACCUAUCCUUGGUUCCAGACUGGAUCUCGGCUUUUCGAGAAAGAACCAGAAGACGAGGCUGCCAGAACAGAUUUCAGGAAGAAAUUUCUGAGCAUUACUUCGCCCAGAGAUCUGCCCCAUGGCGGGGGCAAACCUCCAAACUAUCAUCUGGGGGCAGAAGUCUAUCAUCCCAACUUUUGUGCAAGGCAGCUUGGCUGCCCUCAGCUCAUACCGUUGAAAUCAUAUCGGAGUUGCAAUCGGGCCUCUUCUUGGAGGGAUGUAGAUGAUCUGGAGGUGCACAAGGAUGCCCGGUGUGCAGUGAACAAGAUAAAUAAUAGCACGGAUGCCCUCUAUCCCUCAUGGGAGCCAAAUUCCUGCAGUUCUGCUGAUUUUGACGCCUGGUGGCAAACCAGAUUCCAAAAUCUACCAGCUUCUGUUACUGCCCUCAAGACGCUUUUUGACGGUUGGGAGAACUGGCAUCUUUUUGCGGAGGGGGAGGCCAAAGUGCAUAUGAUCCAGACCAUCAAGGACAUUAAUGCACAAAUCAUAGAAGGUAGAUACUUGAUUCUGUCUGGGACUUGUUCUGUCUUGAUAAUCUAUUUUUAACCUAUGUUCUGCCUGUUAUUAGAUCCUUCCCUGACAAAGAACGUGGGUGGACAGUCUGUCCAGGCUGGAGAAGUGAUUGGUAAGCCUUUCCUUUUUAAUUUUCUUCUGUCUUUUCCUGUUGGAUUGGCUUUUAACCUCUAACUGCUUGGUGCAGUCUCUUCUGUCAUUGCCGCCGGGGAUUUGGAGCUCCAUUCUGCUGAUGAAGAGGAUGAUGUUGAGGCAGAACAAACCCCUGCCGAGGCUGUUCCUUCUGGUAGAAGAAAAAGAAAAGGGCCUGCUCCCCCUCUGGAUAAUACCGCGCGGCCUGGCAUUCCUGGUAAGUUUGGAGCAUUCCAACUGUUCUCUUUGGAUUUAUUCUGUUUUCUCUUUUCUAAUCUUUUCCUUUUGUUCUGUCCAGCUGGGAGUCCUUCUCCUCCUCCUACUAAGUUAAAAAAGCUUAAGAAGAGGGGUGAAGUGGAAUACUUUGCCGCAGAAGAAGCCGCAGCAAUCCCAGCCACUACUUCUGGGACGGACGAUGAGCUGCGAGAAGCCUUUGAGGAGGUGGAGCAGGAAAAAGAGCUGCAAGAGCUGGAGGAGGUGCCCCAAGAGAAGGUGGCAGCGGUGGAAGACGAGGUGAGUUUUAGUCUGUGACUCGCAUUAGUUCCUCUUUUGCUUCAUUCCUUCUGUUCUGACCCCCUUCUUGUAGGAUGAAAUUCCUGCUGAGGUGAUAGCGGAGAGCAUUGCCUUGGCGCAGAAGCAACAAAAGGGUCCGAGUGCUGAGCUGACCAGCUCAGAACUGGCUCUUUUUGAGGAUGCUGAGGCAGAACACUCUACUGCCGCUCCAGAGGCCGAGGAUCAGGUGGAGCCAUCUGCAUCAGACCCCGUGGAUCAGGCAGAAUUAACCGUUGUGGUCCCGGAGGCUGAUGUGGGAACGACUGCAGCUGCUCCUGUGGUUGUGGUAAUUUUCCCCUUCAACUGUUCAUGUUUUCCUGCUGUUCUGUCUGUUCUGUCUUUUUAACAUUUGCAGUCUUUCCAGGUGGAAGUGCCUAAAGCUGCUGGUGCCCUGGCUGCGGUGUCCAGCCCUCUGAAGCCUCCCAUUGUCGCUGUAAGUUUUCAUAACUUUUGAGCCUCCUUUAUCUUCCACUUUCUGCCUGGUCUUAGCUUAUGUUCUCUUCUGCAGAUGCCUAUUCAUUCCUUUCCAGGAUCAUCUGCCACGGCUUCUUUUGCUGAUCCAGAACUUGAAGAGUUUGAAGCCAUGGAUCUGGAUGCCCAAUUGGACAGACUGGAGAAACUCAGCUCUCCUCCAGGCAAGGCAAAAUCUAGGGCGGUGGAGGAAGCCAUGGAGAGGUUGAAAAUCUGGCAGUCCACUGAGCUGGAAUUUGAUGAAGAUACAGGGGCUCUUGAUCAGCUGAUGAAGGACCUGGACCUGCUGCAUAGACAGAACAUGGCUCCGAGGCCUAUUCUUGAGAUGGGCCUAAGCCUGGCCAGAGAUGUGCUUAAUCUGCAUGAUCGCUAUGAAGAUCUUAGGCCUACGUUCAAAACUUCUGAGUUCUGCAAGGCCACACAUGAAGCUAAUCUGGCUGACUUUGCCAGGCAGAAAACAGAACUGGAUCAGAUGGUGGCUGGAUAUAAGGAGGCUAAGGCUACCGCGGAUAAGUUGGAGAAGCAGAUUGAAGAACUCCAAAAACAGCUGGCAGAGUGUAGGGAGGUGCAGAACAAACUUGGGGCUGGACUGAGUUCCAAAACUAAGGCCACCUUCCUUGUGCAAAGUAUGGUUGCAGCUUCUAGGCCAGCUUUGGAAAUUGCAGAGGCUUCAAUUCACCAGGGGGUGUUGCUCCAGAAAGAACUGUUUGUCAAGAAAGCGAACCUACAGGAGACUCUUAGAAAGCUAGGAUUUUAGCUUCUUCUUUCUUUUGUUCGAAUAAUUUGCCGCAAAGGUGGCUAUUUUUAUAUAAGCUUUCAAAGCAUUUUUACUGCUUUUUAUUCUUGAUGCAAUAACCGGACACGGUUUUGAAAGUACAGUAAAAACAGAACAACAUUAAAGUAAAAACAAAUCUAAACAAGAUUCCCUUUCAAGAAACAAAAAGGUCAAUCUUCUUCCUCUUCUAUCCCAGGAUCCGUUUGUACAGCCUGUGAAUCCCACAUGGUUGGAUAGAACUUCUUUAACCAUUUACCAUUGAUUGGGGCAAAGUGAACAACUCCAUCUCGGUCCUGCAACCUAUAUGCCCCCAUUCCGAGGAUUUGGUUAAUUAUAAAAGGGCCUUCCCAGGUAGGUGACCACUUCCCAUACCCAGCUAUGUGUGCUCCAAGGGGCAGAAUUGCCUUCCAGACUAUCUCUCCCUCUUCAAAACUCUUGUUUUUGACUCUUUUGUUGUAGGCUCUCGAUACAGCCUGUUUUCCUGCUAAGAGUUUGUUGAGGGUGUCAAUUCUGCUUGCAUCCAAUCCUUCCAAUUCCAGUAACAUGGCUUGAGAGUAAUCCUCCCCAGUGAGACCAUGCUGGUGAGCAAUUCUAAGAGACUGGACUGCUAUCUCCAUGGGAAGAAUUGCAUCGUGGCCGUAGGUUAGAGCAUAGGGGGUCAUGCCAGUCGCUUCUCUCUUCGAAGUUCUGUAUGCCCACAAAGUUUCUGACAACUUCUCGUGCCAUUGCUUUGGAUUUUUCUCUAGCAUCUUUCUAAUGAUAUUGAUAAUCACCUUGUUACUUGAUUCUGCCUGUCCAUUAGCUUGAGCAUAGUAAGGAGUAGAUUGAAGCAGUUUGAACUUGAAUGUUUCUGCCAUAUCUAGCAUGUCCCUAGAUAUGAAAGAAGAACCCCUAUCGGUUGUGAUUGAUUCUGGAAUGCCAAACCUUUGUAUGAUCUGUUCUUCUAUGAAGGUGAUGAUCUCUUGAGAUGUUGUGGUUUUUACUGGCUUGGCUUCUACCCACUUGGUGAAAUAAUCUGUGGCAACGAUGAUGAAACAGUGCUGCUGGUUGCUGGCUGGAUAGAUUUUGCCAAUGAGAUCCAUUGCCCAUCCCCUGAAAGGCCAUGGUUUUACUACUGGAUUCAUGGGAACCGAAGGAGCCUGCUGGAUUGGGCCGUGCCUUUGACAGGCUUCACAUCCUUUGGAAUAGUCGAUGCAAUCCUUCAUCAUGGUUGGCCAGAAGUAGCCAUAUCUUCUGAUUAACCAGCACAUCUUUCUUCCCCCUUGGUGAGCUCCACAGACCCCAUCAUGGGUUUCUCCCAUGACUUUCAUGUAUUCUGUCUUCCCGAGGCACCUUAAUAGUACCUCAUCCUUACUUUUUCGGACCAAAUCUUCAUUCCACAUGAGGUAGUUUGUAGCCAUGAUUCUGACUCUUUUCUCAGAGGGCAGAGUGGGAUAUCGUAAGUAAGUCAUGAUAGGCUCCCUCCAAUCAUCUCCAGUGAUCGAGGCAGAAUUGACUUCUAUCUCCAUUCCUCUCGUCAAAACAGAUGGUAGACUUUUCCUUCCUAUCUUGAUGAUCCUUUGGACGCAGUCUUCGGGCAUUUGUAUGCCUGAUGCCACCUGAGCCAGUUCAUUGGCUGCAAAGUUUUUCUCCCUUGGGAUGUGCUCCCAAGUAGCUUCUCUAAAUUCAGACACUUAUAUUCUCCAGCAAUCUGUUUUAGGACAAGCAUGGAAUCUCCCAAGAUUUCCACGGACUGGACUCCUAAUUCUACCAACAUUUCGAGCCCUAUAAUCAAAGCCUCAUAUUCGGCCCUGUUGUUGGUGCAUUGGAAAUCUAGCUGGAAAGAAUAGCAAUGCCUGACCCCUAAUGGUUCUUCCAGAACAAUCCCUGCUCCGGAAGCCUUGUCUGUCUUCGAUCCAUCAAAAUAUAAUUUCCAAGGUGUGAGAUGAAUCGAGUAAAUUGGAUUGUUAAGGCAAACAUGAGCUCUAGUUAACAGAUCUGCAUUUGCAAUGUCCAAAGAAUCCAUGUUUUCAAUUUCCUCUCCCGGGUGAUCUGCCAAAAAGUCUGCCACAGCUUGCCCUUUGACAGCUUUCUGGGGGACAUACCUCAGGGUGAAUUCUGUCAAAGCCAAAGUCCAUUUCCCAAUUCUGCCCCUCAGCAUUGGUCUUGUUAGCAUGUAUUUGAUUAAGUCGGUUUUGGCAAUGAUGUAGAUAGUAUGUGGCAGCAUGUAGUGCCUGAGCUUCACAGCAGUGAAAUAUAAGGCUAGGCAAAGCCUUUCUAUUGCGGAAUACCUUCUUUCCACUUCUGUCAACGUUCUGCUUAGAUAGUAGACCGCCUGUUCUUUUCCUUCUUUGUUAUCUUGAACUAGCAGACUUCCAAUGGAUACUUCUGAUGCAGAUACAUAAAGUUUGAAGGGUCUGCCCCUUUUUGGUGGGGACAGAACUGGUGGAUUUGAGAGGUAAUGCUUUAUUUCCUGGAAAGCCUGUUGGUGCUGUUCUUCCCAUUUGAAUGUCUGUUCCUGCUUCAGUCUCAACAGGGAGGAAAAGGGUUGGAUUUUUCCUGCAGAAUUGGAUAUGAAUCUCCUUAGGAAAUUGAUUUUUCCUAAGAGACUCUGAAGUUCCUUCUUGUUCCGAGGUGGUAGAGCUUCUAUGAUGGAUUUUGCUUUAUUUCUGUCAACCUCUAUACCUCUCUGGUGGACCAAGAAUCCUAAGAAAUUCCCUGCCUGGACUCCAAAAACACAUUUUUUGGGGUUCAUUUUUAGCUUGUGCUGCCUCAUUCUCAGGAAUGCCUUUCUCAGACUUGCUACGUGAUUUCCUUCCUCAGGGGAUUUAAUCACCACGUCAUCUAUGUAUACUUCCAAAGAAUGUCCUAUCAUAUCAUGAAAAAUAGAAUUCAUUGCCCUUUGGUAGGUAGCUCCCGCAUUUCUCAAACUGAAAGGCAUUACAGUAUACUCGAAAGCACCUAUAUGUCCUGGACACAUAAAGGCUGUCUUGUGGAUGUCCUGUUCUGCCAUCAUAAUCUGGUUAUAACCUGCAUUGCCGUCCAUGAAAGAUAGCAUCUGGUUAUGAGCGGCUCCAUCCACUAACAUGGCUGCCAUUGGCAUAGGAUAUUCGUCUUUAGGAGAUGCCUCAUUCAGAUUCCUGUAAUCUACGCAGAUUCUAACUGCCCCUGUUUUUCUUUUGAGAACAGGUACAAUAUUUGCUAACCAAUCGGCAUAGACGGCUGGCCUGAUGAAUCCUGCCUUGAGCAACCUUCCUAUCUCUUCUUUGACCUUUAGUUCUGUGUCCAUAGACAUUCUUCUUCUGGCCUGUUUGACUGGAAGGUAGCCAUCUUUAAUUGGCAGCUUGUGCUCCACUAACUGCCUGUCUAAUCCUGGCAUCUCGUGGUAAUGCCAGGCAAAACAAUCUCUGAACUCCUGCAAAAGUGCCGUGAGUUCAGCCUUGAGUGGUUCCUUUAACAGUGUACUGAUGAAAGUAGGCCUUGGAUCUUCUUCUGUCCCUAAGUUUAUCUCCUGUAGAGGGUCCUCUACUUCUGGCAGGGAGUCAUCUAGUGCUGCCGGUGCAAAUUCCAACACUUCCUCCUGUAAAACUUCUUCCUCUUGUUCUUUUAUGCUUUCAUGGGUGAAUUCUGCCAUAUUAAUGGCUGGAUUCUGUAUGAAAAGUCUCCUUUCUCCCCAGUAUAUCAACAAUCUUUUUGUGAUGGAUCGGAUUGUUGCAGCUCGAUCCUUGUCCAGUUGAUUGGGACUAAACAUCAGAAUUCUGGAAGUUCGGCACAAGAAAGUCUAUUCCAGUCCUCUAGAGAACUGGCUAGACCUUCUUCAAUGAGUCUUUGGGCCGUGACACCAUGGGGGCGGCCGUUCUGAUUGACUCCAAGGAAAGUGUAGGGACCGAGGUCAUCAUGAUAAUACCUUGCUUCAAAGCACAUGGCAGAGGGUAGGAAUGGCCGUGGAUCGGCCUCUAUAAUCUCCAUGCAGCCUUCUUCAUUCCAUAUUGCUAACUGCUGGUGGAGGGUGGAAGGGAUACAAAGGCUCUGGUGAAUCCAAUCCCUGCCGAGUAGUGCAUUGUAGGUGGUGGAGGUAGUGUCUAUAACAAAGAAUGCUAUUUUCAACUCUUUGCUUCCGACUACGACAUCUACAUCUAAGAUGCCGUGUAUUUUGGUGAUGCCCCCAGCGAAGUUGGUGACGGUUAAUCGUGUUGGAAUUAGAUCCCUCUCUGUCCUGCCCAACUUGGUCAGCAUUGUGUGGGGUAAUAGAUUAAUGGCUGCACCUCCAUCUACCAUGAUCUUGGAGAUAGGAAUACCUCCAAGAUUUGCCGUUAUAAACAACGGUCUGAGGUGAUUUUCCAUUUCUCUGGUUGGCUUGGCGAAACAAGCCUGCUCUGUAGCUGGUUUAUUGGCUGUUCUGCCUGUCCUAGGGUCGUCUGCUUGCGGUUCUGGCGGCUCCUCUGCUUCUGCCAACCUACACUCAAAGCUCUCCUGGGAGAAAACGUCCCCUUCCAGAGUGCUUUUUUGUCCUUCGGUAGCCCUGAAUUCACCUGGUAGGAUGAAUACCAUGUUAAUUCCCAGAUCACCCUGUAGGAGGUCUUCUAAUUCUGCGCCAAAAGCUUCUGUUUCUGGGUCCAAUUCCUCACCAAAUUCCAUUAAUUCUUCCCCAUAUUCUUCCGUCCAGUCAUCCUGUUCUGCUACUUCGAGGGGCUCUUUCUGAUCAUCUGCAGAAGGUUCAUAGUCUAAUUGCUCUUCUUCAUAUUCCUCAGCGUAGUCGUCUUCUUUUUGUAACGGGGUAGACCCGGAUUUCUCUAAUGUCCGCGUGGUGUCAGGAUGGCUGCCGGACGACGAGGCUAUAUGGAUAGGAGACCUGGCUGGCUGCUCUGUUUUCAGCAAUUCCCUUGACUGGCAGGCUUUCUGUUCCGUCUGGGGAAGUGUUUCAGGAUUCUUUCCUUUCCUGGCAGAACUGGGUUGUGAACGUACCUGCGUAUUGUCUUGGCUUUUAAGAUAUGUGCAGUAUUGCCUCUGGAUUCUUCUUUUCUGGGUUCUGGUCAGCUCCAGAGUCGGUCUACCGCUUCUUCCUACGGAAUACCACCUCCCUUCUAUGAUCGUUGCCAAGGGUCUUUCGUUUCCGGGCGUCUUGACUGAUAUUUCCUUCCUGGGUUGCUCCAUCCUCCUCUCGCCGUAGUGUGUAGGCCUAAGACAGCUCUUCUGCCUUGUCUUGUCUUGGGAUAUAGUUCCAAUUCUGUCAAAGACACUAGGUGUGGGCUGAUUUUGUUUGUCUAGGACCACCUCUAGCUCUGUUUCACACUUGCACCUACUGCAGAGCACCACCCCAGCCGAGAUGGUCGCUCUUGGUAUCUGACUGGUCUCCCUUAUGAUUCUUCUGCCUCUGCUGCAACCAGCAUCUGUGAUAGGGUCGGUUUUCCUCUGUUCUGGCCAAUUUAAGUUGACCAUAUUGACUUGCGGUUGAGGAAAAGGAUCCGUCGUGACGGAUGGUGGUUUUUCUGCCAACUUCAACCUUCCUGCCGUUAUUCCUUCUUGUACUACGUCCCUGAAAACGACACAACUAUUGGUAGAAUGGUUCCAAGAGUUGUGCCACCUGCAGUACUGUCUGCCUUUGAGUUCUUCCGGCUUCGGUAUUCUGUGAGGCGUCUCUAUUACCUUCUGCAGUAGCAUUUCGUCGAACAAGGCAUUGACCUUGGUUAAGUCAAAAGAGUAAACCUUGUUUUGUGUUGGUUUGUUUGGAACGAAUCCUCCUGUGAAUGGUGGUGGCUUUUGGUCUUUGGGUGGCUUUGUGAGGGCUUUGCAACUGAUGGGAUGUUUCAGUUUUGCCAUUUCUGCCACUGAAACCUCUUUCUCCUCUGAUUCCUCUGUAUCUUCUUGCGACUCCACCUCGAUCAGGUGGACUGAAGAAGAAGGGGUUUUGUAGUAUGUACCUUUGGAGGAGUUCCUCCUUUGCUGCUCUUCCCUGAGUAGCUCUUCAUAUUUGGAUGCCUUAUCAGCCAGUUCUGCCAGAUCUCCGAACAAUAUCCCGUCGAACCUUUUCCUGAGGGAGAUUUUAAGGGCGGCUUGGGCCAUCUGGAUGAAGUGUCUUUCUUCCAUUGGGAUUCGGCACUUCAUCUUGAGCCUUCUGAACCUGGUUAUAAAAUCUUGCGCCGGUUCAUCUUCACUCUGCUUGAGGGCAGCUAGAUCACUGAUGGUGACUUCUGGCUGAAUCCUGUAAUAGUAGUCAUGGAAGACAUUUUCCAUCUGUUCCCAGGUUUGAACAGAGUUAGCUGGCAGGCUGGUGUACCAGGUAAAAGCUUGCCCAGAGAGAGAGUUGCCAAAAAGCCUUAAUUUCAGCAGAGGGUUGUUUUCUAUAGCUAUGCAUUGGACGGAGAACCUGCCUAUAUGUUCGACUGAGGAAGCAUGGGGGUCUUCCCCGUUGAACAAAGUGAAGUUUGGCACUUUGAAACCUGGAGACAACGGUAUUUGAUCGAUGUAGGCUGGGUAUGGCUUUCUGUAAGUAGGCCUUUCCCCUCUUCUAGCCUCGGGUUCCAUGAUCUCUCUGACCAUUCUUCGCAAUGCCCCUACGUCAUUUAAAGCAUUGACUGGGGGAAAAUUUUGUCCCUGUUCUGGCUGAACGUAAUCAAACCUGGGUUCUGCCCUGAGUGGUCUGGGUGGAACUUCCUCCCUGUGUUCUUCCUGCUCUUCGACUUCUGGAUGAUUCCUCCAGUUUGCCCCCUGUCUAUUCCUGUCAUGAUUAGCAAAAAGGUUGUUUCCCCCUCGGGCUCUCCUCCCUCUUGCAGGUGGAGGGAAUGGAUUAGGGUCCAUCCUUCUGGGUCUAUAUGGCAAUACUGCCGGUGGUUCAGGCAGAAGCGCCAAAGGUUGAUCAUGCGGGGCUGCAUGAUGUGAAUUGGGCUGAGGUCCUAGCUGGUUCUGAGCCAGUGUCAGGUUAUCUGGCUGGGCUGGGGCCUGAUGUUCUUGAUUAGGAAGGGCUCUCUCCCUCGGAUCAGCCUGAACUUCUGUGUGGCCUGGCACUCCAGCCAUCUGUGCAACUAGAGGAUUUUCCUGAUAUGGCCAUAUUAGUCCUGGCGGAGGGCCAUAAGGAAGAUCCAACUGCUGGAUUACAGGAUCUGGGUUUGGAUUUCUGGCCAUGGCGGAUUCUCGGUCCUUCCGGAACUGUCUGUUUACCUGCCAUUGCAUCAUGGCUGUCAUGUUAUCGAGAGUGUCCUGGCUCCUUUGUACUGUGAUCUCUUGUCGGAGUACUGACUCCUUUAUUUGACUCAUCCUUUUGGAGCCAGUCCUGGAACGUCUGCUUCCUGUACUGUCGUGGGCAGACUGCCUAGCGUCGCUUUCUUCCGAUUCGAGGCCUUCUCUGAGAACCAUCUUGUUUUUCUCCAUGUCUGGUGUGGGUUCUGACUAGAUCUUCCGGCUUUUGUAAAUCUGUGAAUGACUCUGUCAGAGUAUGUAUACUGAGAAGUCCCACUGGGCGUGCCAAAUUGUUCACCCGUUUUCGUGUUUAACUCCUGAUGUGGAAGGGCGAAGUUCCCCACUGGCUUGGAGACCACUUGUUGGUCGACAAGUCAGCUUUCUUUGGUGUGCGAGCGUGCCACUGCUAGCAAUGUAAAUUCUAGCAGACUUAUUUUUAGAGUGGAUAACUUGCGCCUCAAGUUACUGACUUCUAAAACAAACGAUUGUGAAUUUGGGUAAGGAAUAUCUCCCAAGUAAGUUCUUUUCUUGCCUCAGACUGGUGAGGACUUUCACAAUUUAUCUCAGUACCAAAAAAUGGUUGUUCUGCCCAGAAUAGAUAAUAAUAAAGUACUGUUUCAGGCAGAACUGCCUUUUACAAAAUUAAGAAGGGAGAAAUCAACUCUAGGAAGGCAAAAGGAUGGCUGGAAUCCCAUUUCUGCCUGGGUAGAAACUUCUGAUCCGGGCUGGACUGGGUAUGUCUAUGCUGGACUGUACUGUCAACAACUUUAGCUGCUUGGCUUCAGCUGUAAAUCGAUACCAAAGUUCGAUUUUGGCAGAGCUUCAAUCUACUUCAAGCCUUGGGAGGCUCUUGAGCGGGCAGAACUGUGACUUCUUCAGUCUGAAGGGACAAAAGUGGCUAUUCUCGAGGAUUUAGCAAGCUGGAACCAUGCUGUAAAAUUUGUUGAGGUUUUCAUAGUUGUGAAAACUCAAACUAUGUUUGUCUUGGCUUUUGCUGAACCAAAUUUGUAACGAGGGAUCUCGUUCUAGGAAAUUUGUUUUCUAAGUCUGAACCUUGGAAUUCUGAUUUAAGGUUGGUUUCUCUUGGAAUUUAAGUGAGCUCUUGGCUGUUUUUCUUGCUGUUGUUUUUUUGGUUGAUGAGUUGAGUGUCCUUUCUUUCUUGCCUGCUUCUGUUUUUAUAAGAGACCCUCCUUUUGAAGGUGGUUUUAAAUUUUAAUAAUGGGCGGCAAAAGAUUUCUCAAAACGUAAAGCAGGAAAUAUUUUUAUCAAUUAUGGCAGAUAGACUCCCAUUGGUCACUUCCUAUAGCGAUCCCUUCCCUGGUUUCCUGGCUGACGGUUUUUCUAUUUUAAUGCCACCGUCUGUGUGAGCUGAUCCUAUGGCGGUUUUGAUUUUUCUUUUGUAUUUUCUGAACAACUCCCUGUUUCUUGCUCUUGAAAACGUGAUUUGCGAAAUCUUUUUAGAAGAUGGUGUGUUGCUUUGGAGCAAAAAGUCUCUGAUCAUAGACGCCCCUUUGAUUUUUCUUUCUCGGCAGUGUUUUCAGAAACGUCCCUUCUCACAUAAAAACUCUAGUUGGAAUUGCUGACUUUCCAGAGAGGUGAGGUAGCCACGUGAAUGUGUCUUUAGUCUCUUGGGCUUGAGUUUAAACAAUAUUUUGUGGGCUGAUCUUCAAAGGCCCAAUAUGACAGCUUUCUACGUUUUGGGUUUUUUGGGACUGGAUAAGUAUUUCACCACGGGCCUGUUUCUGGAUCUCUUUGGUGUGUCAAAUUUAGGCCCAAACACAACCUAUAUGCCCCCAUUCCGAGGAUCUGGUUAAUCACAAAAGGACCUUCCCACGUAGGUGACCAUUUUCCAUAUCCAGCUAUGUGCGCUCCAGCGGCAAAAUUGCCUUCCAGACUAUUUCUCCUUCUUCAAAACUCUUAUCUCUGACUCUUUUGUUGUAUGCCUUUGACACAGCCUGUUUUCCUGCUAAGAGUUUGUUGAGGGUGUCAAUCCUGCUUGCAUCCAAUUCUUCUAAUUCAAGUAGCAUGGCUUGAGAGUAAUCUUCUCCUGUGAGAUCGUGCUGGUGAGCAAUUCUAAGAGACUGGACUGCUAUCUCCAUGGGCAGAAUUGCAUCAUGACCGUAGGUCAGAGCAUAGGGAGUCAUGCCAGUUGCUUCCCUUUUUGAAGUUCUGUAUGCCCACAAAGUUUCUGACAACUUCUCAUGCCACUGCUUCGGAUUCUUCUCCAGCAUCUUUCUGAUGAUAUUGAUAAUCACCUUGUUACUUGAUUCUGCCUGUCCAUUAGCUUGAGCAUAAUAGGGGGUAGAUUGAAGCAGUUUGAACUUGAAUGUUUCUGCCAUAUCUAGCAUAUCCCUAGACAUGAAAGAAGAACCCCUAUCAGUUGUGAUCGAUUCUGGAAUGCCGAAUCUCUGUAUGAUCUGCUCUUCUAUAAAGGUGAUGAUCUCUUGAGAAGUUGUGGUUUUGAUUGGCUUGGCUUCUACCCAUUUGGUGAAAUAGUCUGUAGCAACAAUGAUAAAACAAUGCUGCUGGCUGCUGGCUGGAUAGAUUUUGCCAAUGAGAUCCAUUGCCCAUCCCCUAAAAGGCCAUGGUUUCACCACUGGAUUCAUGGGAACUGAAGGAGCCCGCUGGAUUGGGCCGUGUCUUUGACAAGCUUCACAUCCCUUGGAAUAGUUGAUGCAAUCCUUCAACAUGGUUGGCCAGAAGUAGCCAUACCUUCUAAUUAACCAGCACAUCUUUCUUCCUCCUUGGUGAGCCCCACAGACCCCUUCAUGGGUUUCUCCCAUGACUUUCAUAUAUUCUGUCUUUCCGAGGCACCUUAAUAGCACCUCAUCCUCACUUUUUCGGACCAAAUCUUCAUUCCACAUGAGAUAGUUUGUAGCCAUGAUUCUGACUCUUUUCUCAGAGGGUAGAGUGGGAUACUGCAAGUAAGUCAUGAUCGGCUCCCUCCAAUCGUCUUUAGUGAUCAAGGCAGAAUUGACUUCUAUCUCCAUUCCUCUAGUCAGAACUGACGGUAGACUUUUCCUUCCUAUCUUGAUGAUCCUCUGGACGCAGUCUUCAAGCAUUUGUAUGCCUGAUGCUACCUGAGCCAGUUCAUUGGCUGCGAAGUUUUCUUCCCUUGGGAUGUGUUCCCAAGUAGCUUCUCUAAAUUCUGUUAGCAGAUUUCUAGCUGCUACCAGAUAUACAGCCAGAGAAGGAUUUAGACACUUGUAUUCUCCAGCAAUCUGUUUUAGGACAAGCAUGGAAUCUCCCAAGAUUUCCACGGAUUGAAUUCCCAAUUCUACCAACAUCUCGAGCCCUAUAAUCAAAGCUUCAUACUCGGCCCUGUUGUUGGUGCAUUGGAAAUCUAACUGGAAGGAAUAGCAAUGUCUGACCCCUAAGGGUUCUUCUAGCACAAUCCCUGCUCCUGAAGCCUUGUCUGUCUUUGUUCCAUCAAAAUAUAAUUUCCACGGUAUGAGAUGAAUCGAGUAGACUGGAUGGUUAAGGCAAACGUGAGCUCUAGUUAGCAGAUCUGCAUUUGCUAUGUCCAAAGAAUCCAUGUUUUCAAUUUCCUCUCCCGGGUGUUCUGCCAAGAAAUCUGCCACAGCUUGUCCUUUGACAGCUUUCUGGGGAACAUACCUGAGGGUGAAUUCUGUCAAAGCCAAAGUCCAUUUCCCAAUUCUGCCCCUCAGCAUUGGUUUUGUUAGCAUGUAUUUGAUUAGGUCUGUUUUGGCAAUGAUGUAAAUAGUAUGUGGCAGCAUGUAGUGCCUGAGCUUUACAGCAGUGAAAUAUAAGGCCAGGCAAAGCCUUUCUAUCGCGGAAUACCUUCUUUCCACUUCUGUCAAUGUUCUGCUUAGAUAGUAGACUGCCUGUUCUUUCCCUUCUUUGUUAUCUUGAGCUAGCAGACUUCCAAUGGAUACCUCUGAUGCAGAUACAUAAAGCUUGAGGGGUCUGCCCCUUUUUGGUGGGGACAGAACUGGCGGAUUUGAGAGGUAAUGCUUUAUUUCCUGGAAAGCCUGUUGGUGCUGUUCUUCCCAUUUGAAUGUCUAUUCCUGCUUCAGUCUUAACAGGGAAGAAAAGGGUUGGAUUUUUCCUGCAGAAUUGGAUAUGAAUCUCCUUAGAAAAUUGAUUUUUCCUAAGAGACUUUGAAGUUCUUUCUUGUUCCGAGGUGGUAGAGCUUCUAUGAUGGAUUUUGCUUUAUUUCUGUCAACCUCUAUACCUCUCUGGUGGACCAAGAAUCCUAAGAAAUUUCCUGCUUGGACUCCAAAAACGCAUUUUUUGGGGUUCAUUUUUAGUUUGUGCUGCCUCAUUCUUAGGAACGCCUUUCUUAAGCCUGCCACGUGAUUUCCUUCUUCAGGGGAUUUAAUCACCACGUCAUCUAUGUAUACUUCCAAGGAAUGUCCUAUCAUAUCAUGAAAAAUAGAAUUCAUUGCCCUUUGGUAGGUGGCUCCCGCAUUUCUCAAACCGAAAGGCAUUACAGUAUAUUGGAAAGCACCUAUAUGUCCUGGACACAUAAAGGCUGUCUUGUGGAUGUCCUGUUCUGCCAUCAUAAUCUGGUUAUAACCUGCAUUGCCGUCCAUGAAAGAUAGCAUCUGGUUGUGAGCGGCUCCAUCCACUAGCAUGUCUGCCAUUGGCAUAGGGUAUUCGUCCUUGGGAGAUGCUUCAUUCAGAUUUCUGUAAUCCACACAAAUUCUAACUGCCCCUGUUUUUCUUUUGAGAACAGGUACAAUAUUUUUUAACCAAUCUGCAUAGAUGGCUGGCCUGAUGAAUCCUGCUUUGAGCAGCCUUUCUAUCUCUUCUUUGACCUUCAGUUCUGUGUCCAUAGACAUUCUUCUUCUGGCCUGUUUAACUGGAAGGUAGCCAUCUUUGAUUGGCAGUUUGUGCUCUACUAACUGCCUGUCCAGCCCUGGCAUCUCGUGGUAAUGCCAAGCAAAACAGUCUCUGAACUCCUGCAAAAGUGUCAUGAGUUCAGACUUGAGUGGUUCCUUCAAAAGUGUGCUGAUGAAAGUAGGCCUUGGAUCUUCUUCUGUCCCUAAGUUUACUUCUUGCAGAGGGUCCUCCACUUCUGGCGGGGAGUCGUCUAGUGCUGCUGGUGCAAAAUCUAAUACUUCUUCCUGUAAAAUUUCCUCCUCUUGUUCUUUUGUGCUUUCAUGGGUGAAUUCUGCCAUAUUGAUGGCUGGAUUCUGCAUGAAAAGCCCCCUUGCUCCCCAGUAUAUCAACAAUCUUUUUGUGAUGGAUCGGAUUGUUGCAGCUCGAUCCUUGUCUAGUUGAUUGGGACUAAACAUCAAAAUUCUGGAAGUUCAGCGCAGAAAGGUCUAUUCCAAUCCUCUAGAGAACUGGCUAAACCUUCUUCAAUGAGUCUUUGGGCCGUAACACCAUGUGGGCGGCCGUUCUGAUUGACUCCAAGAAAAGUGAAAGGACCGAGGUCAUCAUGAUAAUACCUUGCUUCAAAGCACAUGGCAGAGGGUAGGAAUGGCCGUGGAUCAGCCUCUAUAAUCUCCAUGCAGCCUUCUUCAUUCCAUAGUGCUAACUGUUGGUGGAGGGUGGAAGGAACACAAAGGCUCUGGUGGAUCCAAUCCCUACCAAGCAGUGCAUUGUAGGUGGUGGAAGUAGUGUCUAUAACAAAGAAUGCUAUUUUCAAUUCUUUACUUCCGACUAUGACAUCCACGUCCAAGAUGCCAUAUAUUUUGGUGAUGCCCCCAGCGAAGUUGGUGACGGUCAAUCGUGUUGGAAUCAGAUCUUUCUCUGUCCUGCCCAAUUUGGUCAGCAUUCUGUGGGGUAAUAGAUUAAUGGCUGCUCCUCCAUCUACCAUGAUCUUGGAAAUAGGAAUACCCCCAAGAUUUGCCGUUAUAAACAAAGGUCUGAGGUGAUUUGCCAUUUCUCUGGUUGGCUUGGCGAACCAAGGUUGCUCUGUAGCUGGUUUAUCGGCUGUUCUGCCUGUCCUGGAGAUGUCUGCUUGUGGUUCUGGUGGCUCCUCUGCUUCUGCCAAUCUACAUUCAAAGCUUUCCUGAGAGAAAACAUCUCCUUCCAGAGUGCUUUCUUGUCCUUCGGUAGCCCUGAAUUUACCUGGUAGGAUAAAUACCAUGUUAAUUCCCAGAUCACCCUGUAGGAGGUCUUCUAAUUCUGCGCCAAAAGCUUCUGUCUCUGGGUCCAAUUCUUCACCAAAUUCCAUUAAUUCUUCCCCGUAUUCUUCCGUCCAGUCAUCCUGUUCUGCUACCUCGGGGGGCUCUUUCUGGUCAUCUGCAGAAGGUUCAUAGUCCAAUUGCUCUUCUUCCUCUAUGUAGUCGUCUUCUCCUUGUAACGGGGUAGACCCGGAUAUCUCUGGUAUCUGCUCGGUGUCAGGACAGCUACUGGACGAUGAGGCUAUAUGGGCAAGAGAUCUGGCUGGUGGUUCUGUUUUCAGCAAUUCCCCUGACUGGCAAGCUUUCUGUUCUGUCUGGGGAAGUGAUUCAGGAUUUUUUCCUUUCCUGGCAGAACUGGGUUGUGAACGUACCUGCGUAUUAUCCUGGCUCUUAAGAUAUGUGCAGUAUUGCCUCUGGAUUCUUCUUUUCUGAGUUCUGGUCAGCUCCAGAGUUGGCCUACCAUUUCUUCCUACGGAAUACCAUCUCCCUUCUAUGAUCGUCGCCAAGGGUUUUUCGUUUCCGGGUGUCUUGACUGGUAUUUCCUUUCUGGGUUGCUCCAUCCUCCUCUCGCUGUACUGUGUAGGCUUAAGACAACUCUUCUGCCUUGUUUUGUCUUGGGAUGAGGUUCCAAUCCUGUCAAAGACACUAGGUGUGGGCUGAUUUUGUCUGUCUAGAACCACCUCUAGCUCUGUUUCACAUUUGCACCUACUGCAAAGCACUAUCCCAGCUGAGAUGGUCGCUCUUGGUAUUUGACUGGUCUCUCUUAUGAUUCUUCUGCCUCUGCUGCAGCCAGCAUCUGUGAUUGGCUGGGUUUUCCUCUGUUCUAGCCAAUUUAAGUUGACCAUAUUGACUUGAGGUUGAGGAAAAGGAUCCGUUAUGACCGAUGGUGGUUUUUCUGCCAGUUUAAGCCUUCCUGCCGUUAUCCCUUCUUGUAUCACGUCCCUGAAAACAACACAACUAUUGGUAGAAUGAUUCCAAGAGUUGUGCCACCUGCAGUACUGUCUGCCCUUGAGUUCUUCCGGUUUUGGUAUUCUGUGAGGCGUCUCUAUUGCCUUCUGCAGUAGCAUUUCGUCGAACAGGGCAUCGACCUUGGUUAAGUCAAAAGAGUAAACCUUGUUUUGUGUUGGUUUAUUUGGAACGAAUCCUCCUAUGAAUGGUGGCGGCUUUUGGUCUUUAGGUGGCUUUGUGAGGGCUUUGCAACUAAUGGGAUGUUUUAGUUUUUCCAUUUCUGCCACUGAAACCUCUUUCUCCUCUGAUUCUUCCGCAUCUUCUUGUGAUUCCACCUCGAUCAGGUGGACUGAAGAAGAAGGGGUUUUAUAGUAUGUACCUUUGGAGGAGUUCCUCCUUUGCUGUUCUUCCCUGAGUAACUUCUCAUAUUUGGAUGCCUUAUCGGCCAGUUCUGUCAGAUCUCCGAACAAUAUCCCGUCGAACCGUUUCCUGAGAGAGAUUUUAAGGGCGGCCUGGGCCAUCUGGAUGAAGUGUCUUUCUUCCAUAGGGAUUCGGCACUUCAUCUUGAGCUUUCUGAACCUGGUUAUGAAAUCUUGUGCCGGUUCAUCUUCACUCUGCUUGAGGGCGGCUAGAUCACUGAUGGUGACUUCCGGCUGAAUCCUGUAGUAGUAGUCGUGAAAGACAUUUUCCAUCUGUUCCCAGGUUUGAACAGAGUUAGCUGGCAGGCUGGUGUACCAGGUAAAAGCUUGUCCAGAGAGAGAGUUGCCGAAAAGCCUUAAUUUCAGCAGAGGGUUAUUCUCUAUAGCUAUGCAUUGGACGGAGAACCUGCCUAUAUGUUCAACUGAAGAAGCAUGGGGGUCUUCCCCAUUGAACAAAGUGAAAUUUGGCACUUUGAAACCUGGAGACAGCGGUAUUUGAUCAAUAUAGGCUGGGUAUGGCUUCCUGUAAGUAGGCCUUUCUCCUCUCCUAGCCUCGGGUUCCAUGAUCUCUCUGAUCAUUCUUUGUAAUGCCCCUAUGUUAUUCAAAGCAUUGACUGGGGGAAGAUUUUGUCCCUGUUCUGGCUGAACGUAAUCAAAUCUGGGCUCUGCUCUGUGUGGUCUGGGUGGAAGUCCUUCCCUGUGUUCUUCCUGCUCUUCGACUUCUGGAUGAUUCCUCCAAUUUGCCCCUGGUCUAUUCCUGUCAUGAUUAGCAAAGAGGUUGUUCCCUCCUCGGCCUCUCCUCCCUCUUGCAAGUGGAGGGAAUGGAUUAGGGUCCAUCCUUCUGGGUCUAUAUGGCAAUACUGCCGGUGGCUCAGGCAGAAGUGCCAAAGGUUGAUCAAGCGGGGCCACAUGAUAUGGAAUGGGUUGAGGUUCUGGCUGGUUCUGAGCCAGUGCCGGGUUGUCUGGUUGGGCUGGGGCCUCAUACUCUUGAUUAGGAAAGGCUCUUUCCCUCGGACCAGCCUGAAUUUCUCUGUGGUCUGGCACUCCAGCCAUCUGUGCAACUAGGGGAUUUUCCUGGUAUGGCCAUAUUAGUCCUGGCGGAGGGCCAUAAGGGAGAUCCAACUGCUGGAUUACAGGAUCUGGGUUUGGGUUUCUGGCCAUGGCGGAUUCUCGGUCCUUCCGGAAUUGUCUGUUCACCUACCAUUGCAUCAUGGCUGUCAUGUUAUUGAGAGUAUCCUGGCUCCUUUGUACUGUGAUCUCUUGUCGGAGUACUGACUCCUGCACUUGAUCCAUCCUUUUGGAGCCAAUCCUGGAACGUCUACUUCCUGUACUGCCGUGGGCAGAAUGCCUAGCAUCGCUUUCUUCUGACUCGAGGCCCUCCCUGAGGACCAUCUUGUUUUUCUCCAUAUCUGGUGUGGGUUCUGACUAGAUCUUCCGAUAUUUGUAAAUCUGUGAAUGAUUCCGUCAGAAUAUGUAUACUGAGAAGUCCCACCGGGCGUGCCAAAUUGUUCACCCGUGUUCGUGUUUAACUCCUGAUGUGGAAGGGCGAAGUUCCCCACUGGCUUGAAGACCACUUGCUGGUCGACAAGUCAGCUUUCUUUGGUGUGUGAGCGUGCCACUGCUAGCAAUGUAGAUUCUAGCAGACUUAUUUUGAAAGUGGAUAACUUGCGCCUCAAGUUACUGGCUUCUAAAACAAAACGAUUGUGAAUUUGGGUGAGGAAUAUCUCCCAAGUAAGUUCUUUUCUUGCCUCAGACUGGUGAGGACUUUCAUAAUUUAUCUCAGUAUCAAAUGGUUGUUCUGGCCAGAAUGGAUAAUAAUAAAGUACUAUUUUCAGGCAGAACUCCCUUUUACAAAAUUAAGCAGGGAGAAACCGACUCUAGAAAGGCAAAAAGAUGGCUGAAACUCCAUUUCUGCCUGGGUGGAAACUUCUAAUCCGGGCUGGACUGGGCAUGUCUACGCUGGACUGUACUGUCGACAACUUUAGCUGCUUGGCUUCAGCUGUAAAUCGAUACCAAAGUUCAAUUUUGGCAGAGCUUCAAUCUACUUCAAGCCUUGGGAGACUUUUGAGCGGGCAGAACUGCGACUUCUUCAGUUUGAAGGGACAGAAGUGGCUAUUCGUAUUCAGCAAGCUGGAACUAUGCUAUAAAAUUUGUUGAGGUUUUCAUAUUUGUGAAAACUCAAACUGUGUUUGUCUUGGCUGUUGCUAAACCAAACUUGUAACGAGAGGGAUCUCACUUUCAGAGGACUUAUUUUCUAAGUCUGAACUUCGGAAUUCUGAUCUAAAGCUGGUUUUCUUUGGAUCCAAGUGAGCUUUUUCUUGUUUGUUUUUUUUGAUUGAUUGAUGCAUUGAGUGUCCUUUGUUCCUUUGCCUACUUUCGUUUUUAUAAGAGACCCUCCUGGGGAGGUGAUUUUUAAUCCUAAAUAAUGGGCGGCAAAAAGAUCUCUUAUAAUAUAAAGUAAGAAGGAUUUCUUAUCAAUCAAGACAGAUAGGUUCUGAGCAGUCACCUCCUAAAGCAGUCCCUUCCCUGGUUUCCUGGGUGGCAGUUUCUAAUUCAAACCACCGCCACCAUCUGUGUAGGCUUUUUAUGGCGGUUUGGCUUUUUCUUUUAUAUUUUCUGAAUGGUUCCCUAUUUCCCGUUCUAAUUUAGAAAGCGUGAUCCGUGAAUCCCUGGGGGGGUGGUGCAUCGAUUUGGAGCAAAAUCUUGAACAUAGAUGGGUUUUUUGAUCUUCAAUUGGCAGUGUUUCAGAGACGUCCCUUUCAUAUUUUUAAAUUUCAGUCGAUAUUGCUGACUUUUCUAAAGCUGAGGCAAUCACGUGGGUGUGUUUUUGAUCCCUUGGGUCUGAACCUAAUCAAUAAUUCAUGGGCUGAUCUUUUGAAUCCCAUCUUGUCAGUUUCCUCUUUGGGCCUUUCUUUGGGCUGAAGCUUUGUUUUCAACAUUCUUGGUGUGAAGCCCAAUCUGUCUGGAUCCUAUUUUGUUUUUCUCAAGUUUUCGGGCUGGGCAGGCAAUUUCAUCAUGGGCUUGUCUCUUGAUUUUGGGUGUGCCGAAUUUUGGGCCCAAACAACUAUAUUAUGCAUGAUAUUAUUAUUUGAUUAUUAUUGAUAUUGGGUGUUUAAGUGUUGUUAAUUAUCAUCAUAUUAUUUUAUUCAUAUUGACAUGAUCAUAUGUUAUCGGUGAUGGCUGGAAUUCUUGGGUUGAUAAAGAAAGUAAGAAAAAGGGGGUAAUGGGAAGGAUCUUUUGUGUAGUUGAGUCUAACUCUUGGCAGGUACCAGGUCUCAAGGAUCCCGCAGUGCACAUGGUUUUCAUUGGGUGAUUCGGGACUAGCGACAGAGAGUUAGACAAGAUGACUAACGAAAUGGGAAUUAUGAGAAGAUUGAAAUGGGUGUUUGUUCAUAUAAAUGGGCAUUUGGGGCCAAGUGGUAUAAGCAUGGUAUGGGACGUGCAGGUCUGCUUGUGCAGUCAUAUGAAUUAACAGGAGUAGAUGAAGAGCAUUCAUUCAUGCAUUAUUAUUAAUAAUGUGAUAUUUAGCUGUGUGAUUACAUGUCACUUAAUUUAGUUAAAUCAAUCUACUGUGGUGAGGUCUCAUGUCCCUACUGAGUGGUGGUUUCUCAUCCCUCACCCUGUUUAAUUUUUCAGAUGAAUUAGUGGGCAUGACAAGGACUAAAUCAGUUGAGGCUGAACUAGAUGAGAGUGAUAGAGCUUUAUUUUUUUUAAUUGUAAAGUUUUAAGAUUUUGGGAGCUAUUUUUAUAAGAAAAGUUUAUUUUAUGUUUCGGCUUCUUUUUAUUCUAUUUUACCUUUUAUUUUCUCAUGCACUGGGCACGGGGUUUCCACUGACCCACGGGUCCGGGGCGUGACAAGGGUUAAUCGUUUUAUUCGUUCUUGGACUUAGACCCGGUUUGCAUUUGAGUACCUCAAUUUCCAAAAUCGUUCUCAUAUUCCUUUAACUUCACUUUUGUUAGGACAAAUGGUCCAGCCAUUAAUUUUGUUAACUUUUUCUGUUAAAUGCAGGGGCAAAAUGGUAUUUUUAUAUUAAAACCAAAAGAAUAAAUAAAUAAUCACAUCUUUAAAAUAACAAUAAAAUCAAAUCAAAUAAAAAACCAACCAAAAAAAAAUCGAGUUUGGGAAGAGUAGAAAUCGGGAUAGAGGGGGAGAGAGAGAGUUUAAUUUUAAUUUUUUAUUCAUAUUUUAAUCAAUUUAAUACAAAAUGAGGAGAACUACCCCCCCUCUUCUUCUCUUUUUAUUCACUACAUGCCAUGUAAAGAGAAGAACUAAAUGAGGUUAGGUUAUUAAAAUUGGGUGAGCUAGGAUUCUAUUUUUUUUGGCUGGAAAAAAGAAGCCACCUGGGUUGCCAAACUAAAGGUACAUCCGUGGGUAAGCUAGGAUUUUAUUUUUUUUUGGCUUGAAAAAAGAAGCCACCUGGGCUAUAGCCCAGGUUUGCCAAACUAAAGGAAGGUCUGUGGGUGGGCUAGGAUUUUAUUUUUUUGGCUGGAAAAAAGAAGUAGGUUUGCCAAACUAAAGAUCCGUCUCUGUUUCCACUUCAACCCAUUUACAAUCAAACUAUUUUAUGACUAAAACACUUCACAUUAAUGAUAAUUUUAUUAAACUAAAACACAGUUUUAUGAGUCUACUUAUGGAGAAAAACUUAGUUGCAAUGAGAUAACACUAUUUUGCUAUCCUUAUUUCAUAAAAGUCUUUCUCCUACUUAUGACUAUGGUUGCAGCCUGCAAUAUUCUUAAAAUAAUAAAAAAAUAAAAAAAAUAAAAAAAGUAGCUAUUCUGAAGGACAUUACCUCACUUUUGCUGUAUAAAUACUCUGCAUUUGCAAGCACUGCAAUGCACACACAAAAGCUAAGAUGGAUUCCAGAGAAGUAGCAACUAAGCCACACGCUGUUUGCAUUCCAUUCCCUUAUCAAAGCCAUAUAAAGGCAAUGCUUAAAUUUGCAAAGCUCCUCCACCACAGAGGUUUUCAUAUAACCUUUGUUAACACAGAGUUCAAUCACAAGCGCUUUCUUAAAUCUCAAGGACCCAAUUCCCUUGUUGGCUUGCCUGAUUUUCAAUUCGAUGCCUUCCCGGAUAGCCUUCCGGAUUCAGAUGAAGAUGCCACACCAGAUGCCACCUUGCUUUGUGAAUCCAUCAGAAAAAAAAAAUUCUUGGCUCCCUUUCAUGCCCUCCUUGCAAAACUCAACAAUGAUGCCAUAUCAACAUCCCACAAUCCUCCUGUGACUUGCAUAGUUUCAGAUGGUUUCAUGUCCGCGUUCACAAUCACAGCUGCUGAAGAAAUCGGAGUCCCUAUAGCGCUGUUCUACACUAUAGCUGCCUGCAGCUUCAUGGGAUUUAAACAACUUCGCGCUGUGGUCGAAAAAGGACUUUUUCCACUCAAAGGUGAAUAACUACGAAUUAAAAGCAAUUGUUGUUUCUAAACAUGCAAAUGAAAUGUUUCUUCAAUUGAAUUUCAUUUGUCUAUUGCAGAUGAGAGCUGUUUCAAAAAUGGCUAUCUGGACACCGUAAUAGAUUGGAUCCCAGGAAUGAGAGAUAUCCGUUUAAGGGAUCUCCCGACCUUCGCGCGAAACACAAAUCUGGAUGACACCGGAUUUAACUUCAUCAUGGAAGAAACCGAAAGAGCUCAUGAAGCUUCAGCAGUUGUUCUUCAUACUUUUCAUGCCUUGGAGACAGAUGUUUUGGAAGCUCUCUCAUCUAUGCUUCCCCAUGUGUACACCGUUGGCCCUCUUCAAUUGCAUCUCAAUCAGAUACCAGAGCACCCUUUGAAAAUGGGAUACAGUCCAUGGAAAGAAGAAACUGAAUGCCUCGAGUGGCUAAACACCAAGGCACCAAACUCAGUUGUCUAUGUGAAUUUCGGCAGUGUAGCAGUCGUGACACCAGAACAGCUUGUGGAGUUUGGGUGGGGACUUGCAAAUAGCAAGCUUCCAUUCUUUUGGGUAAUUAGACCUGAUCUAGUUGUUGGAGAAUCAGCUAUUUUGCCGCCUGAGUUUGUGGCUGAAACUAAGGAAAGAAGUCUAAUAGCUGGGUGGUGCCCACAAGAGCAAGUCCUCAACCACCCCUCAGUUGGAGGAUUUUUAAUGCACAGCGGUUGGAAUUCAACAGUUGAGAGCCUUACUGCAGGAGUUCCUAUGCUCUGUUGGCCAUUCUUCGGGGACCAGCAAAUGGACUGUCGCUAUACUUGCAAUGAAUGGGGAAUUGGCAUGGAGAUUAGUGAUGAUGCGAAGAGGGAAGAGGUAGAGAAGCUUAUCAAAGAGUUAAUGGAGGGAGAGAAGGGUAAGAAGAUGAAAAAUAAGGUCAUGGAGUGGAAGAAACUUGCAGAAGAAGCUACUGGUCCACAUGGUUCUUCAUCCACAAACUUAGACAAUUUAGUGAAUCAAGUGCUAUUGAGAAAAAGUUAAGAUGUUUCCAUAAGAAUAUUGAUGUUAUUAAUUAUCAUUUCCAUUGCCAUUGUCUCAAAUAAUCAACUAUCUGGCAAUAUAUAUGUACUACUGGUCUGUAACCAUGAUGCGUACUAUAUCUAGAAUUUUAUUCUGAUUAAGGUUUCACUACGCUUCAGGCCUUUAACUCUAAAAUCUUAUUGGAGAAUCGGCUAAUAUUUAAUUAUUUUUUAUACGUAUUUCCUUUUUACUGUGUUCUAUACAUAUUUAAUUGGAUUACUACUCUCGAGGAAGAUUAUCCUUAAGUAUUAUAUUCAACAAAUUACUAUUCAUGUGUCAGUUGUUUUACAUUUAUUGUAUUAAAUCAAUACUCACCAAUUCUUUAAGGUGUGAGAUAAUUAGUCACAAAUAAUGGUGACUAGUAACCAAAGUCAUUGACCACCCAUUCAAAUGUCACCAAAACUAUUGUGUUGCUAUACAAAUAUGACUAAUGCUUUCUAUUUUGUCGCCGGAUCAAGGCCGUGAAGUUCCGGGUUAAACCGUGAGUUUCUGAAGCCGAUUCUGACCACUUGCCGUCCGAAUUGGACUUGGGUGUUUGAAUAAAAUGUUCCACUCGUCGAGUAGAACCUGUAGCCGGGAGGGGUGGCUUGUAGUUUGGAGAUUUUCCGGUGAAGCUUUAUCGCUUUGGACACCCGCGCGUGUGGCGGUACGUGGGCACUAUAGCAGAGGGUCAUUAUUGUCCCAAUGCGAUCUCCUGGUUGUCACGAGUACGUAGGAAUUCGCGGAUCUCAAUUCGGAUGUCGUUUGACUAUCGAACGGAUUUUCGCAUAGUGUGCGUUAUCCGGGUUCGAUAGGUUCUGACCGUUGGAUCAUUUCCCAAUUAAAUUAUGUUGUUCUAGGUAUUCCUAGGAUCGUGUAGGACUUCGCAGAUCGUGAAUCGGAGCCCGGAUGUUCCAAUUCAAUAACUUAAAGUUUGAGUUUUAUAUUAACCGUCUGAUCGUGCGAUCGUAAGCGAUCUAACCGUCUGUUUCAGACCAAACUUGCGAGACGGGUAUCUUAGACCUUGUGGAACCUUUAGGAACUUACGGAUUGUAAAACGGAGGUCGUGGGUCCCGUGGACCCGGUUGACCUGAAUUGGGAAGUUUGACCGCCGGUUGACCGAGUGUCUCCCGAAGUUGUUCCAUCGUCCAAAUUGAGUAGUUGGACCUUAGAAUGUCUCAUUCCUAGUACACUUACUAGAAACCUGGGAAAUUAGGAUAUUUAAUUCAAAGUACUCGUUCGAAACGCUUCGUAUUAAUCUUGUGUACGUAUUCUGAAUUAGGUACUUCGACCACGCAUACGCAGCAGGCGGGACCCUCUCAGGGUCAAGCAGCGUGGGACUACUUGUGAGUGAACUUUGUUUUCAAAUCUUAUACAUGUUUUUAUUGAUGAAAGAUUUAUGCAUAAUGUUUUUAAUAAUUUAUUGAAUAUAUUAUAUUCAUGGGUUGAAUUUGAUGUUUGUAUAGCGCUUUGUCAAUAUAUUGUGGGUUUGGCAUUGUUGGGUAUUGAAAGCAUAUUUUAUAUGGAUUUUGGGAAAUAUUAUGCAUGAUGUUUUAAACGGUAUUUUGGAUAUAUUAUUUAUGAAAUUGUUGAAAGUGAUAUUUUUAUGAGGCAUUGAAAAUAUAUUUUGGGUUUUGACAUAUUUGAGUAUCUUGAGUAUGAAUAUAUGGAUUUUGAGGAUUUCUAUAUAUAUUUGGCUAUGUGUGAGGUACUUGGGUUGUUGAGAUGAGAUUGUGGAAAGUGGUGAGUAUAGAAUGUCAGUUUGGUGUGCUAUAAGCACUACCCUAUGUACCUCCCCUGAUUUGGAACUUGGAUAUGGAGACUUGAGAUACUUGGAAUUGUCGGAACCCGGGGCAUCCUUGACGGGAUGUUGCUGUAGACCCUUGAUUGGGUAGUCUGCGCUCGUAGGACUGAUCACAGACGUAUGAGUUUUGAGGUUAUCGACGGUACGUGCUGGCUGAGAGUUGGUCCCCCAGUUGGACGGCUCGUUCCCUAGUCACAUAGUGGAUUGAGGACUUUUCAUGAGGACUCUGCCAGGGUGACUAGUCAAACAAUCCCCCGGUUGGAUUGUUUCCCCGGUACAACUAGGUGAUGGUCAUAUUUAUAAUAUAUAUAUCUCUUAUAUGAUAUAUUUAUAUAUAUAUCUAUUCAUUCAUUUUUGUUUCUCGGUGUGGAUACUUCCUUGCCGGUCGUACCAAUGGGUACGCUUUCGAGAGUUUAGUUGUGAGAUUUAUAAGUUUUGGAUGGUGGGUUUUGUAAAGCGUUCUUUAUGGAUUUCGAACUUCGUAUCUGGUAUUGAUUUGUUUUGAUAUAUAUAUUAUAUAUAUAUAUAUAUAUUUGAGUAUGAUGGUUUUGAGAUGCAUGGGAUUUCUUGCAUGGUUUUCUAAACGGUGGGGUUAUAUUACGUUGGUUUACACUGAACUGAAUUUAUUUUUGUCCACUCACAAUUUUCUAUUUUGCGCCCCCCAGCCAGUAGUUGACUGAGCUCCGCAGCAGAGCCGGAUCAUGAGCUUCCGAGCCUUGAGUCUUCGUAGGACUCUUUCUUCAUGUUUUUCCCUUUGAACUCUGUCUUAUUGAAAUUGAAGUUCUUAGCCAUGCUCUGUUAUCGCCCCUGUUAGGGUUUGAUUUGUGAGGCCGGAGGCCAUUUGGUUGUAAACUGUUUAUUCGCUUUAAAGCAUGCUGCUGGUUGGGAUUAUUCUAUGUUUAUGCAGGUUGAAUUUUUGUUGGGUUUGUUCAAUUCACAGGGGAGACUUUGCCAAAAUUUUGGUAGAGAGUAUGGGUUUUUAGUAAGUGGACCCGGCAUCGGGAUGAUGUCGGAACAAAGACGAGAUUCGCCCUUGUUUCCGGGAAUUACGUAUAUAAUACAACUUCAAUAUUUAUAUGUAUAUUAUUUCAUUAAAUAUUUAUAUAUACAUAUGUUCUUUUGAAUAAAAGGGGUUAAAUUAUAUAUUUGUCCAUUAUUUCUUGAGAUGCCAUUAGAUGGUUAUUGGAUGCUUUCUAUACAUAUAUAUUAAUAACAUGGAUUAAGAGUUUAGACGUGGCAUCCUUACAUUGUUUUCUUGGAGAGAAAGACUAUUUCUCUCUUAUCUUAAUUAGGAUGCCGGAUGUGGCUUUUUCCAUUAAAUUAGUUGAUGCAUUACCAUCGCUAACUUACGCACGUUGUUAAUAACGUGUUGUCAUAGUAUAUUUUUAUUAUAGUGGUCACAGCCUUUGGAAAUAAAUCUCCUAGCGUUGACACAUAGCAACUUAUAAAAUAGAGUGGCAACCAAGUUAUCUUUUCGUAUAAAUAAGAUAAUGUCCUUUGUUAUUAUCCUCUCCAUUGUUACGCCAUCUCACCACCAAUAAAUAGAAGUUUUAAUGGAAGGAAGAGAUAUCAGGCAAAGGGUAAAGAGAGAGAGAGAGAGAGAGAGAUGAUGAUGAUGAAAUUCUUAGAAGAGAUAUAGGAUUUAGCUUGUAUUUUCUUAACUUGGAGAGAGAUGAUGAUGAAAUUCUUAGAAGAGAUAUAGGACUUAGCUUGUAUUUUCUUAACUUGGAGAAAUGCUUUGGAAUCGAGGUAGGAGUUUCUUGGUGACCUUUUAUAAAGAUUGAUCAAAUUAAAUUUCGUGAGCAUUAUAUCAUGCAUGAUAUUAUUAUUCGAUUAUUAUUGAUAUUGGGUGUUUAAGUGUUGUUAAUUAUCAUAUUAUUUUAUUAAUAUUGACAUGAUCAUAUGUUAUCGGUGAUGGCUAGAAUUCUUGGGUUGAUAAAGAAAGUAUGGAAAAGGGGGUAAUGGGAAGGAUCUUUUGUGUAGUUGAGUCUAACUCUUGAUAAGUACCAGGUCUCAGGGAUCCCGCAGCGCAUAUGGUUUUUAUUGGGUGAUUCAGGACUGGCGACAGGGAGUUAGACAAGAUGACUAACGAAAGGGGAAUUAUGGGAUGAUUGAAAUGGGUGUUAGUUCAUACAAAUGGGCAUUCGGGACCAAGUGGUAUAAGCAUGGUAUGGGACGUGCAAAUCUGCUUGUCCAGUUAUAUGAAUUAACAGGAGUAGAUGAAGAGCAUUCAUUCAUGCAUUAUUAUUAAUAAUGUGAUAUUUGGCUGUGUGAUUGCAUGUCACUUAAUUUAGAUAUAUCAAUCUACUGCGGUAAGGUCUCAUGUCCCUACUGAGCGGUGGUUGUUCAUUCCUCACCCUGUUUAAUUUUUCAGAUGAAUUAGUAGGCAAGACAAAGACUAAACCAGUUGAGGCUAAAUUAGAUGAGAGUGAUAGAGCUUUAUUUUUUUAAUUUUAAAGUUGUAAGAUUUUGGGAGCUAUUUUUAUAAGAAAAGUUUAUUUUAUGUUUCAACUUCCUGUUAUUCUAUUUUACUUUUUAUUUUCUCAUGCACUGGGCACGAGGUUUCCACUAACCCCCAGGUCCGAGGCGUGACAGAAUGGUAUAAGAGCUUUAGGGAUUAAAUACCCUUGGGAACUGUGGUAUAGUAUUACCACAAAGUAAAUUUGAAUUGGUGAAGUAAGUUAGUGACCUAACUUUUCAGGAGCAUAUUUCUUUUUAUGAUUAAGUGUAGUUUACGGAAUAAUUGUUUAGUAUUGUUUUAUAUAUGUUGGUUUAAUUUGGUAGAAAUAUUUGGUAAAGGUUCAAUUGUUAAGAUAGCUAGAGUAGAUGGGAAACGUGACAAUGAUAAGAAUGGUAGCAUGAGGGUAAUACUAACCAUUCAGGAUAUGGCCUUUGCAAUACGUGAAACAAAUCAACAAAACCAAGAACCCCAUCAAGAGAUUCAAGGUUGUCAAACAAUGAGUGUUAAAGGAGAAAGAUAAAUGAACAAAGAGUUCUAGGAAAUCUGAAAGUGGCUAUUGCUUCUACCUAUUUGGGAGGAGCAAGGAGACUAGAAUAACUCACUCAAGGACAUGUGUAUGCUAUUGGACAAGUGACAAAGCAAAAUGAACCUACUAUGGUAGAAGGUACAUUUCUAGUUUACAACUCAUGGGCUAAGAUAUUGUUUGACCCCGGUGCUACAAAUUCAUUCAUCUCUAUUUCGUUUGCGUUUAUUCUUGGAUUAGAAUAUGAAUUUAUGAAAUCUUCAUUAAUGGUUGGAUCUCCAUUGGGUAAAUGUGUCGAAGUUAAUAAGGUGUGUAGAUCUUGCAUAAUAGAGAUAUCAUAUCAUAAACUUGUUGUUGACCUAAUGAUAUUGGAAUUAAUGGAGUAUGAUGUAAUAUUAGGGAUGGACUUGACCCAAUUUAAAGCUAUUUUUUAUUGUGGUAGAAAGAUGGUGACUAUGACUCUUAGCGAGGGAAAACAUGUAGUUUCUAUGGAAGUAGGAAUACUCACAUCAAUCUUGGAUAAUGGAAAUUGUAAUUAUUUGAGAUUGAUUGCUUACAUGGUCACUGAGGAUCUAAGUAAUACCAAGCUUGAGCUUAUCCAAAUAGUGAAAGAUUUCGGUGAUGUUUUCCCAGAAGAAUUAUAUGGAAUCCCCCUAGAAAUGGAGUUUUUCUAUAGAUAUUUAUCCUGGCAUGUCGCCUAUAUCUAUACCUCCACAUUGAAUGGCACCAAUAGAGUUGAAGGAACUCAAAACACAACUUCAAGAACUUGAAAGUAAAGGUUUUAUUCGUCCUAGUACCUUACCAUGGAGGUUUUUUCUCCAUUCUUUGUGAAGAAAAGUGAUGGAAGUUGUAACACCCCGACCUCAAAUUUAACCCUUAUUUAAGUAUUUAAUUAUUUAAGGGCAUUUUGGUCAUAUUUUUAACCGGAGAGAGUUUGGGGCAGUGACUAUGUCACAUCUCGGGAUCAACUCCGUCGUAGCACGAUAUUGUCCGCUUUGGGCCCCCCCUCUCUGGCCCUCACGGUUUUGUUUCUGGGAGCUCACGAGCAACUUCCCAGUGGGUCACCCAUCCUGGGAUUGCUCUGGCCCCAACUCGCUUAACUUUGAAGUUCUUACGACUUCGAAGCCAGUGAGCUCCCAAAAGGCCUCGUGCUAGAUGGAUGCGGGUGUGCAUAUAUAAGGCACAUCGCCCCCUCUCCGUUGGUUGAUGUGGGAUCUUACAAUCCACCCCCCUCAAGGGCCCGACGUCCUCGUCGGCACACUCACACCACACGGCAGAGUGGCUCUGAUACCAAAUUGUCACAUCCCGGAAUCAACUCCGUCGUAGCACGAUAUUGUCCGCUUUGGGCCCCCCCUCUCUGGCCCUCACGGUUUUGUUUCUGGGAGCUCACGAGCAACUUCCCAUUGGAUCACCCAUCCUGGGAUUGCUCUGGCCCCCAACUCACUUAACUUCGAAGUUCCUACGACUCCGAAGCCAGUGAACUCCCAAAAGGCCUCGUGCUAGAUGGAUGCGGGUGUGCACAUAUAAGGCACAUCGCCCCCUCUCCGUUGGUUGAUGUGGGAUCUUACAGACUAGUAUUUUUGGAUAGGUCGUACUGAGACGAGUUCAUAGACAUGUAGUGGGCUCGAAUCGGAGUUGUAACGAGAGAGAUAUGGUCAAAAGAAGCCCAGUGGCACAAUCGUAAAUAUUUCGAAAUAGGAUUUUUUUUAUAAAAACUCAGAUUUUCUCUCUCUCUCUCUCUCUCUCUCUCUCUCUCUCUCUCUCUCUCUCUCUCUCCCGCGGGUCUCUCUCUCCUCUCUCACGCGCGCGACGGCAGCUGGCCACGUUUUGGCCGGCCGUGCUCUCCUCCGACCACCAAUGACGACGGGACCGGUACCAAAAUGACCGGGCCGUCGUCCUCUCGAGCUGCUCUAGCUGAUGGUUGGGUAGGAUUAGAUCGAUUCUUAGCGUAGACAAUUCGAUUUUCGAAUUGAAAUUCGGCCGGUUUUGGGAUCGUGAUUCCGGCCACUUCCGGUCAGUUUUUGGGGUAGGUCCAAGAACAAAAGUGGCUCCAAAUAGGGUGUUAUACCUAGGGUAGGAGUUUGGAGCCGUCGUUUUGAGAUUUUCCGGCGAAGCGUUAUCGCUUUGGGCACCCACGGGCUGCCGGAGCGUGCGGCGGCGCGUGGGCACUGUAGAAAAAGUAGCAUGUGUUCCGAUGAGAUCCUUAGGUUGUCACGAGUGCGUAGGAUUUCGCGGAUCUCAAUUCGGACGUCGUUUGACUAUCGAACGGAUAUUCGCAUAUUGCGCGUUAUCCAGGUGCGAUAGGUUGGGGCCGUUGGAUGGACCCAAAUUUAAUAUAUGUUGAUCUAGGUAUUUCUAGGAUCGUGUAGGAAUUCACGGAUUGUGAAUCGGAGCCCCGAAUGUUCCGAAAAAUAAUUUUAAAGUUUUUAUUUUAUAUUAACCGUCAGAUCGUGCGAUCGUGAGCGAUCCGACCGUCCGAUCUGAAUCAAACUUGCAGGACAAGAGUCCUAUACCUGGUAGAACCCAUAGGGACUCUCGGAUCGGAAAUUGGAGGUCGUGGGUUCCGCAGGUCCUUUUGACCAGGGUUAUAGUAGUUUGACCCUUGGUUGACCGUGAGUCUCCCGGAGUAAUCUCACCUUUCUAGGGGAGAUUAUCGGGUACUAGAUUAUUGUGGAGGGUUACACAAUAUUAGAAUUAAUUUAUAUAUUUAUAAUUAUAAUAUGUUUGUACAAGAGUACAAAAGAGUCUAGACUGUCAGUUUGGAGUGCUAUACGCACUACUUUAGGUACCUUCCCGAAUUUUGGAUUCACUACAAGCACCACCAAGUGAAAGUUAGGUCUCACAUGGCGUAGGUUAUCCGGCGUUGAGACAGGCCCCAUACGUGGCGUUGGUUGUACCGGCAUAUGGGGAGAUAUUGUGAUAUUGUGUUGAGGUCGCACGUGGCGUAGGUUAUCCGGCGUGUCGACAGACCCCAUACGUGGCGUUGGUUGUACCGGCGUAUGGGGAGAUUUUUGAUAUGAUAUUGAGGUCCCGCGUGGCGUAGGUUAACCGGCGUUGGGACAUGCCCCAUACGUGGCGUUGGUUGUACCGGCGUAUGGGGAGAGAUGUGAUAUGAUGUGCAGGUCUCGCGUGACGUAGGUUAUCCGGCGUUGUGACAGAUCCCAUACGUGGCGUUGGUUGUACCGGCGUAUGGGGAGAUAUUAUGAUAGUAUGGCAUGGUCGCACGUGGCGUAGGUUAUCCGGCGUGUUGACAGGCCCCAUACGUGGCGUUGGUUGUACUGGCGUAUGGGGAGAUAUUAUAUGAAAUACAAAGAAAUGAAAUAAGGUAUCGCCCAAGUGUGGAAUUGGGUUUUAUGGAAGAACUACGUGUGGCUUGAUCCCUCAAGGAGGGUACGUAGGCAGCCUAAGGUUAUUAGCUGCAGCCGCAGACUAAAUAUUAGUCAUAAUUGGUAUUUGAAUUGUUUGGUAGUUGGUUAAGAAUUAUUGGAAGGCCGAAGGCCAUUUGUGCGAAUUGCAUGAAAUUAUAUUGUGCAUGCUGCCAGUUGGGAAUAUUAAAUGUGUUUCCAUGCAGGUAUAAAUUUUGGGAAAUGUCCAAUUUAUAGGGGAGACUCUGCCGAAUUUUCGGCAGGAAGUCUCGAUUUUUAGUAUUUGGGCCUGAUAUCGGGAGGAUGUCGGGAAUUUCAAAGGGUUCGCCUCGAGUUCUGAAAAAUUCGGGGCGGGUCCUUUCAGAAGUCUUAGGAUGUGUUUUGUUGCAAGCUAACAAAGUAGUUGCAUACGACUUUUUUCAAUUGAAAUGACAUGAAAAGAAUUAUCUAACACAUGAUCUAGAAUUGGCAACCAUUGUUCACACACUGAAGAUAUGGAGAUAUUAUUUGUAUGGGGAACGUUUUGAACUCUUUUUGGAUCAUAAGAGUUUGAAGUAUUUAUUGACUUAGAAGGAGUUGAAUUUAAGACAAAAGCGAUGGAUGGAAUACCUGGAAGAUUAUGAUUUUGACUUACAUUAUCUUCCAGGAAAGGCUAAUGUGGUAACAGAUGCUUUAAGUCAAAAUCCUCAAGGAAUUGUAGCAAGUUUGUAUGAUCAAAGGUGGAAGAUGGUGGAGUCUCUUUACGAUUUUGACCUAUAUAUAGGUGCGCAUGAGGAUUGUGCAUAUCUAUGUAAUUUGGUAACUCACCCCACUUUGAUUGGAAGAAUAAUUGAGGCACAGGAUUUGGAUUCUAUGUCUGAAGACAUUCGAACUAAGAUUACAACUAGAAAGACACAGGAAGGAUGGAGUAUCCUCACAAGCAGUGGAUUAAGAUAUUUGAAUAAGUUUUAUGUACCAAAUAUUUCUGAUAUAAGAAAUGAAGUUCUCAGAGAAAGUCAUCAUUCACCUAUACAAUUCAUUCUAGAGGGACAAAGAUGUAUCGUGAUUUUAGACGUAAUUUUUGGUGGAGUAGUAUGAAGGGAGGUGUAGAAAUAUUUGCAGCAAAAUGUCUAACAUGUUAGCUGGUGAAAACUGAAUAUCAGAAACCGUCAAGUCCAUUACAGCCAUUACCAGUAGUAGAAUGGAAAUGAGAUCAUAUAACAAUGAAUUUUGUUACAGGUUUACCUAAAUAUCCAAAAGGACGUGAUGCAAUAUGGAUUAUGGUGGAUCGUUUGACCAAAUCUGCACAUUUCAUACAGUCAAAUCAAUGGAUUCCACUAAAAAUCUUGGAAAGCUUUACGUUAGAGAUAUAGUAAGAUUACAUGGAAUUCCUAUUUUGAUUGUAUCGGAUAGAGAUUCCAAGUUUACUUCUAAAAUUUGGGGAAGCUUACAGAAAGUGUUAGGUACGCAACUAAAUUUGGUACCGCCUUUUAUCCCCAAACUUAUGGACAAUUGGAGAGAACUAUUCAAAUUUUAGAGGACUUGUUGAGAGCAUGUAUUCUAGAUUUGGAGGGAAGUAGUUGGGAAGAUCAUUUAGUGGUAGUAGAGUUUGCCUACAACAACUAUCAGUCUAGCAUUCAGAUACCACCUUAUGAAGCUUUAUAUUGAAGACCUUGUCAAUCACCUGUGUGUUGGACUGAAGUAGGAGAAACUGUAUUGCUAGGACCUGGUUUGGUACAAGAGACAACUGAAGGGAUUAAAGUUAUCAAGCAACGUCUUUUAACUACUCAAAGUUGACAAAAGAACUAUGUAGACCGAAGAAGGAAAACAUUAAGUAUUGACGUGGGUGAUUAUGUAUUUCUUAAACUCUCACUACUAAGUGGAGUAAAAAAAGGUUUGGGAAGACUGGAAAAUUAUCACCAAAGUUUGUUGGACCAUUUGAAAUCUUAGAAAGGAUGGGUGAAGUAGCUUAUAAGUCAGCAUUACCACCUCAACUGUUGAAUGUACCUGAUGUUUUCCUUGUUUCUAUGCUUCGAAAGUAUGAGCCUGAUCCAACCCAUUUUCUAGAUUGAGGAGAGCUCAAUUUAGAUGAGGAACUGUCAUUUGAAGAAAGACCGACUCAGAUUUUGGAUUCUAAGGAACAAGUGUGACGUACGAAAAUAAUAUCAUUGGUCAAAAUUCUUUGGGUACAUGGGAAUACAUUGAAAGCUACAUGGGAAUUAGAAACUAAAAUGUGUAAGAAGUACCCAUAAAUUUUUCCCUUAUUCCAGUUUUUCUUUUUAAAUUUCGAGGACGAAAUUUCUUUAAGGAGAGUAGAUUGUGAGAGUCUGUUUCUUAAAUGUUCAUUAAAGAAAAAUAAAUGUUAUUAUAUAUUCUUAAGUAAUUAUCUUGCUAAGAAGGAAAUGUAUAUUUAUAAUUGUUUUACGUUUAUAAUACCAUUUCAAUAGUUAUGUGUAUAUUAUUUCAUUAAAUAUUUAUAUAUACAUAUGUUCUUUUGAAUAAAAAGGGUUAAAUUAUAUAUUUGUUCAUUAUUUCUUGGGAUGCCAUUAGAUGGUUAUUGGGUGCUUUAUAUACAUAUAUAUUAAUAACAUGGAUUAACAGUUUAGACCUGGCAUCCUUACAUUGUUUUCUUGGAGAGAAUGACUGUUUCUCUCUUAUCUUAAUUUGGAUGCUGGAUGUGGUUUUUUCCAUUAAAUUAGUUGAUGCAUUACCAUGCAUUUGGACAGCUCAUGCUUACAAUUUGGUGAAUAAGUCUAUCUUAGCUUGAGGUGGAGUUUAUAAUUUCAAUAGGUGUCACAGCCUUUGGAAAUAAAUCUCCUGGCGUUGACACAUAUAUAGCAACUUAUAAAAAAGAGUGGCGACCAAGUUAUCUUUUUGUAUAGAUAAGAUAAUGGGCUUUGUUAUUAUCCUCUCCACUGUUACCGCCAUCUCACCACCUAUAAAUAGGAGUGUUAAUGAAAGGAACAUAUAUCAUGCAACAUGAGAGAGAGAGAGAGAUAUGAUGAUGAUGAUGAAAUCCUUGGAAGAGAUUAGGACUUAACUUGUAUUUUCUUAACAUAGAGAUAUGUUUUGGAAUCGAGAUAGGAGUUUUUUGGUGACCUUUUACAAAGAUUGAUCUAAUUAAAUUUUGUGAGCACUAUAUUAUGCAUGAUAUUAUUAUUUGAUUAUUAUUGAUAUUGGGUGUUUAAGUGUUGUUAAUUAUCAUCAUAUUAUUUUAUUCAUAUUGACAUGAUCAUAUGUUAUCGGUGAUGGCUGGAAUUCUUGGGUUGAUAAAGAAAGUAAGAAAAAGGGGGUAAUGGGAAGGAUCUUUUGUGUAGUUGAGUCUAACUCUUGGCAGGUACCAGGUCUCAAGGAUCUCGCAGUGCACAUGGUUUUCAUUGGGUGAUUCGGGACUAGCGACAGAGAGUUAGACAAGAUGACUAACGAAAUGGGAAUUAUGAGAAGAUUGAAAUGGGUGUUUGUUCAUAUAAAUGGGCAUUUGGGGCCAAGUGGUAUAAGCAUGGUAUGGGACGUGCAGGUCUGCUUGUGCAGUCAUAUGAAUUAACAGGAGUAGAUGAAGAGCAUUCAUUCAUGCAUUAUUAUUAAUAAUGUGAUAUUUAGCUGUGUGAUUACAUGUCACUUAAUUUAGUUAAAUCAAUCUACUGUGGUGAGGUCUCAUGUCCCUACUGAGUGGUGGUUUCUCAUCCCUCACCCUGUUUAAUUUUUCAGAUGAAUUAGUGGGCAUGACAAGGACUAAAUCAGUUGAGGCUGAACUAGAUGAGAGUGAUAGAGCUUUAUUUUUUUUAAUUGUAAAGUUUUAAGAUUUUGGGAGCUAUUUUUAUAAGAAAAGUUUAUUUUAUGUUUCGGCUUCUUUUUAUUCUAUUUUACCUUUUAUUUUCUCAUGCACUGGGCACGGGGUUUCCACUGACCCACGGGUCCGGGGCGUGACAAGGGUUAAUCGUUUUAUUCGUUCUUGGACUUAGACCUGGUUUGCAUUUGAGUACCUCAAUUUCCAAAAUCGUUCUCAUAUUCCUUUAACUUCACUUUUGUUAGGACAAAUGGUCCAGCCAUUAAUUUUGUUAACUUUUUCUGUUAAAUGCAGGGGCAAAAUGGUAUUUUUAUAUUAAAACCAAAAGAAUAAAUAAAUAAUCACAUCUUUAAAAUAACAAUAAAAUCAAAUCAAAUAAAAAACCAACCAAAAAAAAAUCGAGUUUGGGAAGAGUAGAAAUCGGGAUAGAGGGGGAGAGAGAGAGUUUAAUUUUAAUUUUUUAUUCAUAUUUUAAUCAAUUUAAUACAAAAUGAGGAGAACUACCCCCCCUCUUCUUCUCUUUUUAUUCACUACAUGCCAUGUAAAGAGAAGAACUAAAUGAGGUUAGGUUAUUAAAAUUGGGUGAGCUAGGAUUCUAUUUUUUUUGGCUGGAAAAAAGAAGCCACCUGGGUUGCCAAACUAAAGGUACAUCCGUGGGUAAGCUAGGAUUUUAUUUUUUUUUGGCUUGAAAAAAGAAGCCACCUGGGCUAUAGCCCAGGUUUGCCAAACUAAAGGAAGGUCUGUGGGUGGGCUAGGAUUUUAUUUUUUUGGCUGGAAAAAAGAAGUAGGUUUGCCAAACUAAAGAUCCGUCUCUGUUUCCACUUCAACCCAUUUACAAUCAAACUAUUUUAUGACUAAAACACUUCACAUUAAUGAUAAUUUUAUUAAACUAAAACACAGUUUUAUGAGUCUACUUAUGGAGAAAAACUUAGUUGCAAUGAGAUAACACUAUUUUGCUAUCCUUAUUUCAUAAAAGUCUUUCUCCUACUUAUGACUAUGGUUGCAGCCUGCAAUAUUCUUAAAAUAAUAAAAAAAUAAAAAAAAUAAAAAAAGUAGCUAUUCUGAAGGACAUUACCUCACUUUUGCUGUAUAAAUACUCUGCAUUUGCAAGCACUGCAAUGCACACACAAAAGCUAAGAUGGAUUCCAGAGAAGUAGCAACUAAGCCACACGCUGUUUGCAUUCCAUUCCCUUAUCAAAGCCAUAUAAAGGCAAUGCUUAAAUUUGCAAAGCUCCUCCACCACAGAGGUUUUCAUAUAACCUUUGUUAACACAGAGUUCAAUCACAAGCGCUUUCUUAAAUCUCAAGGACCCAAUUCCCUUGUUGGCUUGCCUGAUUUUCAAUUCGAUGCCUUCCCGGAUAGCCUUCCGGAUUCAGAUGAAGAUGCCACACCAGAUGCCACCUUGCUUUGUGAAUCCAUCAGAAAAAAAAAAUUCUUGGCUCCCUUUCAUGCCCUCCUUGCAAAAC